AAAACCACGAACUUCUAGUAUUAUCAUCUCAAAAAUCCUCAGCUGGUAGAUCUUGUGGAUAAAGGUAAGGCUUCUUAGGCAUUUGCAAAUCCCCAUCUUCUUAUGCAAGCAUCUCAAUCACUUUAUCCAUUGAAGGACGAUCACUAGGUUUUGUCUGAGUACACCAUAAUGCCACAAUCAUCGUUUUCUUUGCCAAUUUCAUUUCUUCAUCUGUGUCAUUCUCAAUUUUUCAGCCAAUGCAUUCAAGUUCUUCCUUCUACUUGCCAUCUCCAUCAACAACAUUCCAAAACUAUAGACAUCAGCUUUGUGAGAUAUUGUGCCGACAUUUCUGUAGAAUAAUUCAGGGGCCAUGUAUCCAAUGGUUCCUCUUGCUGCUGUUAAUGAAACAAUGCUCAUAUGUUUAGUAAUAAAAUUAAAUCUAAAAAAAAGUAUGUGUGCGACAGUGCUUUCACCGUAGACCGUGCUUGAAAAUAAAUAAAAGUGCUAUCACCGACAAUGGUGCCUUUAAAAUCAAUCUUCCCUUUGCUAUUAUACACCUUCAUUGCACAUGCUUCCAUCUUCAUGGUAUAACCUUUUUCAAGCAACUGUCCAAGACUUAUGAGAUUGCUUCUCAUAGUUGGGACAUAAAGCAUAUCCAAGAUGAAUGAUUCUGUACCAUCAUUCCUUCGAAUCUUAACCUUUCUAAUCCCUUUUGCGUUAACCAUAAUGUUGUAUGCAAAUCUUAUCUUUCUCUUAACUGACUCAUUUAGAUUAAUAUAAAACCAAUUUUUCUUGCCACUCAUGUGAUUUGAGAAACCUGUAUCCAAAUACCAUCGGUCAUAAUCUUCACCUUUGAUAGUAGCCAUUAAUAAAACUCCACCAGCAUCAGAUUCAUCUUCAUUGUAGGAAAACUGUUCUUCAUCUGCUCUAUCUCUUGCAACCUUCUUAGACUUGAAGUCAGCUGCAAAAUGACCCCGCUUCUCACAGUUAUAUCAUUGAAUGUAUUUCUUCUCAACUUUCUUUUUCUACCCUUUGUAAUUAUUGGACCUGCCUUCUACACUUUCUUCUUUUGAGCUAUGUUCUUGACCCUUGAUUGAACCUUCACCAUGAUUCUUGGAGCUUUGGUUCUUCCUUGAAUUUACCUUAUCUUUACUUUUGUUAAUCAAGGCUUGCUUGCAGAUCUUCAACUUUCAUUUCAUCAAGAUUUUUGGAUUCCUCCAAGGCUACUACAAUAUGAUGAAACCUUGAUGUCAAUAUUUUCAACACCUUUUCAAUCUUCAUCAAGUCAAUUAUAGUCUCACCAUUCCUUCUUGUUUGGUUUGUCAAGUUGACCUUUGACGCAGUUAUAUUCAACUAACAAUGUAACUAACUUUGAAUUAUAUCAACUGAUAUAAAAAGCGCUGUCUUAUGGCUUAACAACGAUAUAAUACACAUCCCUUUAGAAGCGUUGUUUAAUACCUAUCUUGGCAUAAUCGGGUGAAGGUCCAAUCUAGCUUCAAGAUCAAUGGAGAAUCGGUAGAUUAAGACAAAAUUCUAUUUAUUGCUACAUAAUAAGUUGCACAACAGUGGGCAUUUGGUAAUUUUAUGUAGCAGAUACCCAUAGAUUAUAUACCAUAAUAUCUGUUACCAUCCAGAGAGAAUAUUCACACACACACACACACGCGCGCGCGCGUGUGUAAAUAAAAGUUGCAUACUUAUAUUAAUGCUUGGGGUACGAACAAUAUGAUAUGUAAUUCAGCCAAGAACCAAAAAGAGAUUAGGUUGGUCCCUUGGGAUCACUAAUUGAUGUACCAUAGGAAGUCCAUGAGUUGCUAUUAUUAUCAUCUCCAACGUCUGCUGUUGGUGGAUCUUGUGGACAAAAGUAAGGCUUAUUAGGAAUUUGUAAGUCCCCAUCUUCUUUUUCAAGCAUCUCCAAAACUUUAUCCAUUGAAGGACGAUCCUCGGGUUUUGUUUGUAUACACCACAAAGCCACGGUCAUCAUUUUCUUUGCCAAUUUCAUUUCCUGAUCUGUGUCAUUUUCAAUAGUUACUUCCCUUCCAUCAUGUAAUCGAUCAUAAAUCCAAAAAGGGAAAUAAAUUUGGCUAGAUUGUUCGGCCAAUGCAUUCAAGUUCUUCCUUCUACUUGCCAUCUCCAUUAACAACAUCCCAAAGCUAUAGACAUCAGCUUUGUAAGAUAUCAUUCCAACAUUUCUGUAGAAAAGUUCAGGGGCAUAUCCAAUGGUUCCUCUUGCUGCAGUUAAUGACACAAUGCUUUUAUCUGUAGGAGAAAGUCUGGCAAGUCCAAAAUCAGAAACUUUUGGAUUGAAACUUUCAUCAAGAAGAAUGUUAUGAGGCUUUAUAUCAAAGUGUAGAAUUUUCACAUUGCAUCCGUUAUGCAAGUACGCAAUGCCUCGAGCCACUUCAACAGAAAUGGCAUACAACUUUUCACAACUCAAGGAAAAACAAUCCUUGGUAUGAGAAAAUAUGUAUUUUUCAAGUGACCCAUUUGGCAUGAAUUCAUAUAUUAGAGCACGCUUUGACCCAUCCACACAAAAUCCAAUAAGUUGUACCACAUUAACGUGGUGAAUCCUACCGAUGGUAGCAACUUCAUUGAUAAAAUCUUGACCAUUGGAUUUGGCUUUGUCCAAUAAUUUCACCGCUGCAAGACGACCACUUCGAAGUUGUCCUUUGUAGACAGAGCCAUAGCCUCCAUUCCCUAAUUUUGUCUUGAAUUGCUCAGUUAUUUUUUUGAUGUCUUUGUAUGAGUAUCUUAUAGGCAUGAUGUCAUUGUUACUGUGCAGAAAAUCUUCGAUGCCCUCGUACAUCGAUAAGUGUCUCUGUCGCCAUUUGUAAAUUAAUAAUAAAAGGACACAUGGCACGCCAAGAACAAAUUUAGCACCGACUAGAAAACCAAGCGCCUGACCUAUAAAGGAAAUGAAGAUAUUACAAUUGAAAACAAAUAAUAGAUAUGGCUUCUAACGUUUUUUUUCUUUCUUUCUUCUAAGAACUUGUUAGUUAAAUGAAAAUACCAUAUCUUGUUUAGUGAAUCUUCAAUAAUGUUUUGAAAGGUACUGACCACUGAAUCUUCAAUAUUAAAUUGAGGUAGCCAAAAUAGUUUUCUCUCUCUCUGUCUUUGUUUUGUUUUAAGACUUUGAUUUAAUUCUCAUACAAACGCUCAAUAGGGACGACUCUCACAUGAUUUGAGGGAAUGCAUAAGCUUACCAAUAAUAAUGUAAUAAUGGAAAGAUACGACUCCAGAUAGUAAUGUACGAAAAUUUAUGUUUCCUGCAAGAACAUAUACCAAACAUGAAGGAAAAAGUUAAGGGACUCAGACGAAAAAUAAAGGAUCUAAAAUACAUAAUCAUGAUCUUUUAAAUAGAAAAUGCAUAAUCAUAAUUUAAAUAUAAUAAAUUACAAUUUAUCCAAAAAAUAAAGGUUAAAUUGCACUUUUGACCUACGAACUUUGGUAAAUUGGCAACUUUGACCCUCAAAUUUUUAAAAUAGGACUCUUGUCCCCAACUUUAGCAUUUUUUUUUUUUUUACAAAAGUGAUGUCCCCAUUGAUUUUGGUCAAUCAACGCCAGUGCUGGGGGACAAAAUCAUUGGUUUGUGUAAGUUGGGGGAUUAAAAGCCAAAUAAUAAUGUACAUGUGUGGUAUUUGAGUCAUUAAAUUUGAUAUUCACAUAUGUACUGACCUGGUUAAAAUUAAGGGGACGUCAGUUUUGCAAAAAGAGCUAAAAUUAAGGGCCAAAACUGUUAUUUUGAAAGUUUGGGGUUAAAGUCGGGGUCAAUAAUGCAAUUUAGCAAAAAAAAAUUAUAAAGAAAAUUCAAAUCCAUGAUUGCUUGAUUUCCAAGCUCAUGUCUAUCCAAAUAAUAAUUCACAGUGAAGCUGGUUAUAUUGAUCGAGCUGUGCAUACCAACCAUGAUUGUAAAUACUAUUGAGCCAAGAAAAUUCAAAUCCAUAAUACAUCAUACGACGGAAGUCCUUGCAAGAAAUGUUACUGUUGUUGUCAUCUUCAAAAUUUAAAGAUGUGAGAUACAUAAACUCUACACGACAACAGUCUUUCAACACCAAUUCCGAAAGAGAUUUUCUGUAGCGACCAACAUAGAAACGAUUCCCGUGUCAGUGUAGUUGGCGAGGUGAUGGAAGAACUGAAAUUAUAGAGUCCUAAAGAAUAAUAAGGAGGGCUGAAAUUAACAAGAUUGAAAUCCAAUAGCCGUAUGGUGAAAUUGUUGUAAUUAAUUGAUUGUACAUAAUAUUUUCCAAAUGAUCCAUAGUUCAAAAUUAAUUGGCUGUCCUCACAUGAUAAGAUGUACCUUUUGUCACCACAGUGUUUGGGACUGUCAUUCAACCGGAAAGGGUGGCUGAUGCUAUGGACACCGCACCUUCGAGAAUCACCACAAGAGUUAAGGAGGCCAUUUUUGGUUUUCCGAUAGCAAGUAGAAAUCUAUAGUGACAAUUUAUUAAAUGCAUGAGAUCCGUAUAAUAAAAAUAAAAAUAUAUUACAUUUUACAUCACUGCAGUAAUGUGGAAGCUACCUUUUGGCAAGGUCGAAGACUUUUAUAGUCUUCGGAUGAAUUUUAUUAAAUGUUGAUAUGAGUAGACAUAUUAAUAAUUAUUAGUUAGAGAAGUUACUAGGGGACCACAUAUAUAUUAUAAUAUAUAUUUUUUGAAUGAUGUAUAUAUCAUUAAAAUCACUUGGGUUAAUCUCGUGGUAUUGACUUGAGAACUCAGAGUUAAAUUAUUUCAGUUUUGACGUAAGUUCUUAUGUCGUAUGGAUUGCGGACCUACCUAAAGACAUGGUGUAGUAGCUAUAGCCACAUCAACUCACCCUAGAAUUAAAAAAAAAAAUAUUGAAGACUUUACAUUCAUUGUACAAAGACUUCAUAUUGUUGGGGAAGCUGGCUAGAAGACUUGUGUGGCUAAAGAACAAACAAUUCUAUAUCAUGAGGGAAAUUACUAGGAAGCUGUUAUAGUGAAAGUGAGUUUGAAAAAUUCCUAUAAACAGAGUUAAGACAUAGUACUAUUGCUCAAGAAUCGAUACCAUGAACACUUAUUAUGGUUUAUUGUUGUUUAUGGUUUAUUUUGUUGUUAGAACAACUACAGCCAUGGUCAAUAAUUCUGCAGAUUUAACAUGUGGAAAUCAAGUUAUUAAAUUCCCUUUCCAUAUCAAAAACCACAAUCCAAAUCCAUCUUCGUAUGGCUAUCCAGGUUUUGAGUUAUUUUGUUCAUCGAAUAACGAAACAAUGAUUGAACUCCCUCACUCGAUGAAACUCAAUGUUAAGAACAUUGACUACAGACACCAAACUAUGUAGUUUCACGGUAAAGAGACUCGAUUCUGAGAAGUUAGGGAGAACAACUUCUAUAAAAAUCGAUUCUGGAAAAGCAAAUGUACGACGGCGGUACAGUGUUGGUGGUGAACCAAACACUUUGAAAUUGCUUUUGACAGGUGGAACGUGCUUUGUAUUGCUUUCACCGGAUAACCAAACGUAUGCUUCAUCAAGGUUGUGAUCAACGCAUCCUUCAUUUUGAUAUCAAACCACAAAAUGUGUUACUUGACCAUAACUUUUCCAAAAAUAUCUGACUUUGGUCUAGCUAAAUUAUGUUCAAGGGACCAAAGCGUAGUUUCAAUGACCGCAGCUAGAGGAACAUUGGGGUACAUUGCUCCAGAAGUUUUUUCAAGGAACUUUGGAAAUGUGUCUUACAAAUCAGAUGUUUAUAGUUAUGGAAUGAUGUUGCUUGAAACAAUAGGAGGGAAGAAGAUAACAGAGGACUUAGAGGAAAACAGUAGCAUGUUUACUAUCCGGAGUGGAUUGAUAAUCUUAUAGAUGAUCAAGACGAAAUGAGAAUUCAUGUUGAUGAUGAAGGGGAUGAAAAAAUUGCAAGGAAAAUGGCAAUUGUGGGACUCUGGUGCAUUUAGUGGCAUGCUAUGGAUCGACCAUCAAUGCAAAUGGUGGUUCAAAUGUUGGAGGGAGAUGUCGACAAAACUCCAAUACCUCCCAAUCCUUUUGCUUCUCAAUCUAGACAGCCUAGGAGAAAUGGUGGAGCUACAAUUACUAGACAACUAACUCAAGAGUUAGAUGUAAUUCAAGAGUUAGAAUGACUUACAAUUGUAAAAUAUGUGCCAGAAUCAACUUUUAUCUGAUUUCUAAACAGCUUUUAAACCAGAAUCAACCUAUUUUCUAUCACUCAGACAUAAAUCCCUACCUAUUUGUUUAACCAGACCUUAUAUAUAAAAUAUUUGAUCAACAAUGUAUAUGUUAACUGUUAACAUAUUGUUUGUUUGGAUUUCCUGCAGUCGCUGGUAUCAUCACCAAUGGCGGUUUCACCGCCCGGCGACCCCGGGCUCCGGCCCAAAUUUUUUGCAAUUUCUUAUGUAAAUUCCUCUGAAUUUCUUAUAUAAACCCCUAUAAAUCAGACAAUUUCUUUAGAUUUUUUGAUUAUUUGCUUGCAAUUUCUUAUGUAGACACCUAUAAAUGUGUUGCAAUUUUUUUUGCCCAGACUUUGUAAUAAUCCUGCUCCGCCACUGAUCAUCACUAUAACAAUUGAAUACCAGUGCAAAAAAAUAACAAAUGUACUCAGAUAUAUACAUAAAACUAACAGUCUAUGGAAUGUUCGUUCUUCUCUUCAUAUCUUGUAAACACAUCUGCUGCUCCAUUCAAUAUUAAAUAUAUUAAACAAAGCUCGGUAAGAAUCCUGCAAUUGCACAAUUUUUACUCUGUUCAUUAUAGCAUCAUAUUAAAAUAAAGGUGCCACUUCCUUGAAAUCUCUCACAUGCAUGAAAUAAUCAUAAAUCCAACAAAAUCAUGUGAACCUCCGAAUUUUAGGUUAUGUUCCCUCUCAUCAGAUGGAAAAUGCAGCAAGGAAACAGAAACACCGAAUUAAUGGAUCAAUUCUAUUUGCAUGGAACAUGUAAUAUGGGCAUGGAAAGGUAUAUAUGGAAUCACAUAGACUUCAUGCUCAGCAAUUGGCGCUUGAGACUAUUUCAUCUACAAAGCAAUCAAAUAGAAUUCUUUAUACCUUAACAGGGACAAGUUCCUACUCAGAUGCUAAAUUCUCCUUAGUAUAUGCAAGUCAGGAAACAUUUCCCUCAGAGAUGCCAUUGUUAAUUUUUACACAAUUUUAUUUUUCCAGAUGCCAAAUAGAUGGAGUUGUUCCUUGUAAAAUCUAUUCCCCCAAGAAAUUGUGGAAUAUAUUAAUCGAGCUUUGAGAUUAAAAACGAAAAUAGUAAAUAAUUACUACAAUAUUUGCAUUAUAAACAAAACUGCCAAAAAAUUGAGAAUCGCUUUUCUCCAUUAUAUCUCAAAAAUGCUGUUAAAAAACACUGAGCCCUUAGAUAAUGCUCUUUAAAAAAAAAAUGUUAUCUAAGGUACUAACAUUUUGAAGUUUUUUUUAACAUUGUGCUUGAAAAUAAAUAAAAGCGCUAUCACCUUGACAAUGGUGCCUUCAAAAUCAAUCUUCCGCACAUGCUUCCAUCUUCAUGGUAUAACCUUUUUCAAGCAACUGUCCAAGACUUAUGAGAUUGCUUCUCAUAGUUGGGACAAAAAGCAUAUCUGAGAUGAAUGAUUCUAUACCAUCAUUCCUUCGAAUCUUAACCUUUCUGAUCCCUUUUGCGUUAACCAUAAUUGAUAGAGAAUUAUGGAGAAUAAUAUAGAACAUUAUGGAACUUUUAAGAUGUCGAAGAACUUUCAAGAAUAUUACAAAAUAAUGUCAUAGUGAUUAGGAUCAUCUUAGCAUCUCUAGAACUUUCUAGGCACAUGAACUAGAUAUUAGAAUCUCUAGAUAGUUCUUGUAAUUAAGUAGUAGCAUUAAAUGUUUCUAGAUAUUUCUAGUUUGUAAUGUAGAGCCUUCCUAGAGUAGUAUAAAUAAGGCUCACCACUAAGUGUUUAGGCACAUUCAAAGAAUCAAGCAUUGAAUCAUUCAAGUAAUAUAACUUUUCGUUUGAGAAUAUUAGAGUGUUUCUCUAUUUUCUCUACCUUUCCUUUUGUCCCUGAGCCAGAUUUGGCAUCAGAGCUGGUUACGAUACCUCGGAGUUGAGUUUGUGCGAAAAAUCAACGGAAAGUGAGUUUUCAAGUGAGCAAGGAGUUGCCUUUGUAAAACUUCACUUUGCGGCCAUUUCGUUCGCAAAACUAACCCUGUCAUUUUGUUUGGGAAGUGAAGAAAACCCUUGGUUAAUAAGUCUUCACCACCAACAAAACCACCACUCACAACCACAAUCUUUACCAUAUAGUUUGUUGAAUCGUCAUCGUCCAAAUGCCACCUCGAAGACAAAAUGAAAGAAGUUUGCAAGAGAUGGAAAAAAUGAGGCGACAAAUUCAACAACUACAAGAGAUUGUCAAUGCCCAACAAGCCCUUUUGGAAGCACAACAAAAGAGAUUCAAAGAUCAUGUCUCCGGUAGUGACUCUUCAUCAUCUAGAAGCAGUCGCUCACAACGACGUGAGCUUCAAAUGAAUGAUAUUAAAGUAGACAUUCCAGAUUUUGAAGGGAAUCUACAACCAGAUGAUUUUCUAGAUUGGCUACAAAUUGUGGAACGUUUAUUUAAAUAUAAGGAGGUUCCGGAGGAGCAACAGGUAAAGAUUGUUGCUGCCAAGCUGAAGAAACUCGCUUCAAUUUGGUGGGAAAAUGUUAAAAGGAGAGGCAAGCGUGAAGGAAAAAGCAAGAUCAAGACGUGGGAGAAAAUGCGUCAAAAACUAACCCGUAAGUAUUUACCUCCCCAUUAUUAUCAAUACAAUUUUACUCAACCACAAUUAUCCAAAAAAUCUUCAUACCGACAAUUUUCCCCCACAAAAAAUCAAAUUGACUCUCAUAAACCACUAAUCCAUCAACCUAUUUUCACAUUUAAACCCCGUCAUAAAACAAUCACAGAGAUAAAUACCAAUAUACCUAAAUGUGUCAUGUGUCAAGGGUACGGACACAUAGCCAUAGAUUGUGUGAAUUAUAAAGCAGUCACCAUCGUUAAUAGGGAGAUAAACAAUAUUUUUGAAGAAGAAAGAGAAGACAUCCAUGAAUCAUUUGAAGCAGAGACGAUGGGAGAACCAAUAUAUGAUGAAGAAUAUGUUGGUACUGACAUUUGUGAAGUGUUUAAAGAAGAAGGAAACAACGAUCCAAUGAAUGAUGUUGAACAUGAUCCUGAUGAUAUUCAUGAAGUGUUUGAAAAAGAGGAGAACGAACCACUGUAUGACGGAGAAUGUGUUCCUUUUGAUUCUGGUAAAUCACUUGUAGCUAGAAGAAGCUUACAAACAACAACAGAUAAAGAAGAAUCAUGUCUAAAACAUAAUGUCUUCCACACUUCUAACACCUCACAAGGUAAGGUUUGUGAUAUCAUUGUCAACGGUGGAAGUUGUGAAAAUGUUGUAUCCAAUUAUAUGGUAGAAAAAUUAAAUCUACCAACAAAGGAGCGCCUACACCCUUACAAGCUUCAAUGGCUCAACAAGGAUAAUGAGGUAAAAGUAUCUCAACACUCUAUUAUCUCAUUUUCCAUUGGCAAUAAUUAUAAAGAAAAUUUAUGGUGUGAUGUUAUUUCUAUGGAUACUUGGAGGCCAUGUCAAUAUGAUCGUUGUGCAUUAUACGAUGAUUAUGUCAAUACAUGCACUUUCGUGAAAGAUGUGAUCAAGUUGGCACCUCUACCACUCAAUGAUGGAAAAGCGGAAUUUAAGCUACUUGGACUUUCACUCGCAAAGGAACCAUUUAAAGAUAAGACAAAGUUAUGUCUACUUCGUCCAGUUCCUAAGCCACCUUGGGAAAAUGUUGGAACUGAUUUUGUCCUUCGAAUACUUUGACUUCCGUAGCAAAAGUAUUCUGAAAUCUUGACUCGAGGAUGAACAAGGAAAUCUUGACUCGAGGACGAGUCUCUUCCAACCUGUGGAGAAUGAUAGAGAAUUAUGGAGAAUAAUAUAGAACAUUAUGGAACUUUUAAGAUGUCGAAGAACUUUCAAGAAUAUUACAAAAUAAUGUCAUAGUGAUUAGGAUCAUCUUAGCAUCUCUAGAACUUUCUAGGCACAUGAACUAGAUAUUAGAAUCUCUAGAUAGUUCUUGUAAUUAAGUAGUAGCAUUAAAUGUUUCUAGAUAUUUCUAGUUUGUAAUGUAGACCCUUCCUAGAGUAGUAUAAAUAAGGCUCACCACUAAGUGUUUAGGCACAUUCAAAGAAUCAAGCAUUGAAUCAUUCAAGUAAUAUAACUUUUCUUUGAGAAUAUUAGAGUGUUUCUCUAUUUUAUCUACCUUUCCUUUUGUCCCUGAGCCAAUAAUGUUGUAUGAAAAUCCUAUCUUUCUCUUAGAUGACUCUUUUAGAUUAAUAUAAAACCAAUUUUUCUUGCCACUCAUGUGAUUUGAGCAACCUGUAUCCAAAUACCAUUGUUCAUCAUCCUCACCUUUGAUAGCAGCCAUCAGUAAAAGCUAAGAAUAAGAUUCAUCUUAGUUGUGGGAAAACUCCACUGCAUCUGCUCAGGGCCGUUUCUGUCAAACUGGAGGUCUGGCUCUCUUAUUAAAACGAGGCCCAUAAAAAAAUAUUUUUUUUUAAAAGAGUGAAAAAAAACUAUAAUAUUUUAUUUUAUAUUUUUAGAGAAUAGAGAAUAUUGAAGACCUCAAAUCAAUUAAAACUAGGCCAAAAAAGACCCUAUCAUAUUGAAAAAAAUACAAUUAAAAAAAUAUAUAAAGAUUUGACCUCUCUAGGAGUUGAACCAUAGACCCAAAGCACAAUACUACCAUACUUAACCAUUAGGCCACGCCUUCCAAACCGUUAAUGUUACAAUGUUAUGUGUAUAUAUCAAUAUUUUCAAUACAUCAUAUUAAAAAAAAAAAAUUGAGGCCCAUCCUUGGAGGAGGCCCAGCUCGUUUGAGCUGUUCGCACCCCCUCAGGGCCGGCCCUGCAUCUGCUAUAUCUCUUGCAACCUUCUUAUACUAGCAUUCAGAUACAAAAUGACCCAGCCUCUGGCAGUUAUAUCAUAGAAUAUAUUUCUUCUCGACUUUCUUCUUCUGCCAUUUGUAAUAAUCAUCGGAUCCACCUUCACCACUUUCUUCUUUUGAGCUGUGUUCUUCACCCUUGAUUGAACCUCACCUUGAUUCUUGGAGCAUUGAUUCUUCAAGUUAUUCUUUCCUUUCUUGAAUUCACCUUAUCUUUACUUCUUUUGUUAAUCUCAAUUCACGAGCUUCAAGACUCGCUUGCAGAUCUUCAACUUUCAUUUCAUCAAGAUUCUUGAAUUCCUCCAAGGCUACUAAAAUAUGAUCAAACCUUGAUGUCAGUGUUCUUAACACCUUUUCAAUCUUCAUCAAGUCAGUUACGGUCUCACCAUUCCUUCUCAUCAGGUUUGUCAAGUUGAUCAAUCGAUUAAAGUACGGACUCACUGAUUCUUUAUCAGUCAUUGCAAGAAGUUCAUAGCCUCCUCAAUGCUUGUAAUCUCGCAUUCUUCAAUUUGUUAUCUCUAGCAGGCUUCCUUUGCAUUUUCAUAAUGCAUUAUUUUCUCAAAGAUGUUACCAUUCACGCACUGUUCCAAGAACAAGGCUAUCCCAUCUUUCUUCUUCAAGUAUUUAUGUGUAGUGAUUUGUGCCUCAUUAACAAUUCUUGCAAGCACUGACACCUUCCUUGACAACAUCAAGAACAUUUUGAUAUCGAAAGAUCACCUUCAUCUAUAUGACUCAUUGAUCUUAAUUAUUAUCUUCAAAGAUUGGUAAAUACGCAAGGAAACUACUAUUAUUUGAAGUUUCCAUCUCUCACGUAUUGUACAGUUUUUGCUAUGGAACAGUUGUUGAACCGACCUGACUCUAGAUGUCAAAUUGAUAAAACACUUAACAGAUUUUUAACAAAAUUAGUGUCUGAAAGUGAUUUUGAUAAAGGAAGAAAGUACUGAGAAUUUUGGAGAUAAAGAGGUAAUGAGGUUGAUUAGCAAUCAAAAUUUUAUUUAUUUAUUUAUUUUGACCAAACCAAUCAAAAUUUUAUUGAAUGAUGACAUUAGAGUAUUAUGUGACUAGAGAGACUAUUAUACAACAUGAGAACUAACAAACAAAUAAAACUAACUCUUAAUUUGUGACUCAAGUUACCUAAUAAACUAUUAGUUAUUUAACUAACAACCUAACUAACUUUGAAUUAUAUCAACAAAUGUAAAAAAGUGCUGCAUUAUACUUUAACAGCGAUACAAUACCAUCGCUGUAAAAGUGUUGUCUAAUAACUUUUUUGGCGUAAUCCGGCGAAGGUCCAAUCUAGCUUCAAGAUCAAUGGAGAAUCGGUUGAUCAAGACAAAAUUUUAUUUAUUAAUUUUCUAUAUCUAGUUAUACUAUAUAUUAUUGAACAGAUGAGUUUUCACAAAAUUUAAUAAGCAUUCUUGAUAGAUAAUAAGAUUCACAACAAUGGGCAUUUAGUAAUUUUAUAUGGCAGAUACCCAUAGAUUGGGUACCAUAAUAUCUGUUACCAUCCAUUGAUAAUCAACCAGAAUAAAUACUCAUUUAUUUUAUCUACACGAACAUUCACACGUAUAUUACAUAUUUGGCUUAAAUAUGGAAAUGGUCCAUGCAAAUAUUUGGGUUUUGGUUUUAAUCCCUAUAAAGAUAUUUUUUUGGUUUUAGUCCCUGCAAAUAUAGAAUAUUUGGUUUUGGUCAUUGAUAUUUUGUUUUAAUCCUUGUAAAAUCAUUUCAUAUUGAGAUUGGUCCCUAUAAUAUUCAUUUUAGUCCUCAUUUUGAGGGACUAAAAUCAAAUAUUCUACAUAUUACAAGGACCAAUUCCAAUAUGAAUCAAUUUUACAAGGACUGAAACAAAAUACCAAGGACCAAAACCAAAUUUGUUAUAUUUGCAGGGACUAAAACCAAAAAAAUAUUUUUACACGGACUAAAACCAAAAUGUCAGACAGACAUAUGCAGGGUCUAUUUUCAUAUUUAAACCUACAUAUUUAUAUUAAUGCUUGGUACCAAUAAUAUCUAAAAUGUAAUUCAACCAAGAACCAGAAAGAGAUCAGGUUGGUCCCUUGGGAUAACUAACUGAUGUACCAUAAGAAGUCCAUGAAUUGCUACAAUUAUCAUCUCCAACAUCUGCUGUUGGUGGAUCUUGUGGACAAAAAUAAGGCUUAUUAGGAAUUUGCAAGUCUCCAUCUUCUUCUUCAAGCAUCUCCAAAACUUUUUCCAUUGAAGGACGAUCCUCUGGUUUUGUUUGUAUACACCACAAAGCUACAAUCAUCAUUUUCUUUGCCAAUUUCAUUUCCUGAUCUGUGUCAUUUUCAAUAGUUACUUCCCUUCCAUCAUGUAAUCGAUCAUAAAUCCAAAAAGGGAAAUAAAUUUCACUAGAUUGAUCAGCCAAUGCAUUCAAAUUCUUCCUUCUGCUUGCCAUCUCCAUUAACAACAUCCCAAAGCUAUAUACAUCAGCUUUGUGAGAUAUUGUGCCGACAUUUCUAUAGAAUAAUUCAGGGGCCAUAUAUCCGAUGGUUCCUCUUGCUGCAGUUAAUGACACAAUGCUUUUAUCUGUAGGAGAAAGCCUGGCUAGUCCAAAAUCAGAAACUUUUGGAUUGAAAUUUUCAUCAAGAAGGAUGUUAUGAGGCUUUAUAUCAAAGUGUAGAAUUUUCAUAUUGCAUCCAUUGUGCAAGUACUCAAUGCCACGAGCCACUCCAAGAGAAAUUGAAUACAAUUGUUCGCAACUUAAGGAAUAAUUCUCUUUUGUAUGAGAAAAUAUGUAUUUUUCGAGUGAUCCAUUUGGCAUGAAUUCAUAUAUAAGAACACGUUUUGAACCCUCCACACAAAAACCAAUAAGGUGUGCCACAUUAACAUGGUGAAUCCUACCGAUGGUGACAACUUCAUUGAUAAAAUCUUGACCGUUGGACUUGGCUUUGUCCAAUAAUUUAACUGCUACAAGACGACCACUUUGAAGUUGUCCUUUGAAAACAGAUCCAUAACCUCCAUUGCCUAAUUUUGUUUUGAACUGGUGUGUUAUCUUUUUUAUGUCUUUGUAAGAGUACCUUAUAGGCAUGAUGUUAUUGUCACUUCGUAGAAAGUCUUCGACGCCGUCAUACAUAGAGAAAUGUUUCCGUCUCCAUUUGUAGAUUAAUAAUGCAAUGAUACAUGGCGCUCCAAGAACAAAUUUAAAACCGACGAGCAAAGCUAUAACGAAACGGAAAUGAGAUCAAGAAAAUGAAAUUAUUAUAAGCUUCAUUAUUUUAUACUAUGAUACUUUUUUUUUUUUUUGUUGGAAAUAAUUAUACUAUGAUAGAUAAAAUGAAAAUGAAAUUAUAAUAAACUUCAUUAUUUAAAAGUGUUUAUAGAACUAAACGAAGUGAAAACUGAAAAAUGUGAUGCCCUAAAUUUCCAUCAAUAUACUCCAGUUGUCUCCCUUUUUUGGUGAGAAGGGGCUUAAAGAGGUUUCACCAUCUCCUUUCUCAAUUUGCUUUGAUGAAAAACACUCAUUUUUUCAUAAAAAUCUUUGUAUUUUACUGCUAUUUUUCCUUGGGUUGCUAAUCACUUUGAGCAUUUGCUUUCGUUUUACCAGAAAUAUUUUAUUAAAAUGUUGUUUUCUUUUUGUCACAAGACAUGUUUAAACUCAAGAAUUUACUUAACAAGAUGAGGAUCUGCAACACAAUCAAUGCCACUUUUUAUAUCAUAUAUACAUCUCUGGGUAAAUUUUUCCUCUGGGCAACCAAAAAUUGUCUUUUUCUGUUACAAGGCUAGAAAUUAGACACAACCAAUUUCAUCACACCAAUCUUUUAUUUUGAUCUGCAAGCUUUGCCUCAAUUUUUGUCUUUACAUUAUCAUCAAUAUGAUUAUUAUCCAUGUCAAGUUUCUUUGAGUGUUAUUUAGAACAGGAUAUUACAAAUGUACAUAUACCCAAUAAACAUUAGUCUUAACAUUAUGAAGUGCUAAGAAGAACUUCAGAUUGAUCAGAAGAACUUUAGAAUUAGAUCAUAAGCAUCUCAUGGUCACUGCAAAAAUUGAAGAACAUGAUUGACCGAGGAAUAUGAGAUUCGAAGUUGAUCCAUGUCAAUCUUAUGAACAAAAUUCUUCAAUAAAAGAAGACUUUAGAAUAGACAUAAGAAGCACAUCAGAAGCACUUCAUGGUUAGGCUAAGAAGUUCAGAAUUUGAUAUCAUCAACUGAUUCUCGUCUCAAAAGUUAAGAUUAAAGAUUUUGAAGAAUGGAAUGAAGAUCAACUACACUUAAGGUUGCAGAUCAGGUAGAUCAGAAUUGCAAGGCAAGAAAUACAUGACAUUGAAGCUCUAUAUAUGGCUGCAUCAUUCCAAUGAGAAAAAACAUUGUCUCCAUGACAUAUCUCUGACCAAAAUCUUUUAUGUCAAGAAUCUCUACAUCUGAAAAAGAUCAGAUUGCUUGAAAAAGAUUCAAUCAUCUUCUCACUUGAGAUUCACUUCUCAAACAAUAGAGAACAAUAAAAAAUACACCUAAGCCUCCAUUAUAUCUUUGGAACAUCUUUUAUAGUGUAUUUGAAAAUUUGAAAUUCUAUGUGUGUGAUCAGAUUGAACUUCGAGAAAGAAAAGUUCAGACUCACUUAAUGUGAUCGGUUGAACUUAGAGAUAGAUAGAUAGAGAGACAGAGGUCAUUGUGAGAUCUAAUUGAUUCCUUUGAAAGAUCAAGUUCACAAGAACAAUUAUGUUAUCAGUUGUAAAACUUCACUAAUCCUCUUUAGGUUUUGGUUUGUUUUGAUAAAGAGUAAUAAGUUUGCUAAGAGUUUGUUUUGGUUUGUUUCACUAGUUUGUUACAUCACUUGAUGUGUAUAUGGAUUCAUAUACCUUGUAAAUACCAAUUCCAAUUCAUUCAAUAAAUUUCACCAGUCUUUUACUCAUAUCUCUCUUUCUCUCUCAAAACUAUAGAAACCCUAGAAUCUCAAUUCCAUCUUCUUCAAUUGAACACAAUUUUAAGUGUUGGUUUCAUUCAAUUUUCAUACAUUGCUCCAUCGGCAAUGUGUAAUGCCAGCGAAAAUGUGUAAUGCUUGAUUUGGAAAUUUGCAAUAGUUAAAUGAUGCAAUUUGAUUUAAUUGUCCAGUAGUUGCAUCUGUUUGGCUAAAAUAUGCGGACUCGUGAAAAGUCGUGUUUGAUGGGAUUCAACCCCAUAACACUAGUGCAUGCGAAUGGACACUUCCUUUCACCAUUGUGUUAACCAGUGCAUCUUGUCGUUUCAAAAAAUCUUUCAAAGAGUUGUAUCUCUUCACUAAAGGACAUAAGUUUCUCUAUAAAUAGACACUUUGGAGGCAGAAAAAGAUACACAAAAUCACAUUCUUGUAAGUCAAAGUUCUGCCGAAAAUAAUACAAAAUCAUUUCUUCUUUUCUCUAGUGCACGGGAGUAAACCAGAGAAUUUGAUUUUGUAAAAUAUCAUUGAUCUAUAGUGUGAAUGUGCAAGUCACGUCAAGGAUUCCAAGUUAUCAUGAAGGUGAUUCACGAGUACACCUAUUUGCAUACACUCACAGAUCUAGUGUGGGAGGAAUGGGGUCAUUUGACCCCACUUGCCUCCACAUGUGUAUUAUAUUUUUAACCUAAAAUUAGAUAUAGAUUUAGUUUGACCCUUCUUUAUAUAGUAUUAUUAUCUUCACAUAGUCUAUUUAUUACACUACAAAAAAUUAUAAAACUAGGAAGGAUCCUAAUGAGUGUUCUAAGAGCACAAGUUAAUAAAUCAAAAGAAGUAGUUUUUUUUAUAAAAAAGUUGUUAUAAUUAUUAUAUUGAUACAAAUAACGCUUAUUUUUAAGAUAAAAAUUUCUUUUAUGAAAUCUUUAACCAAUUAUCUCAGAGCAUGACGUUUUAUAAUAUUAACUAUUCUUAUAUUUGUUGAAAAAGCUUGUGCCUGACGCUAUGUUGGUGGUGAAAAAAUAAUUAAUUAAGGUUAUAUUUUUUAUACUCCGCUAGAAAUUGACAAAUAUUUUUAAAAAAAUCAACAUUUUAGAGCAAUUAUAAAUAUAACUUGUAUAAUUUUCGCACACUUACGCGUUUAUAAAGUUUUAUAUAAAUUUUCAUGAUAUAACUUGACCCCACUUAUUAAAAUUUCUGGAUCCGGUCGCUCUUUGCAUUUGGGUUGACAUAAACGGGUGGGGACGCAUGUUCAUUUUUAUCUUCCUUUUGUUCAAGUUUUGCUGCACCUCGAUAAAAGUUCUAACAAUAUUCCCAUGAAUAAGUUUAGAAUCUCCCAAACAAACGCAGCCUAAGAAUAAUAUUUCUAAAAUUUGUUUUAAGUCUCACACUUUGUUUAACAUAUUCUCCAUGGACUUGAGGGAAUGCAAGAGCUUACCUAUGAGAAUUGAGAUAUAAACGAGAUUCCAAGCAACCUUUUGAAGCGCCGAGUAUUCUGCAACAACAUACUUAAACAUGGUUAAGAAACAAACUACCAAAUUGCGUGGUAUGGACAGUGAUAUAUGGUAUGAACCGGGUAAGACGAUCGUUAUCGGUGACAAUGCUACAUUUUCAAGGUUUGAUUCUAACCAAGUGUGUGUGUAUAUCAGGGUAAUAACACCAUCUUGUGAAAAACAGGGAAAUAAUGAUUAUAUAAUAAGUUCGAUGAGUGCUCCUAUUAUUAUUAUAUGUAAUAAAAAAAGUCUGAGGAAUAUCACAGAAAAAAAAAAAAGGUCUAAUGAAUACUCCAUUUAUCUUUCUUGCGGGUAAAAAGUUGAAUUGUUUUGAAAAUUUAGAAGCCAAAGUCCAAACACCAUUCAUUUGCUUUAUAUGGGUAUCUAUACUUGUGCUAAUUCUUCAGAACUUGCAGAGGACAAUUCCUUAUUGAAGGUUACUAUCAUAACUCUUAAUAUCAGAGAGCAACCUGAUUGCUGCACUAAAGGAAAGAGGUGCAGACUCUGAGCUGGACAUUACAUUUGGGAAUACUCUGAAUGCUAAGUGUCUGAGUAACAUGUAUUUCACGAACUCUGAUGAGUUAGUUGAUUCAGGAAGUCCCUUCUGCAUCAGAGAGACUAAUCCAGUCUAUCUGGAUAGAUUCCAUGUAAUAUCUCAACUGGAUAACAAAGAUGUUAUCAGAGUUAUAUUCAGAUGGCAAAGGAGGAAGGAGUUACAAUCACUGAAGCAGAUAUACCUCUAGCUCCUGAGAAUUGUGCAUUAUGAUUGGUUGGUGGGUAAAUUACCCACCAUUUUUCAAAGAUAAUCUAGAAAAAACCUAUAUAUAUAUAUAUAUAUAUAUAUAGAGGGUGUAUCAAAUGAGAGCACUAUUAAAAUGAGAGAUGAGAGGGAUACAUAACAACCCUUGGAUUAAUCUUUAUUGUGCUCCUUAAUUUUAAAAACUGCAGCGUAUAAAUCUUUUUUCAUUCCCUUUUGUGUGCUUCUUUUCUCGCCGUUUCUUCUCGCUGUUGCUGUUACGGUUUCUUUUUCAGAUCUCGGGCAAAACAAUUUUGUUGCAUCAAAUCUAAUUUUUAAUUAAUCGAAUUGCAGUUUUGAAAUCACACCAAAAUGAAGUUGGAAAAAUAUGAUUUUUUUUUCAUUCUGUUCAUCUUCUAGCUCCAAUCUACUUUCGAUUUCAAGAAGAUAAGAAGAAAAAAACAAUCUUUCUUUCUGCUGCUAUUUGUUUAAUGUUUCUGUUACCAAUUAAGAGAAUGUAAAAUUUUCUUUCUCAAUUAAAAAAAUCAAAAUCCAAAUUUCAAAUUAAAAAUCAAGAGUGAAUUGCAAAACUAGAAAGAGACAUGACAACGAACAAAAUGGAUUGAAAAUAAAAAUCGAAUUUAAAAAAGAAAAAGAAAAAGGAUUUCAAUGGAACAUGAAGAAGAGUAUUGGAAUAGGAAACAAUGGAGAUGGAAGGGGAAGUUAGAAAAUCACAUACAAAGAAGAAACGCUAACCAUGAACCUGGAAAAGGAAAGAUAAUCAGGUAGUCACACCCCACAUUAAGUGUAAUAUCAUCUCCACCGUUCAGUUUGAUCCUACGGUCCUAAUUCAAUGCUCUCAUCUCUCAUUAUAAAAUGUCCUCUCACUUGAUACACCCUCUAUAUAUAUAUAUAGGUUUUUUCUAGAUUAUCUUUGAAAAAUGGUGGGUAAUUUACCCACCAACCAAUCAUAAUGCACAAUUUAUUGGUGGGGUCAAGAUAGUUUAUGGAUACCACCUAAAAAGGUGAAUGUUUAUUGGUUGGGGUAAAUUACCGACCAUUUUUCCAUGGAUACCUUAGUUGUCACCAUAUAUAUAUAUAUAUAUGUAUGUGAGGUUUUCUCUAAUAGACCCAUUUUAUUUUAUGAAGGUCUAUUUUAGACACACCUUUUCACCUGGAGACACACACACUAUAUAUAUAUAUAUAUACACGGGGGCUGCUAACUUAAAUUCACCAAAAAACAUUAAGGUACAAGUUAGCAAGCUACACCCACCUAAAAUUAUUAAGGUGCAAGUUAGCAACCUACGCUCACUUAAUUAUUUACACUCAUUUUUAUAAAUUUUAUAAAAAUUACACAUACUUUCAUCAUUUUAAAUAUUGUUUCCUUGAAAGUUUGUCCCUAUUACAUGUUUUGUACAUUAAACAUGUCACUAUUUUUUUUUUUUUUUUUAAGGAUCCUGCUUCUUCUUUUUUAACGUCAUAUAUAGUAGUGUAUUAUGUACAUGUCUAUUAAAAAAGCUUCAGGUGAUAAUUUUUUUGUUUUUGCUGCAAAACCUUAAACCUUCAAUCUAAUAAUUUUGCACAAGUUUAUUAAAGAACAAAAAGUUUCAGUAGCUUAUUUGAUUAAAAAAAAGGUUAGUGACUUUGAGGAUGUACAGGCCACAAAUCAAAAGCGUAAACAUAGGAAACUGUUACGUGUUUGUUUUCUUGUUUUAAAAAAAAAUUAAUUGAAAAUGACAAAAUUAUCCUUCAAUUUAAAAUUGGUUUGAAUAAUGACAAAUGGAUAUUUUAGUAAAAACAAAGUGGGUGUAGUUAGCUAACUUACACCCUAAUAUUAUGUAUAUACAUACACGCACGCACAUCUUUGACAAAUACAAGUCAAAGACAUGUACAUAGCUCCACAGCUAGAGCUAAAUAUUUUCACUUUUGCAUUGGCCCUUGCACAUCUUAGCCCUCUUUAAGAUAAGUUCAAGGAAAACUCAAGUAUGUCGUCAUAGUUGUGGAUUACUACAGAAAGAAAAAGAAAAAAAAAAAAACAAGACUUUCGUGGUGGUCUGAACCAUCACAAAUGUUUGUCACUAGCUUAAAUUGUGGAGAUUUUGGACGAUCACAAAUCCGCCGCAAACAGAUGAUUUGUUAAGGACUAAAUUAAAUUUAAACAAAUUAUAGUAUUUAUAACUUAUAAGAACCACAAUUAGAUUUAGCCAAACUUAAAUGAAAAUAAAUAAUAAACUUUGAGAAAGGUGGAGUCGUUUGGAACAGAUAUAUUACCUCCAAAGUUCAAAUGGAGGUCUUCUACACAGACAUAGGUGUUAUUGUCAUCGAGGUCUGCAUACCAUCCAUCUUUACAAAAACUGUUGAGCCAAGAAAGUUCAAAUCCAUAAAAGAUCUCACGACGGAUGUCUGUGCAUGAAAUGUUGUUGUUUUUGUUGUGGUUGUUGUUAUUUUGAAUAUCCAAAGAUGUGAGAUACAUAAGCACGAUACCACAACCGUCUGCCAGCCCCGAAUCCGAAAAAGUUUCGUUUUCUCCAAUAUAAUUGACGUAGAACGAAUUCCCUGGUUGCUCAUAUGUACUAAUGUUCAUACAGGCCGGAGAAGCAAAGUAAAUACCAGAAGAAUAUUGGACAUGAUUCGGACAUCUCAUAUAUAACACAGGCUUUGCCAAUAAUAUAUUGUACACAUACAUUUCGUACGGCAAGCUUAUGGAAUAUGUGUAAGUGAAAUUAUAGAGGCCUAGUGAAUGGGGAGGGAGGGUAAAAUUAGAGUAACCAAAAUUGACAUCCAAUAGUCGUAUAGUGUAGUUGUUGUAAUUAAUUGAUUGUACAUAAAAUUUACCAUGGUUUUUUCCAAAUUCAUAGUACAAAAUCAACUGGUUGUUGUCCUCACAUGAUAAGAUGUAUCUUUUGUCACCACACUUUUUAGGACUGUCUUUCAAGCGGAAAGGAGACCUGAUGUUAUGAACACCGCACCAUCGAGAACAUGACUCUUGGUGUUCAUCACCAUACACACUGUACCUGAAUGUUACUAUCAGCAUCGCAAGGGUUACCGCUGCUGCAGCAGAGUUUAAGGAUGGCAUUUUUGGUUUUCUGAUUGCAAAACUCACAUUUUUACAUCAAAUUAUUUAGCAAGCUCGAAGACUUUUAACACUAAAAUAAAAAGUCUUCGGAUAUAUCUAAUAGAUUUUGACAGAAGUAUUAGAUUAAUUAUGAGUUUGGACUUAUUGACAGGCACUAAAUAAUUGAAUAUUAUCAAAUAAUAUGACCAGUUCAGUUUUGACGUAAGCUCUUAUCUCAUAGUAGAAUGGUAUCGAGAAAAACUCAACACUCAGUUUAAAAAGAUAUCAGUAUUGAAAAGAAGCUCAGAGAUCUAGAUUAAUCAAAUGAAUAUAACUAAAAAAUAAGUUUAAUAAAAUGAAUGCGUCCGUAGCGGUUUUGUAUAACGAAAAUUUUAUGGUGAAAUCAUGAGAAUGAUUUUUUUGGUGAAGUUAACACUAUAACAUAAAAAAUGUAAUGAGUAAGACCCCACUGUUUGUACAAUGACAUCAAAAGUUCAAUCCUCAUAGUAUCAUCAACUCAUCAGAUUAACAAGACUACACUUAAUCUUAUUUUAUCAUACCUUGUUAUAAGGGUAACACCUCACAAAGUGUAACACUUAAGACUGUCACAUAAUAUCAUCAACUCUGUUUGCAUGUUAAAGAUUCUGACAAUAAAAUAGUAUCUGUAAGUCCAAAAUGUUGCAAGCAUUACUAGAUGAAUUACUAUUGAUCAUUAAUCAGUAAUCAACAAUUUAAAAAUGAAUCAAACAUUAAGAUCAAAAUUAACUUUUUCAAAAGAGUCAGUUUUCUGACUGCACCAUAGAAGCUCCCUUUGUAUGAGUGUACUUUAAUAAAAAAAAAUUGAAUAUGAUAUUCACUUGGUAGUUGGUCAAUUCACUUUUUUUUUUUUAACAAAAGUUGGUCCAUUCACUUGCUGCUACACCCACAAUAAAAAUAUUAAUGCAUCACCAUAUAAAUCUAACGAUUUGGCUCGUGAGCUACUCAUUUAAAGUGUAAAGUGGAUAAUAUCAAUUGUUUAUUAACAAAUAAAUUAUAUUUUUGGUCCCUUAAUUAUUUAGGUAGUAUCGCUUUGGUCCCUUAAGUAAAAUUUGAUUUAUUUUGAUCCCUUAACUUUUCUCCGUUACACAUUUUGGUCAUUUCGGUUAGUAUUUAAUUCAAAAACGUUAUGUUUUCUUCAUUUUCUUCUGAAACUUUUUUGGGAUUCUUAUUGUUGAAGGUUGAUGGAGAUGAUAUAAAGAUGAAAAAGAGGAGAAGAAGAUGAAGAAAACCUAACGUUUUUGAAUUAAAACUAACAGAAAGGACCAAAAUGUGUAACGAAGAGAAGUUAAGGGACCAAAAUAAAUCGAAUUUUAAUUAAGGGACCAAAGCGAUACCACUUAAAUAGUUAAGGGACCAAAAAUGCAAUUUAGCCUUAAAUUAAAGGUAGAUAUUACAUAUAUAUAGAGCUAUAAAAAAUGGGCCGGCCCAUAUUUUUGGGUCGGGCCGGGCCUAAAAAACUAACCAAAAAUGCACUUGGGCUUUUUCGGCCCAAGCCCAUAUUUCAUUUUAUUUUUGUUAAAAAACAACAUAUUUUUUAAAAAAAUUAUCAACUAAUUUAAAAUUUAUUAACAAAAAAAUAUUUAAAUAAAUAAACUUAAUAAAUAUGGAUGAAUUUUUUUUUUGAAUGUUAAUAUGGAUGAAUUUAGCUUACAGUUUUAAAAUUUUAAAGUUUAUAAAUUAUUAAUUUGAUUUAAUUGAAAGAAUAAUCUAGAGUUUAAUUAUUAUUCAAUGUUAAUGUAAAAAUUAUUUAUAUUUUUAUGUCCAUCCAAUCAUAUUUUAGCAAAAAAUAAUGGUGAGUAACUAAUACAUAAGAAAAUACAUAAAAAAAAAGUGAAUAAAUUUUUAAAAUAAAACAAAAACGGGUCAGGCCGGGCUGGCCCAUGGCCCACCCGGGCCGGAAUCUAGAAUUCACGACCUAAUCAUUAACGGGCCGGGCUGGCCCAUUUCUAUAGUCGGACCUCUCGGACCCGAGCCGGGUCGGGCCGGCCCAUUUGACACCUCUACAUAUACAUCAAAAAUCAUGAGUUUCUUACAAUAAUAUCCCUUAAUUUUCUUAAUUUACACUUGACUCACUUUAAAGAAUAUUUUAUAAGUCUAGACGGAAUUUACGGAAUAAUAUCUACGGUUUCUAAGAAUGGGUUAAUGACAAUAAAAAAUUGACAUAAUUAUAUAUUGGAAAGUUAUUUCAUCUACUCAUCUUAAAAAGUAAAAAAUGCCACAAUAUCAACUUCAUAGUGCCGGUUCACUCAUGUACAAGUACUUUAAAAUAUUGGAAUUUGCAAACCUAGACUCAUAUAUAAUAAGUAUAUAAUAGUCACAAUGAUACAUAGAUAUUGACAUUGCUACCAACAUAUAUCAUUUUGAAUAGCAUUUUGAUAUAGGAGGUUUUCCUUAUUAAUUUUAUAUUUCAGCCUAAUUUUAUCAUGUGUUAUUGGCUUCAAAAUUGUGAAGUUGAAAAACAGAGAAAUCGUGACACGAUUUCAUAGGCGUGUCACGAUUUUGCAAUGUCGAGAACUGUUUUGCAGGGUACCCAAUCGUGACACGAUUUUGGAAAAAUGUGACACGAUUUUCGGCUUGGUAGGCAAGUUUUCAAAAUAAAGUUGGUCAUACCUUGGGUCAUACGCAUCAACCGUGUCACGAUUUGGCAAAACGUGACACGAUUUUGACAGCUGAAGACUGUUAUAUAAGUGUUCUUUGCAGAUUUUGAAGGAGAGCUUGAAGAGAGAGAAACUUGGAAAAUCAAAGGAGGUAACUUUAGGGUUGAGGGUCUUUGAUUAUAGUUCUCUUGGGUUGGGAAACAUUGUAAACACCUUGGGUGAGUGAAAAUCAUUGAGUGUCUUGUUCAUUGGUGAGAUUGAAAAAAUGGAUAGAAAUUAUGGUUGUUCUUUGUGAGCUUGUUGAAGCUAAUUUCUUGUAACUCAUUUGUAUCUCUUUGUAAGAAGAAUUCAUUGAUAGUGGAUUGGAGAAAUCAAUCUCUCCCCUAGAUUAGGUAAAGUUGGAUCGAACUGGGUCAACAAUCUUUGAUGUGUUUGUUUAUCUUCUCUCUUUAUCUUUUGCUUGUGGUUUUGAGUUUUUCCCUUUGAUUACUAGAUUAGAUCUAGGUGUUGUUAUUGUUGAUUAUUGCUUGUGUUCACUUUGAUAUUGAUUACUACUUUCCUUUGCUCCACACAACAUAGUUUGUAUUGUUGUGAUUUUGAGUCCGAAUUCACAACAAUUUGUUUGUUUUGUUUUCAGUUUGUUAUUUUCGGCCUAUCAGGGUUUUGUUAUUUCCCUAUUUAAAUUUAACAGUUGUAGCUUAAGAGGAAACUUUUAUUCAUUCAAUAAUAUUUUAGAGAGUUUUUUCAAUUUUCGGUGGAUUCCAGAACCAUAUUUUUACAAGUUUGUCGCUUGCAAAAUUGUUUUUCAAUUUAGGUUUAGCGCUUGCUAGCCUCCGCUUCCGACUGCGUCUGUUAGUAUCAAAGCAGGUUUCUCCUGUUUUUUUUGAACGUGAUAAGCAGAGCCGUUCCUACAAAUUUGGAGGCUCGACUCUCUAAGUGAAAAGAAGCCCGUAAUAAAAUAAAAACUUAUUUUUUUAAAAGAACAAUAUUCUAUUUAAGUAUUUUUAAAAAAUAAAUACAAUGUGCCGUAUAUAUGAGAUGCAUCCAAAGAUGAAAAUCACUACCGUAUACAUGAGGAUCCUCAAAUCACCCUAAAAAAACACUCACCUAACACCAAAAGCAAGAGAAUCCAGUUCUAAUAAACAAGACAACAGAAGAGGAAAAGGAAAUCAAAUCGGAGAAGAAGAAAAGGAAAGUCUGAUGGAGUGAUGGUGAUGGAACGCAUGGUACCAGAGAGAAAGAGAAUAAGGAGUUUUUAUUUUUAAUUAGUGGGGUAGUACUUAGUAGUAAUACUGGGCUAUACAUUGUUGUUAGUGUUAAUCCUCUAAUAACUAUUCAAUCAACUGCAUUUUGUAUUUCAAAUAGAUUGUAAAUUUUUGGGAAGGUCCACUCAUCGUAUCACAACCUAUACUAUUUUGAAAUGUUGGAAGACCUUGUACAACCUUGAGGACGGGGUGGAUAAUGAUACUAUUCAUAUUGUUUAAGGUUUAUUAGCAUGAAUGUUUGAUAUUGAGGGAAUUAUAGAGGACAUCAAAACUAUAUUGAAGUUGGAAUGAUGGAAAGAAUUAGGAAAAAGAAGAUGCUUCCUUCAUCAUGGGUACAAAGAUGUCUACAAUUGAUAUUUGUGGUUCAACUUCAUCUGAUUGUUCAAGACAUAAAUGUGAUUUCUCAUAAUGAUACACUUGAAGUCAUCCCAGUGGAGCCACUUGAAGUUGAUAGCUUGAAUUUACAAGUUUUCCUCACUCAGUACCAUGGCCAUUGCAUACAAAGUGGAGCUUGGAUCGAGUCUCUUUGUUUAUUAAACUUUUUACUACUAAUAAAUAUGAUUGUGUUCACUGUUUACUUUGAGCAAUGGGAUCCCGGAGGUCAUUUGAACAUGUUUACACCAGCUAGGUCCUACGGGUUGAAACAAUGGGUACCAAGAGGAUGAUCUCUUAUUCAUUGGAGGAGUCAACAUGCAUGGGAAGUUCUUUAUCAGAAUGAGAACUCGGGGUCGAGUUCUUCAGAGGUGGAGGAGACUGAUGUAGGAUGAUUUUCAUUAGUAAUUUUAUAUUUCAGUCUAAUUUUAUUAUUUGUUUGUUUUGUAUUCAGUCUGUUAUUUUCGAUCCAUUAUGGUUUUGUUAUUUCCCUAUUUAAUCUUAACAAUUGUAGCCUAAGAGACAACUUUUAUUCAUUAAAUAAUAUUUUAGAGAGUUUUCUCAAUUUCUGGUGGAUUCCGGAACCCUUUUCACAAGUUUGUCGCUUGCAAACUUGUUCUUUUUCAGUCUAGGUUUAGCGUUUGCUAGCCUCCGUUUCCAACUGCGUCAGAAGGAUACCUCAUUGCUAACUUCUGCAACAAGUAAUGAAGUUGAUGCCAGAAGCAACAUGAUUGCGGAAAUUGAGAAUACAUAUCAUCAUUUAUCUUAGUUGUUAAAGCUGAUGUAGAAACACAGAGUGAUUUUGUCAUGUCCUUGGCAACUGAAGUUUGAGCAGCUUCAUUCUCUAAAUUGAAGAUGUGAAAGAUAUGAUAGGGAAAACUGUUGGAGGAAUAUGAAACUGGUGGGGAUAAAAAAGAGGCUUGUAGUUGCAUGAAAGAGUUAGGUUUUGGAAGAGUUGAAUUGAAGAAGCUCUUAAAGAUUUGGCUUUAUGCUAAGAAUCAGUGUGCAUAUUAUGUUGGAAAAGCAAAGAACGAAGGCACGGAAUCUCAAGUUUACUCAAGGUGUUUGGAUAAUGCUAUUGCAACCAACCCGGGGAUCCUCGGUCGUGUCACUCUUAUUAUUUGCCUGAGUUUUGUAAAAUGGAGGAUCUAGAAAGUAUUCGGCAUGUUACUACAUUUCUUCAAUGGGAUCUAGGAGGGGGUCUCUUGUUUAUUGUAAGAGUCAACUUGCAUGAGAAACUCUUUAUUAGAAUGAGAACUCGGGGUCGAGUUCUUCAGAAGUGGAGGAGACUGUUGUAGGAGGGUUUCCUUAGUAAUUUUAUAGUAUUUUUAUUUUGGCUAAAAUUUAGUAAUUUUCUGUUUUUGUUUCAGUUUGUUAUUUUCAACCCAGAGUUUUGUUAUUUCUCUAUUUAAGCUUAACAAUUGUAGCCUAAGAGACAACUUUUAUUCCUUCAAGGUUUUUUCUAAAUUACCUUUGAAAAAUGGUGGGUAAUUUACCCACCAACCAAUGAAUAUGAACAAUUUAUUGGUGGGGUCAAGAUAGUUCAUGAAUAUGUGCUUAUGUGGCUAAUGUGUAUUGGUUGGGGUAAAUUACCCACCAUUCUUCCAUGAAUACCCUAGUUGUCACCUUCAUUCAAUAGUAUUUUAGAGAGUUUUCUCAAUUUAUAGUGGAUUCCGAAACCUUAUUUUCACAAGUUUGUCACUUACAAACUUAUAUCUUUUUAAUCUAGGUUUAGCACUUGCUAGCCUACGCUUCCUACUGCGUCACAUUUGGACCCAAAACCAAUGGAUUCACGUUAAAAAAUACCCACGGUAGGCGGGUAUAAAUAUCCGCAUUGUUAGGUAUGGGCAUGAGUUCGAGUAAUUACCCGUAAAUUUAUAAUCAGGAUUUUGUUCAGGAUUUUGAUGAUACCCCCAACAUGUCACUCAUUUUCUCUAUAGAAACUGUUAAUAAAUUCUUCUUAACAUUUUAGCAUUGUGCAUUGGAGUUCCUCUAAAGUCUUCGGCUUACAAUGUUGAUUUCACUCAACCUUGACAGCCUACGAAUUUAUUAUUUUACAAUGUGAGGGAAACUAGGUUGUAAUUGCGCUGUUGACUUUAAUCAAUUAUGGUGUUAAUUAAUCAAGUUGGGUUGUUUACUAGGAAAGCGUUGUAGUCAUAUUUAAUUUGAAAAAGUCUUAUAAACAGACACAGAGUUCUCUCUUUCUCAAGAGUCAAGUCAAGAACACUAAUUAUGUUAUGGCAUUCUUGUUGUUCAUGUUUUACAUUGUUGUUGGAACAACAACAGCCACGCCCACAGAAAAUAACUGUCCAGAAGAUUUAACAUGUGGAAAUCAAGUUAUCAAAUUUCCUUUUCAAAUCAAAAACCACAAUCCAAAUCCAUCUUUCUGCGGCUAUCCAGGUUUUGAUUUAUUUUGUUCAUCAAAUAAGGAAACUAUGAUUGAACUCCCUCAUAAAGUGAAACUCAAGGUCAAGAACAUCGACUACACAAACCAAACUAUUGAACUAUCCGAUCCACAAGGUUGCCUAUACAUACAGUUCCACAACCUUAAUCUUUCAUCUUCUCAUUUCAAGCAAGUAUCCGAUACACGGUACUUCUACGAUAAAGUUGAUAGCUAUCACUUUUUUAAUUGUUCACUUUUGAUUAGAGAUGAUGAUAUGGAUUCCUAUUUGGUUCCGUGUCUAAGCACUUCAACCUCUCAAACAUACGCUAUCCCUGCUUAUGAACCUAUCAAAUUCUUUCCUCUCACGUUUUGCACCAAAAUGUAUAAUGUUUCAGUAAUGGGCCCUUCAUAUUCCGGAACUAUUCCAAAGAAAAAUUUUCUUCGUUUGAAGUGGUCUGAGCCUAAUUGUAAACACUGUGAAUCAGAAGGAAAAAGAUGUGACUGGAAGAAUACUACUAGUAAUAGUACCAACAAGGAAGUAUAUUGUUUUGCCAAAAACAACAAUAAAGGUAAUUUACCUUGCUAGCUAUUUGUAUUAAUUUGAAGACAAUUCUAUUCUUUGUUCAAUUUAAUUAUAUAUUCAAUCUUCAAACUUAGUAAAACAAAUUGAACAAGUCGUAGUUCUUUAACAUUGAAUCAAGAUUAUGGAAUUUUAAAGAGAAGCUGAGCAAUUUAACAACAUAGUUUUUCAAAAUUUAUAUUAGAAUGACUUGGAUCUUCUACAACUUCAAACUCUCCGGUCAAAUCUCAAUGGUUAGAUUAACCUAAUGGUCAAUAGCAUUAUAUAUUUUUUCCGACAAUAAUAGUAUUAUAUCUUGGAUUAAUCCAAUGACGAGGUUUAGCUGAAGAAAAUGCAAAUGAUUUAGAGUAUUUGAUAAAAAAAAUCCUUAAGAAUAGUCUAAAAUAUUAUUAUUUAGGUUAAAAUACAUCAUAGGUCCUUAACUAUAUUGUUUUCCGACAUAAACUAAGGCUUGCAAGUAUGACUUUGUAGGUUCUUCAACUACCCUAGUCAACACAGGUCAGCUUUUAAGUUUAAGUUUGCUUUAUUUUAAUUUUAAUCUAUAUGAAAAUUAUCAUUUUUCUUAAAUUAAUUUUCAUAAAUGCAGGAUCAAUUUUAGGUUCGUUAUUUUUUGUCUUGUUGACUGGUGCAAUCUACCAUAUUUAUGACUCUUACAUACAAAAGAAAGAAAAACAAGCCAUUAUAGAAAAGUUUUUAGAAGAUUAUAGAGCUCUUAAGCCCACAAGAUACUCAUAUGAAGAAAUUAAAAGAAUCACAAAUAAUUUUGGCGACAAGUUAGGACAAGGUGCCUAUGGAACUGUAUAUAGAGGAAGCAUUUCAAAAGAAAUCAUUGUUGCUGUGAAGAUACUAAAUGUUUCACAAGGAAACGGGCAAGAUUUCCUCAAUGAAGUUGGUACAAUGGGUAGAAUCCAUCAUGUUAAUAUUGUUAGAUUGGUCGGUUUCUGUGCUGAUGGAUUUAAAAGAGCUCUUAUUUAUGAAUUUUUACCAAAUGGUUCGCUCCAGAAGUUCAUUAAUUCACCAGAAAACAAGAAAAACUUCCUUGGUUGGAAAAAGUUGCAUGAAAUUGCUUUAGGUAUAGCUAAAGGAGUUGAGUAUCUUCAUCAAGGUUGUGACCAACGCAUCGUCCAUUUCGAUAUCAAACCACAAAAUGUGUUACUUGACCAUAACUUUAUUCCAAAGAUAUCUGACUUUGGUCUAGCUAAAUUAUGUUCAAGGGACCAAAGCAUAGUGUCAAUGACAGCAGCUAGAGGAACUUUGGGCUACAUUGCUCCAGAAGUUUUCUCAAGGAACUUUGGAAAUGUGUCUUACAAAUCAGAUGUUUAUAGUUAUGGAAUGAUGUUGCUUGAAACAAUAGGAGGGAAGAAGAUAACAGAGGACUUAGAGGAAAACAGUAGUCAUGUUUACUAUCCGGAGUGGAUUUAUAAUCUUAUAGAUGAUCAAGAGGAAAUGAGAAUACAGGUUGACGAUGAAGGGGAUGAAAAAAUUGCAAGGAAAAUGGCCAUUGUGGGAUUAUGGUGCAUUCAGUGGCAUGCUAUGCAUCGACCAACAAUGCAAAUGGUGGUUCAGAUGUUGGAGGGAGAUGUCGACAAAACUCCAAUACCUCCAAAUCCUUUUGCUUCUCAAUCUAGACAACCUAGGAGAAAUGGCGGAGCUAAAAUUACUAGACAACUAACUCAAGAGUUGGAUGUAAUUCAAGAGUUAGAUUGACUUACAAUUGUAAAAUAUGUGCCAGAAUCAGCUUUUGUCUGAUUUAUAAAUAGCUUUUGAACCAUAAUCAGCCUGCUUUCUCUCACUCCCACACAUAAAUUCGUACAUAUUGUGUAUAACUGUAGCUUAUAUAUAAAAUAUUUGAACAACAAUGUAUAUGUUGUUUGUAUGGAUUUCUUGCAGUUGCUAGUAAUCACUAAAACAGAAACAGAAAUACUGAGUGCAUUAUGCCUUUUGAGCUCAACUCCCUUGGAAUCACUUUGUGACUUCAUGCUCUGCAAAUAGUGCUUGAGAAUUUUCCAUCUAUAAAGUAUUCAAAUUAGAGUUAAAUUCUUCCUACAAAUAAUAAGAUAAGAUCUUUUUUCUUUUUAUAAAGAACGCGCACUUCUUUAUAGGGGAAAGUUCCUCUUCAGAUGCUAUAUUCUUCUUAGUAUGCAAGUUAGGAAACAUUUCCCUUAGAGGGGCCGUUGUUUAUUUUCUCAGUAUUUUAUUUUUCCCAGAUGCCAAAUAGAUGGAUGUGUUCUUUGUAAAAUCUAUUCGCCAAAGAAAUUGAGGAAUACAUUAAUUAAACUUUGAUAUAAAAAAAAAGAAAAUAAUUACAAUAUUUUUAUUAUAAACAAAACUGCCAAAGACUUCAGAAUCGCUUUUCUCCAUGAUAUCAUGAUCCGUGGCAGAAUCAGAACUGAAAUUUUCAUCAGAAGCGUCGUGUUCAUUCCUUGGAUAUCCCUCUGCUAACAUGUGAAGAAUCAUGGGAUGAGAGGGUUAUAAAUCAUACUCAUAAGAGAGAGAAAGCGAGCAUAUGAAUUAUAAUGAGGUAAAAGCUCAAAAGGUAACUAGCAACUCUAGUUACCUAACAAACGGUUAGUUAUUCAACUAACAACAAAACUAACUUUGAAUUAUAUCAACUAAUGUAAAAAGCGAUGCCUUAUGCUUUAACAUAGAAGGAACACACAUCACAUUAAAAGUGUUGUCUAAUGCAUAUUUUUGGAGUAAUUGGGUGUAGUUCUAAUCUAGCUUCAAGAUCAACGGACCAUUGGUAGAUCAAGACAAAUGUGUUUCUAUAUCUAGUUAUACCAUAUAUUAUUGAACAAAUGAGUUUUCACCAAAUUUCAAAAGCAUUCUUGAUACAUAAUAAUAUGUUACAACAACGAUACCCAUAGAUCCGAUACCAUAAUAUCUGUUACUAUCCCAUGAUAAUCAACCAAAGAAAAUACUCAUUUAUUCUAUUAACAAACAUUCACACACACACACACACACAUAAAAACUGCUACUUAUAUUAAUGCUUGGUACCAACAAUAUUAAAUGUACUUCAACCAAGAACCAAAAAGAGAUUAGGUUGGUCCCUUGGGAUCACUAACUGAUGUACCAUAGGAAGUCCAUGAGUUGCUACUACUAUUAUCUCCAACAUCCUCUACUGGUGGAUCUUGUGGACAAAAGUAAGGCUUAUUAGGAAUUUGCAAGUCCCCAUCUUCUUCUUCAAGCAUCUCCUAAAACUUUUUCCAUUGAAGGACGAUCCUCGGGAUUUGUUUGUAUACACCACAAAGCCACGAUCAUCAUUUUCUUUGCCAAUUUCAUUUCCUGAUCUGUGUUGUUACACCCUGUUUUUGGACCUAAAAAUACUGGGCCCAAUUUCAUUUCAAACCUUGUCAAUUAUUAAAUUUCAACUGCAUAGUUCAAAUUGUCUCUGCCUCGCAGUAUUUUCAAUCACAAUUUUACCUAUGUUUUUCUUGCAUAAAACCUUUCAAAAUGUCUUUACUUGUCUUGUAAGUCAUUCAAAAGUGUCUCUGAAUCAUUGCAUUGCUUUUUCUACAGUUUAUUUCAAAAUUUGCAAAAAGUCAUACAGAAGGGUAUUUUGGUCAUUUCCUGCAGUGGGACCCAUUUUCAUCCUUGUGGCUGUCUCUGAGUCUUUUCAAAUUGUUUUUCAGUAAACCUUGUUAAAAUUCAUUUCAAACUUGCGUCUGAGUCAGUGUCAAGUCUGUUUGAGUCAGUUUAGGUCAUUUUUAGCCCUAGGGGCAUUUUAGUCAUUUCACACGAAAUUUUGGCAUAGAGAGGUUACUUUGAAGUACCUCAUUUAGGUCAUUGGUUCGUUUUAGUCCGUUUUGUCAAUUUUAUUUUUGUUUCGCUUUACGUUUGAUCAAAUUGCGUUUUAUUCAAUUUCAUUUUUUUAUUGCAUUUUGGUCCAGUUUCUUUUCCAAUUUGCAUUUUAGUCCUUUUUUAUUUUCAUAUUAGUCCCUUAAUUUUUCAAUUUUGCAGAAAGGUCCCAAAUUAAUUCUAAGUCCAAAGCCGUGCCUUUUUUUUUACAAGUCCAGGUGUCCUUUUCUUAUUGGUUCCAAUGCACACAUGUCAGCUAUAAAAGCAUUGAGUCAGAAUCAGAAGCAAUGAUCACACGCCACUUCACCAAAAACAGAAUCAAACUUUCUCUUUCUUGUCAGUUAGAUCAAACCAAAAAAUCACAGAGAAAUCACCAAGAACACAAGAACCCUAAGAUUUCCAGAACAAAAUUCAUACACAAAUUCAUUGAUUUUCACAUCAAUCCUCAGAGAUUCGUGUGAAUCUUCAUCACCGGAUUGAAGAAUUCCCCUAUGUUAUACCCUGUUUUUGGACCUAAAAAUACUGGGCCCAAUUUCAUUUCAAACUUUGUCAAUUAUCAAAAUUCAACUGCACAGUUCAAAUUGUCUCUGCCUCGCAGUAUUUUCAAUCACAAUUUUACCUAUGUUUUUCUUGCAUAAAACCUUUCGAAAUGUCUUUACUUGUCUUGUAAGUCACUCAAAAGUGUCUCUGAAUCAUUAUAUUACUUUUUCCACAGUUUAUUCCAAAAUUUGCAAAAAGUCAUACAGAAGGGUAUUUUGGUCAUUUCCUGCAGUGGGACCCAUUUUCAUCCUUGUGACUGUCUCUGAGUCUUUUCAGAUUGUUUUUUCAUUCCAUCAGUAAACCGUGCUAAUUUCAUUUCAAACUUACAUCUGAGUCAGUGUCGAGUUGAUUUGAUUCUGUUUAGGUCGUUUUAGCCCUAGGGGCAUUUUGGUCAUUUCACACAAAAUUUUGGCAUGGGGAGGUUACUUUGAAGUACCUCAUUUAGGCCGUUGGUUCGUUUUAGUCCUUUUGUUGAUUUUAAUUUUAGUUUCACUUUACGUUUGGUCAAAUUACGUUUUUUAUUCAAAUUUUAUUUUAUUGCAUUUUGGUCCCUCAAUUGAGGUCCCAAAAUUGCAUUUUUGUCCAAACUGUUCUUUUAUUUCAUUUCAAGUUUUUUUUAAUUUUGCAGUUUAGUCCUUAAAAUUCUUAUUUUUUGCAAAAAGGUCCAAAUUUCUUUUUUCUUUCAAAACCGUGCCAUUUUUUUUCUCUCCAAGUCCAGAUGUCAGCUUCCUAUUGGUUCCAAUGCACACAUGGCAGCUUAUAAAAGGGAAACAGUGUCAGCUUUUUUUCAGGAGAUCCAUUCAUCACACGCCACUUCACCAAAAACAGAUCAAAACUUUCUCUCUCUUUUCUGUUAGAUCAAAACAGAAUCAACACAAAAAGCUUCAAAGAUUCAUCAAUGGCAGAAACCCUAACCACCUCAAUUCACCAUUGAUUUCCACCGAAUCAACACAAAAACACCAAAUUCAACAGAAUUCAACAAAGUUUCUUUGAUUACUCAUUGAUUCUCAGAGAUUCAAUACGGAAUCAUCAUCACAGAACCAAUUUCCUCGCAAUUCAAAGUGCGAGUUCAUCACUGAAACGCGACGAACUCAAGCACUGAUCACGAGGAAGCAGUGAAGAGAAAGAAAAAGGAAAGAAGCAGAAUCUGCAGAAUCUGGACCGGUGAAGCAGACGAAGAAUCACUGAUUUAUUUUCAGUGUCAAAGCCAAGAAUCAACAACACAGAAAGCACAGAAUCAAGUUUCCCGGAGAAACUCAACAGAAUAUCCAUCACAAACAUCAGGUAAAACUCAGAACCUUGUUUUCAAAAUAAAAUCAUAGUUAAACCUGAAAAAUCACGCAAGCAUAUCGAAAUUUUUCCAGAAUCACAAACCGUAACCGUAACCGUAAACACGUAAAUCUCGCUUUUCUCUUUUCAAAAAGCAUCAACGCAAGGGAAUCGUUACAGAUCAAGAAGGAUAAAAGAGGAUUUGAUCCAAGAAAGUUUCAAAGAAAAAAAGAGUUUCAAAACCGUGACAUAAAACCUCAGAUCUACAACGAUUCAGACCUUGCAUGCAAAAUCUAACGCCAUAUUCUUGUUUAGGACAAAAAAGGAUGUCUUAAUCUGUAAAAAAUUUUGAAAACGGUGGAGUUUCUCGCCUCCGGUGCGGCGGCGCCGCCCUGUUGGGCCGGCAAGCCACCACACCGGAGCAGUAAAGCUCACCGGAGAAGACAACCGGAGGAGAGGAGAGAGGUGAGAGCUUCUCUCACUAGGUUUAGGGUUAGAGAGAGAGAGGAGAAGGAAAAAUGGACUGGACCGGUCCUGUAAUCCUUUUAUAAGCAGCUGAACCGGACCGGUCCAGCUCUGGUUCGUUCCCUUUAAUCUAGACCGUUGGAUCUAGGGUUCCAUCUCCUGGAUCAAUCCAACGGUCCCUGCGCUUUCCUGUGUUUUGACUUUGGGCUUUGGGUUUGGGCCUAGGUUUCCAUACGUUUUUUGCUUUUUUUGCUACUUGCACCAUACUUGCCUACUGUUUGCACCCUCUGUUCAUGUUAAUUUUUAUCAAUAAAUUCCAAGAAAUUUACUAUAUCAUUUUACUAUUUUUCUUGAUAAUUUUCAGUGGUAUUUUACUUGGAAAAGUUGAUAAAAAUUUUAGUGUUGUUUUGUCAAGGGUUUUUACUAUUUUAAGUCAUUUCUCUCGCAUUUCUACCCGUUACUUCAUGUGCAUAAUGUUCGUGCUCGUCAUGUUUGAUUUGCAUACUAUUCCAUGUGAAUUUUGCUACUGUUUGCUAUGCAUAUGUCACUGUUUUGAUGUGUUGAGUUUUAUUCUUGCAUCAUGCGCAUUAUUCAUCACAUGUUUCCGGCUUAUUUUCAUCGUCACUUUACCGUCUUAUGCCAUACUUUCUUCUAUCGCUUUAUGCCAUAUUCUUUUUUUAUCAUUUUCUACUAACAUUUCCUUUCAUGUUGAUCACUUCAUAGCACUUCAUUAUCUUCACUAUUGUCUCCAUUAGUUUAGUUUUCUUUUUUUUACAAAUUGUAAUUCAUUCGGUAAUGUAAUAUUUUACCAUUGGUUUGUAGCUUGGCAAAGAGGCCAUAGAAUGUAUUUAGGUAAUUUUUGUAAUAUGGACUAUGGACACUAUGACGCACCGACACGCACACACUCACCUUAGAUGUAUGCAUAGGAUUGUAUGGUUAAAUAAGCGUUUAGGUUUUAAACACUUAGAGAAAAUCCAUUUUUUUUAAAAGAAAAAACAAUUGAACUUCACUUCAAAAAUUUUCAUAAUAAAUAUGAAGUCAACACUUCAUUUUUUCCUUUCUUUUUUCUUAAGAAAAAUUCAAUUCAUCUUAAUCAUUUAGACUUUCUUUUCAAUCACUAAUCAAACCUCACUUUUUGCUAAAUCUAAUGCCCUUGAGGCCUCUCAUCUCUAUUCUUCAAAAUCUCUUUUCAAACUUAAAAUCAACCAAUAAAAACAAAAACCAUCUUUGAGCAAGAACUACGCCGGUUUUGAUCCCGUAAAACGGUACGUAGGCAAUGAGUCAAAACUCAUCCAAGCCGAAAUAAAAAAUCAAAUUCUACUUCUUCUCACCCCCCAUUCUUAACUAAUCACACUUUCUUUUUUACGAAUAAGCAAUAAAACUAAAGCGUAGAAAUAAACUUAGGAGAGCGGCUCUUAUGGAGUACCAUAAUCGCUCCGGGUGCCUAACACCUUCCCGUAGCGAAAACGACCCCCGAAUCUAGAACUUUUUAAGGGUUUUUCUCCUUUUACCCUUCCCAAGAAAAAAGAGAGAUAUCAACGGUCGAAAGGUACAAGUCCAAUUAAUGGCUUGGCACCCAAAAACCAUGAUAACACCCUACAAUUCAAAGUGCGAGCUCACAUUGAAGCAAGCUCAAGCACUGAUCAUAGGGAUUUUUCACGCAGAUUCAAAAACGUUGAAGCAAGCUCAAGCACGUAAUCACAGAGAAGCAGAGAAAGAAUCAGAGAAGAUGAAGAUGAACCGGUAAACCGAUUUAUUUUCGGUCCAAAGCAAGCAAAAUCAUCAAAACCGUCAAGAACAUUCAAGUUUUUUCCAAAGAUUUUCCUCCAUUAAAAGUUUCAACCAAAACUUCAGGUAAAACUCAUUUUCUUCUCUUAGAAAGUAAUAUCACAGUUAAACCUGCAAAUAGAAAACAGAAAAGUUUCCAGAAUCACGAAACAAAGCCGUAACCGUAAACACAAAACCUAGAUCCAUAAGGAUCUAGGUUUUGAAAGCAAGAACAAGUAUCAGAAAAGCCAUCAAACGACGAAACGAUGUAGAUCUUUAAAGAUCUAAACGAUUUAGUUCAAAAAUCAAAAAUCAUUUCAAAACCGUAAAAGUUUUUUCCAAGAUCUACGUCGUUUCAAGCUGUGCAUGAGAAAAUAAUUGCUGGAUCCGUGUUUAGGGUUAAAGGACGAAUCGUUAGAUGUAAAAAUCAUAAGUUUCUGGAAAUUUUCACGGCGGAACCCUAGAUCUUCACCGGAGAAGAUGAAGUUUCCGGCGACCUAUGAAGGUUCCGGCCGGUCCUUCAUCCUCUCCGGCGUGCCAUGCCAGAAUCCGGUGAGUUGAGAGAAGAGAGAAGAGAGAGAAGCUCUGAGCUAGAGAGAGAAAGGAUUUGUAAAAUGAGAAAAACCGGUGCUAGCAUGUUUAUAUAGGCAACUGAACCGGACCGGUUCAAGACCGGUCCAAUCCCUUCAAUCCUGAGCGUUGGAUCUAGGGCUUCCCCCCCUGGAUCAAUCAAACGCUCCCUGUGCAUCCGGAUCCUUGUAGUUUUGGGCUUUGGUUUGGGCUUAGUUCUUUUUACGUUUUUUUGUUAUUUUCUUGCUAUUUGCACUGCCUUUCUUGCUAUCUGGACCUGUUACUUGCCUACUUUUUUUAUAAAAAUUCCUAAAAAAUCCUAGUUGUUUCUUAAUGUAUUUUUGGUAUUUCCAUGGUAUUUUUGCAUGUAAAAAAAAUGGUAAAGUGGCAUGAACUAAUUUCCAUGUGUUUUUACACUUUUGGUAUACUUUUUGCUAUGUUUUUGUUCUUGAUACUUUGAUAUGUGUUAUGAAUAAAUGAUACCCUAUCUUGUGAUGAAUAUGCCUCUGGACAUGUGUUUCUUUUUGCUGUUUUGAAUAUGAUUUUAUGGAUUUCUUGUUUUACAAGCAACAAGUGUUUGUUUUAAAGAAUAAAGUGUCAAAUUUCUCUAUGAAUUUGGUGUGAUACUUUGCUUGCAUGUGUCUCCAUUAAUUUCAUGUCAUGGCUUGAAACAAAAUCUCUUUCAAAGUUGCUAUGAUGUGAUGAUUAUGGGUUACAAGUACCUUUAAGUAUCAUAUCAAAUUUCUAGGUUUAUUACCACUUUAUAACUUUCUUUCGCUUUUCCUAUGCAAUUUCUUUUUGUUUAUUUCCUACUAUUUUGUGCUUUGUGAUUACUAACCAUUUCAUCUCAUGUGUCAUACAUUUCAUAGCAUUCCACCACCCUCUCCACUCUCCAUUUUCUUUAGCUUAGCAUUUAUUUUUUGCAAAUUUUAAUUCAUUUGGUGAUGUAAUUUGGUAUCAUUGGUUUGUAGCUUGGCAAAGGGGCCAUAGAAUGUACUUAGGCAAUUUUUGUAAUAUGGACUAUGGACACUAUGACGCACCGACACGCACACACCCACCUUAGAUGUAUGCAUAAGAUUGUAUGGUUAGAUGAAUGCUUAGGUUUAAACACUUAGAUAAAAAUCAACUUUUUUCCAAAACAUGCAAAUAACACUUGAAAACCUUUUUGAAAAUAAAAUGGAGUCAAAACUCCUUAUUUUCCCCUUUAUUUUCUUAAGUAAAAUUUUCAAUAAAUCUUAAUCCUCCAUAGACUUCAUUUUGAAAAAGACUAAUUCCACCUCACUUUUUCCAAAUCUUAUGCCCUUGAGGCCUCUCAUCUCUAUUCUUCAAAAUCUCUUUUCAAACUUAAAAUCAACCAACAAAAACAAAAAAUCCUUCUUUAGCAAGAACUACGCCGGUUUUGAUCCCGUAAAACGGUACGUAGGCAAUGAGUCAAAACUCAUCCAAGCCGAAAUAAAAUCAAAUUCUACUUCCUCUCACCCCCAUUCUUAACUAAUCACACUUUCCUUUUUUACAAAUAAGCAAUAAAACUAAAGCGUAGAAAUCAACUUAGGAGAGCGGCUCUUAUGGAGUACCAUAAUCGCUCCGGGUGCCUAACACCUUCCCGUAGCGAAAACGACCCCCGAAUCUAGAACUUCUUAAGGGUUUUUCUCCUUUUACCCUUCCCAAGAAAAAAGAGAGAUAUCAACGGUCGAAAGGUUCAAGUCCAAUUAAUGGCUUGGCACCCCAAAACCAUGAUAACAGAAAUGGCGACUUCACUGGGGACUUUUUUUAGCGGGUCACGCCUAGUUUUCCUUAGCUUAUUUACGCUUUGUUUUAUUGCUUACAUAUGGGAAUACUUGUUUAUUUUCAUUUGACGUGUGGGGUGAGAAUAUCAAAAGUCCUAACCCGGGCUGAGUGAACUUAUGUUUAGGUAGAGAUAUAAUCGACAAUUCGAUCCGGGGGUUGCCUCGUGUAUUGGAUUAUGCGAUCAAUCUCACAUAGCUGAGGCAUUUUGAAGGUGAUAUUGUCGGCGUGUGUUGUCAUGCUUAGGCACUUCACUUUCAAUUGUUCGACGAAGCUAUGAACCGUAGUUACCAAACCCAUCCUAGCCUUUUUAGGACGUAGUGCGGUGGCUAAAUUGAGUGUUGUCUCAAACUUUAGUCGUCACGCGAUACUACACUCAAACUAGACCUUCUCACAAAUAAUCAUGGAACGGGUGUCGUCCUGUACUACCAUGAUAUAUGUGAGAGAGGUUGCAGUUUGGGAACUGUGUUAGAACCUUGGUUACUACUAUCCAAAGCCUUAGUUCACCGGACGCCGUGUCCAUCCGUGGCCCCGUUACUUUGAAACUCAACCCACUUUGUUCUUUAAAAACACAAUCAUGCAUACAUGCAUUCAUGCAUAAACAUUUUUCAUGCAUUCAUCGAAGGGUUUAAACAAAUGGAAAUUUUUGUAAAUAAUCACAGGUAUGAAGAAGACAAAGUGCUACAAGUUCAAGGAAGUGGAUUUGGUUAGUUUGAGAGAGUUGGCACUCAAGGUCAAGAGUCAAACAGGGUUCCGACUCCGGUAUGGGGGAUUGCUUACUUUGCUUCGAACCGAUGUAGAUGAGAAGCUAUUGCACACUCUGGUGCAAUUUUAUGAUCCGAGCUUCCGUUGCUUCACUUUCCCGGACUUCCAGUUGGUUCCUACUCUCGAGGCUUACUCCAAUCUAGUGGGUUUACCUAUAGCCGAGAAGACGCCUUUCACCGGUCCCGGGGCUUCUCUUACUCCUCUGGUUAUUGCUAAGGAUCUCUACCUCAAGACUUCCGACGUCUCCAACCAUCUUAUUACCAAGUCUCACAUCCGGGGGUUCACUUCGAAGUAUCUUCUUGAUCAGGCCAAUCUCGGUACUACUCGUCAGGAUACACUCGAGGCUAUUCUUGCUUUGCUUAUUUACGGGCUCAUUCUCUUUCCGAACCUCGACAACUUCGUGGACAUGAAUGCUAUCGAGAUCUUCCAUUCCAAGAACCCGGUUCCUACUUUGCUAGCAGAUACCUACCACGCCAUUCAUGACAGGACUCUCAAGGGCCGUGGGUAUAUUCUUUGCUGCACAUCUCUUUUGUAUAGGUGGUUUAUUUCGCACCUUCCGAGUUCCUUCCAUGACAACUCGGAGAAUUGGUCCUACUCGCAGCGGAUUAUGGCCCUCACUCCUAAUGAGGUUGUCUGGCUCACUCCGGCCGCUCAAGUGAAGGAAAUCAUUAUGGGUUGUGGAGACUUUCUCAAUGUACCUCUUCUUGGUACCCGUGGGGGAAUCAACUACAAUCCCGAGCUUGCUAUGAGACAGUUUGGUUUCCCUAUGAAGUCGAAGCCCAUCAAUCUUGCUACAUCUCCAGAGUUCUUCUUCUACACGAAUGCUCCUACCGGACAAAGGAANNNNNNNNNNNNNNNNNNNNNNNNNNNNNNNNNNNNNNNNNNNNNNNNNNNNNNNNNNNNNNNNNNNNNNNNNNNNNNNNNNNNNNNNNNNNNNNNNNNNNNNNNNNNNNNNNNNNNNNNNNNNNNNNNNNNNNNNNNNNNNNNNNNNNNNNNNNNNNNNNNNNNNNNNNNNNNNNNNNNNNNNNNNNNNNNNNNNNNNNNNNNNNNNNNNNNNNNNNNNNNNNNNNNNNNNNNNNNNNNNNNNNNNNNNNNNNNNNNNNNNNNNNNNNNNNNNNNNNNNNNNNNNNNNNNNNNNNNNNNNNNNNNNNNNNNNNNNNNNNNNNNNNNNNNNNNNNNNNNNNNNNNNNNNNNNNNNNNNNNNNNNNNNNNNNNNNNNNNNNNNNNNNNNNNNNNNNNNNNNNNNNNNNNNNNNNNNNNNNNNNNNNNNNNNNNNNNNNNNNNNNNNNNNNNNNNNNNNNNNNNNNNNNNNNNNNNNNNNNNNNNNNNNNNNNNNNNNNNNNNNNNNNNNNNNNNNNNNNNNNNNNNNNNNNNNNNNNNNNNNNNNNNNNNNNNNNNNNNNNNNNNNNNNNNNNNNNNNNNNNNNNNNNNNNNNNNNNNNNNNNNNNNNNNNNNNNNNNNNNNNNNNNNNNNNNNNNNNNNNNNNNNNNNNNNNNNNNNNNNNNNNNNNNNNNNNNNNNNNNNNNNNNNNNNNNNNNNNNNNNNNNNNNNNNNNNNNNNNNNNNNNNNNNNNNNNNNNNNNNNNNNNNNNNNNNNNNNNNNNNNNNNNNNNNNNNNNNNNNNNNNNNNNNNNNNNNNNNNNNNNNNNNNNNNNNNNNNNNNNNNNNNNNNNNNNNNNNNNNNNNNNNNNNNNNNNNNNNNNNNNNNNNNNNNNNNNNNNNNNNNNNNNNNNNNNNNNNNNNNNNNNNNNNNNNNNNNNNNNNNNNNNNNNNNNNNNNNNNNNNNNNNNNNNNNNNNNNNNNNNNNNNNNNNNNNNNNNNNNNNNNNNNNNNNNNNNNNNNNNNNNNNNNNNNNNNNNNNNNNNNNNNNNNNNNNNNNNNNNNNNNNNNNNNNNNNNNNNNNNNNNNNNNNNNNNNNNNNNNNNNNNNNNNNNNNNNNNNNNNNNNNNNNNNNNNNNNNNNNNNNNNNNNNNNNNNNNNNNNNNNNNNNNNNNNNNNNNNNNNNNNNNNNNNNNNNNNNNNNNNNNNNNNNNNNNNNNNNNNNNNNNNNNNNNNNNNNNNNNNNNNNNNNNNNNNNNNNNNNNNNNNNNNNNNNNNNNNNNNNNNNNNNNNNNNNNNNNNNNNNNNNNNNNNNNNNNNNNNNNNNNNNNNNNNNNNNNNNNNNNNNNNNNNNNNNNNNNNNNNNNNNNNNNNNNNNNNNNNNNNNNNNNNNNNNNNNNNNNNNNNNNNNNNNNNNNNNNNNNNNNNNNNNNNNNNNNNNNNNNNNNNNNNNNNNNNNNNNNNNNNNNNNNNNNNNNNNNNNNNNNNNNNNNNNNNNNNNNNNNNNNNNNNNNNNNNNNNNNNNNNNNNNNNNNNNNNNNNNNNNNNNNNNNNNNNNNNNNNNNNNNNNNNNNNNNNNNNNNNNNNNNNNNNNNNNNNNNNNNNNNNNNNNNNNNNNNNNNNNNNNNNNNNNNNNNNNNNNNNNNNNNNNNNNNNNNNNNNNNNNNNNNNNNNNNNNNNNNNNNNNNNNNNNNNNNNNNNNNNNNNNNNNNNNNNNNNNNNNNNNNNNNNNNNNNNNNNNNNNNNNNNNNNNNNNNNNNNNNNNNNNNNNNNNNNNNNNNNNNNNNNNNNNNNNNNNNNNNNNNNNNNNNNNNNNNNNNNNNNNNNNNNNNNNNNNNNNNNNNNNNNNNNNNNNNNNNNNNNNNNNNNNNNNNNNNNNNNNNNNNNNNNNNNNNNNNNNNNNNNNNNNNNNNNNNNNNNNNNNNNNNNNNNNNNNNNNNNNNNNNNNNNNNNNNNNNNNNNNNNNNNNNNNNNNNNNNNNNNNNNNNNNNNNNNNNNNNNNNNNNNNNNNNNNNNNNNNNNNNNNNNNNNNNNNNNNNNNNNNNNNNNNNNNNNNNNNNNNNNNNNNNNNNNNNNNNNNNNNNNNNNNNNNNNNNNNNNNNNNNNNNNNNNNNNNNNNNNNNNNNNNNNNNNNNNNNNNNNNNNNNNNNNNNNNNNNNNNNNNNNNNNNNNNNNNNNNNNNNNNNNNNNNNNNNNNNNNNNNNNNNNNNNNNNNNNNNNNNNNNNNNNNNNNNNNNNNNNNNNNNNNNNNNNNNNNNNNNNNNNNNNNNNNNNNNNNNNNNNNNNNNNNNNNNNNNNNNNNNNNNNNNNNNNNNNNNNNNNNNNNNNNNNNNNNNNNNNNNNNNNNNNNNNNNNNNNNNNNNNNNNNNNNNNNNNNNNNNNNNNNNNNNNNNNNNNNNNNNNNNNNNNNNNNNNNNNNNNNNNNNNNNNNNNNNNNNNNNNNNNNNNNNNNNNNNNNNNNNNNNNNNNNNNNNNNNNNNNNNNNNNNNNNNNNNNNNNNNNNNNNNNNNNNNNNNNNNNNNNNNNNNNNNNNNNNNNNNNNNNNNNNNNNNNNNNNNNNNNNNNNNNNNNNNNNNNNNNNNNNNNNNNNNNNNNNNNNNNNNNNNNNNNNNNNNNNNNNNNNNNNNNNNNNNNNNNNNNNNNNNNNNNNNNNNNNNNNNNNNNNNNNNNNNNNNNNNNNNNNNNNNNNNNNNNNNNNNNNNNNNNNNNNNNNNNNNNNNNNNNNNNNNNNNNNNNNNNNNNNNNNNNNNNNNNNNNNNNNNNNNNNNNNNNNNNNNNNNNNNNNNNNNNNNNNNNNNNNNNNNNNNNNNNNNNNNNNNNNNNNNNNNNNNNNNNNNNNNNNNNNNNNNNNNNNNNNNNNNNNNNNNNNNNNNNNNNNNNNNNNNNNNNNNNNNNNNNNNNNNNNNNNNNNNNNNNNNNNNNNNNNNNNNNNNNNNNNNNNNNNNNNNNNNNNNNNNNNNNNNNNNNNNNNNNNNNNNNNNNNNNNNNNNNNNNNNNNNNNNNNNNNNNNNNNNNNNNNNNNNNNNNNNNNNNNNNNNNNNNNNNNNNNNNNNNNNNNNNNNNNNNNNNNNNNNNNNNNNNNNNNNNNNNNNNNNNNNNNNNNNNNNNNNNNNNNNNNNNNNNNNNNNNNNNNNNNNNNNNNNNNNNNNNNNNNNNNNNNNNNNNNNNNNNNNNNNNNNNNNNNNNNNNNNNNNNNNNNNNNNNNNNNNNNNNNNNNNNNNNNNNNNNNNNNNNNNNNNNNNNNNNNNNNNNNNNNNNNNNNNNNNNNNNNNNNNNNNNNNNNNNNNNNNNNNNNNNNNNNNNNNNNNNNNNNNNNNNNNNNNNNNNNNNNNNNNNNNNNNNNNNNNNNNNNNNNNNNNNNNNNNNNNNNNNNNNNNNNNNNNNNNNNNNNNNNNNNNNNNNNNNNNNNNNNNNNNNNNNNNNNNNNNNNNNNNNNNNNNNNNNNNNNNNNNNNNNNNNNNNNNNNNNNNNNNNNNNNNNNNNNNNNNNNNNNNNNNNNNNNNNNNNNNNNNNNNNNNNNNNNNNNNNNNNNNNNNNNNNNNNNNNNNNNNNNNNNNNNNNNNNNNNNNNNNNNNNNNNNNNNNNNNNNNNNNNNNNNNNNNNNNNNNNNNNNNNNNNNNNNNNNNNNNNNNNNNNNNNNNNNNNNNNNNNNNNNNNNNNNNNNNNNNNNNNNNNNNNNNNNNNNNNNNNNNNNNNNNNNNNNNNNNNNNNNNNNNNNNNNNNNNNNNNNNNNNNNNNNNNNNNNNNNNNNNNNNNNNNNNNNNNNNNNNNNNNNNNNNNNNNNNNNNNNNNNNNNNNNNNNNNNNNNNNNNNNNNNNNNNNNNNNNNNNNNNNNNNNNNNNNNNNNNNNNNNNNNNNNNNNNNNNNNNNNNNNNNNNNNNNNNNNNNNNNNNNNNNNNNNNNNNNNNNNNNNNNNNNNNNNNNNNNNNNNNNNNNNNNNNNNNNNNNNNNNNNNNNNNNNNNNNNNNNNNNNNNNNNNNNNNNNNNNNNNNNNNNNNNNNNNNNNNNNNNNNNNNNNNNNNNNNNNNNNNNNNNNNNNNNNNNNNNNNNNNNNNNNNNNNNNNNNNNNNNNNNNNNNNNNNNNNNNNNNNNNNNNNNNNNNNNNNNNNNNNNNNNNNNNNNNNNNNNNNNNNNNNNNNNNNNNNNNNNNNNNNNNNNNNNNNNNNNNNNNNNNNNNNNNNNNNNNNNNNNNNNNNNNNNNNNNNNNNNNNNNNNNNNNNNNNNNNNNNNNNNNNNNNNNNNNNNNNNNNNNNNNNNNNNNNNNNNNNNNNNNNNNNNNNNNNNNNNNNNNNNNNNNNNNNNNNNNNNNNNNNNNNNNNNNNNNNNNNNNNNNNNNNNNNNNNNNNNNNNNNNNNNNNNNNNNNNNNNNNNNNNNNNNNNNNNNNNNNNNNNNNNNNNNNNNNNNNNNNNNNNNNNNNNNNNNNNNNNNNNNNNNNNNNNNNNNNNNNNNNNNNNNNNNNNNNNNNNNNNNNNNNNNNNNNNNNNNNNNNNNNNNNNNNNNNNNNNNNNNNNNNNNNNNNNNNNNNNNNNNNNNNNNNNNNNNNNNNNNNNNNNNNNNNNNNNNNNNNNNNNNNNNNNNNNNNNNNNNNNNNNNNNNNNNNNNNNNNNNNNNNNNNNNNNNNNNNNNNNNNNNNNNNNNNNNNNNNNNNNNNNNNNNNNNNNNNNNNNNNNNNNNNNNNNNNNNNNNNNNNNNNNNNNNNNNNNNNNNNNNNNNNNNNNNNNNNNNNNNNNNNNNNNNNNNNNNNNNNNNNNNNNNNNNNNNNNNNNNNNNNNNNNNNNNNNNNNNNNNNNNNNNNNNNNNNNNNNNNNNNNNNNNNNNNNNNNNNNNNNNNNNNNNNNNNNNNNNNNNNNNNNNNNNNNNNNNNNNNNNNNNNNNNNNNNNNNNNNNNNNNNNNNNNNNNNNNNNNNNNNNNNNNNNNNNNNNNNNNNNNNNNNNNNNNNNNNNNNNNNNNNNNNNNNNNNNNNNNNNNNNNNNNNNNNNNNNNNNNNNNNNNNNNNNNNNNNNNNNNNNNNNNNNNNNNNNNNUUGACGGAUCUCGAAAGAAUGUGCUGGGGGAGAUAGACUUGCCGAUAACCAUUGGCCCUGAGAAUUUCUCGGUUACCUUCCAAGUGAUGGACAUUAAUGCAUCCUACAGUUGCCUGCUGGGAAGACCGUGGAUACACGAUGCAGGUGCGGUUACUUCCACCUUACAUCAGAAGUUGAAAUUUGUGAAGAAUGGAAAACUCGUUACAAUCCAUGGUGAAGAAGCGUACUUAGUCAGCCAGUUGUCUUCUUUUUCUUGUAUUGAAGCAGGGUCUGCUGAAGGGACUGCUUUCCAGGGUUUGACCAUUGAAGGUGCAGAGUCUAAGGAAGCUGGGGCUGCUAUGGCUUCAUUGAAGGAUGCUCGGAGAGCCAUCCAAGAAGGUCAGACUGCCGGCUGGGGCAAGGUGAUACAGCUCUGUGAGAACAAGCGUAAAGAAGGUCUCGGGUUCUCCCCGUCAUCAAGGGUUUCCUCGGGAGUCUUCCACAGUGCAGGGUUUGUUAAUGCUAUCUCUGAAGAAGCCACUGGAUCUGGUCUCAGGCCUGCAUUUGUUACACCAGGAGGCAUUACGACAAAUUGGGAUGCCAUUGACGUUCCUUCAAUCAUGCAUGUUUCUGAGUAAUGUGUCUUGUUGCUUUAAUGCUUUGUUUUCAAAAUAACAAUCCUCUCGCUCUGCCCAAAGCGAGAGUGAUAUUUUCUGUAAGGGCAUGUUUGUUUCGGCAUUGCCGUUGAUUAAUAAAAUUUUGUCGUUUCUUCCACGACUACUUUUUUUUUAGUGCUUUUUCCCUUGGAAACAAUGGUAAUGCCAGAAAAAAACCAAAACGUCUGUAUUUUCUUAUUAAUUUCAAAAAUCUGCAUGAAAAAAAAAACUCUUUCUAAAAUCAUCCAAUCAUUAUAUGCAGGUUGAACCAUAAUAAACCCGUUGAACACAGUAAUCCUACGGUUCCUCCAAAUUUUGAUUUCCCUGUGUAUGAAGCCGAAGAUGAGGAAGGUGAUGAUAUACCAUAUGAGAUUACUCGGUUACUUGAGCAAGAAAAGAAAGCCAUUCAGCCUCACCAGGAAGAGAUUGAGCUUAUCAACAUAGGUACCGAGGAAAACAAGCGAGAAAUCAAGAUUGGUGCUACUCUAGAGGAAGGGGUUAAACAGAAGAUCAUCCAACUCCUCCGGGAAUAUCCGGAUAUUUUUGCAUGGUCCUAUGAAGAUAUGCCAGGUUUAGACCCUAUGAUCGUGGAGCAUCGGAUCCCUACCAAGCCUGAAUGUCCUCCCGUCAGGCAGAAAUUGAGAAGGACUCAUCCUGAUAUGGCUCUCAAGAUCAAGAAUGAAGUUCAAAAGCAGAUUGACGCGGGUUUCCUCAUGACAGUUGAGUAUCCCGAAUGGGUUGCCAAUAUUGUGCCCGUGCCAAAGAAGGAUGGUAAAGUCCGGAUGUGUGUUGACUUCAGAGACCUGAACAAAGCCAGCCCAAAAGACAACUUUCCAUUACCUCAUAUUGAUGUGCUUGUUGAUAAUACUGCUCAAUCUAAGGUGUUCUCCUUCAUGGACGGUUUUUCUGGUUAUAAUCAGAUCAAAAUGUCUCCUGAAGAUAGAGAAAAGACAUCUUUUAUCACUCCAUGGGGUACUUUCUGCUACAAAGUGAUGCCAUUCGGUCUAAUUAAUGCUGGUGCUACCUAUCAAAGGGGAAUGACUACUCUGUUUCAUGACAUGAUUCACAAAGAAGUUGAGGUAUAUGUGGAUGACAUGAUUGUGAAGUCAGCAGAUGAGGAGCAGCAUGUUGAAUAUUUAACAAAGAUGUUCGAAAGGUUGAGAAAAUACAAGCUGCGAUUGAAUCCCAACAAAUGUACAUUCGGUGUCAGGUCCGGAAAGUUAUUAGGCUUCAUUGUCAGCCAAAAGGGCAUUGAAGUCGACCUUGAUAAAGUCCGGGCCAUCCGAGAAAUGCCAGCUCCACAGACAGAGAAGCAAGUCAGAGGUUUCUUGGGACGUUUGAAUUACAUCUCCCGAUUCAUAUCUCAUAUGACUGCAACCUGCGGGCCGAUCUUCAAGCUACUUAGAAAGAACCAGCCUGUUGUAUGGAAUGAUGAAUGCCAAGAAGCUUUUGAUAGCAUCAAGAAUUACCUGCUGGAACCACCUAUCCUUGUCCCACCCGUGGAAGGAAGGCCUUUGAUUAUGUAUUUGGCAGUGUUUGAUGAAUCCAUGGGAUGCGUGCUUGGUCAACAAGAUGAAACUGGAAAGAAAGAGCAUGCUAUCUACUAUCUAAGCAAGAAGUUCACCGAUUGUGAAACUCGGUAUACAAUGCUUGAGAAGACUUGUUGUGCUUUAGCUUGGGCUGCCAAACGCCUGCGUCAUUAUUUGGUGAAUCAUACAACUUGGUUGAUAUCCAGAAUGGAUCCGAUCAAGUAUAUCUUUGAGAAAGCUGCUGUUACUGGAAAGAUUGCACGCUGGCAGAUGCUUUUGUCUGAAUAUGAUAUUGUGUUCAAAACUCAAAAGGCAAUCAAAGGUAGCAUUCUUGCAGAUCAUCUUGCUUAUCAACCUCUUGAUGACUAUCAACCAAUUGAAUUCGACUUCCCUGAUGAAGAGAUCAUGUAUUUGAAAUCCAAAGACUGCGACGAACCGUUGAUUAAUGAAGGUCCAGAUCCCAAUAGCAAGUGGGGUUUAGUCUUUGAUGGUGCUGUCAAUGCUUAUGGCAAAGGAAUUGGGGCAGUCAUUGUAUCCCCGCAAGGGCAUCACAUUCCCUUUACCGCCCGAAUUCUGUUCGAAUGUACCAACAAUAUGGCUGAGUAUGAAGCAUGUAUCUUUGGGAUCGAGGAAGCAAUUGACAUGAGAAUCAAGCACCUCGACAUCUAUGGAGAUUCUGCGCUCGUCAUCAAUCAGAUAAAGGGUGAAUGGGAGACACACCAUGCUAAUUUGAUUCCUUAUCGUGAUUAUGCGAGACGUUUGCUGACAUAUUUUACAAAGGUUGAGCUGCACCAUAUUCCUCGUGAUGAGAACCAAAUGGCUGAUGCUCUUGCUACUCUAUCCUCCAUGUUUCGAGUAAACCAUUGGAAUGAUGUGCCAAUAAUUAAAGUGCAACGCCUUGAAAGACCUUCGCAUGUGUUUGCUAUUGGGGAUGUGAUCGAUCAGGCUGGUGAAAAUGUGGUUGGCUAUAGACCCUGGUACUACGACAUCAAACAGUUCUUGCUAAGCCGUGAGUAUCCGCCGGGUGCUUCCAAACAAGACAAGAAGACCUUGAGAAGAUUGGCCAGUAGAUUCCUGUUAGAUGGAGAUAUUCUGUACAAGAGAAACUAUGACAUGGUAUUGUUAAGAUGUGUUGAUGAACAUGAAGCAGAGCAGUUAAUGCAUGAUGUACAUGACGGUACCUUCGGGACCCAUGCUACAGGGCAUACUAUGUCAAGGAAGUUGUUACGAGCAGGUUACUACUGGAUGGCCAUGGAGCAUGAUUGCUACCAGUACGCCAGAAAAUGCCACAAAUGUCAAAUCUAUGCUGAUAAGAUUCAUGUGCCUCCGCACGCUCUCAGUGUUAUGUCAUCCCCAUGGCCUUUCUCAAUGUGGGGCAUCGACAUGAUUGGAAGAAUUGAACCGAAAGCUUCAAAUGGUCAUCGUUUCAUCUUAGUGGCAAUUGACUACUUUACCAAAUGGGUUGAAGCAGCAUCUUAUACCAAUGUGACCAAGCAAGUGGUAGCUAAGUUCAUCAAGAAUAACAUCAUCUGUCGAUAUGGUGUUCCCAGCAAGAUUAUUACCGACAAUGGUACCAACCUGAACAACAAUGUGGUGCAAGCUCUUUGUGAAGAAUUCAAAAUUGAGCAUCAUAACUCUUCUCCUUAUAGACCUCAGAUGAAUGGUGCAGUUGAGGCCGCCAACAAGAAUAUCAAGAGAAUUGUCCAGAAGAUGGUAACCACUUACAAGGACUGGCACGAGAUGUUACCCUAUGCUCUGCAUGGUUACCGUACUACAGUGCGCAGUUCAACCGGGGCAACCCCUUUCUCUCUUGUAUAUGGUAUGGAAGCAGUUCUUCCUUUGGAAGUGGAGAUCCCAUCCCUCCGUGUGAUCAUGGAAGCAAAGUUAUCUGAGGCUGAAUGGUGCCAAAGCCGGUAUGAUCAGUUGAAUUUGAUUGAGGAAAAACGUAUGGAUGCCAUGGCUCGCGGACAGUCAUAUCAAGCAAGAAUGAAGACUGCCUUUGAUAAGAAAGUUCAUCCUCGAGAAUUCAAGGUAGGGGAACUUGUAUUGAAAAGGAGGAUAAGCCAGCAACCCGACCCAAGGGGCAAGUGGACGCCUAACUAUGAAGGUCCUUAUGUUGUCAAGAAGGCCUUCUCCGGUGGUGCUUUAAUCCUUACACACAUGGAUGGUGUAGUACUUCCAAAUCCAGUGAACGCUGAUAUAGUCAAGAAAUACUUUGCCUAGAAAUAUGAAAAGAACAGCGUGGUAGGUCGAAAACCCGAAAGGGCGGCCUAGGCAAAAAUGCGCUUCCCGGUGGAUCGAAAACCCGAAAGGGCGGUCCAGGCAAAAAUAAGGGACAAAAAAAAAAAAAAAAAAAAAACAAAUAUGAAAAGCUCGCUGAGAUUGUAAACAACUCAGGCAAGAAUGAGCGUCUCGAUGAGCCGAAAACCCGGAAGGGCGGUUCAUGCAAAAAUGAGAUUGAAACAAAAGGCAAGUAACUAUAUCUGGCUAACCACCGUCCCCCUUGGGGCAUCUGCAGCUGUUAAUGACUAUCUUCAUCAAAAGCUCCUACACUUGCGGAUUCAAAGUUUCCAGGAAAUGUAAUGAUUGCUGUGUUCAAUGUACCACCAACCAAUAAAAUUACCAUUUUCCAAGCUUUGUGAAUCUGUGGAGUCAUGCCUUUGGCUGACCACCACUCUUAUACAUCAAUUUGAGCCUUUGCUUUUGUUUGAAAACUCUAUUUUUUCUUCUACUUUCAAAGCUAUAUACAAAACAUUUUCUUUUUAUUUUGAUAAUGACAAUGCUUGAAACAAACAUUUUGAAAAUUGAAAACUUUUUGUCUAUUUUGAAAAGUAAACCUGAGCAACAGGGUACAUUCAAACGAAACAUGCAUAAGCGAGAGUAUGUCGAUGUCUAUUUCAAUAUAUGUUACAAGCAGGUUCUCCUCCAAGAUAAUCUGUGGUCAAUGGCAAGAAUGAAAAAACAGAAUGAAAAUGCAUGAAAAUGAAUGAGCUCGCUAAGUUGAAAACCCGAAAGGGCGACUUAGGCAAAAAUGAGCACCCCGCUGGAUUGACAACCCGAAAGGGCAGUUCAGGCAAAAAUGGGGCAUUGAAAAGAAUUUAUUACCCCGGUGGAUCGAAAACCCGAAAGGGCGAUCCAGGCAAAAAUGGGAUGCAAAAAAUGAUGAAUGAAAAUUGAGAAAAUAACAUGCAAAAAGCAUUGACCACAGAUGCGAUGUUUACAACUUACCCAGUACUGAAAUGCCCAGCACAACGGCGUUUUCCCCAGUGGAGCCUCUCAAGAUUCUAUCUCCAGCAAGUUGUUUAGCUACCUGCCCUCAGCCGUGGUUCCGACACGUCUCCCAACGACGUCAUCUCCAAAGAGGAUUUCCAAGAAUGUGUAAUAUAGCACGAGCCACUACGUGCCCAAUACUCUAAUGUCUUGUCUUCCCCGUAAAGUCGUGCCUACAAACUGCCAACAGUCAUGCAUUACAAGCAUUCAUACAUGCAUAAUCAUGCAUAUUACGUACCCAUGCAUAUUAAUGAAUCUGUUAUAUCAUCCAUGCAUAUCGCAUUUCCAAUAUCAAUAUCAGUCUCAAUUCAAAACUCAUGACAGGUUCUUUGUCAAAACCUUGUGAGCCAAUAAUAUCGGUCAACUUCUACCUUUCAAAUCAAAUCGACGUCAAGUCAAUCUCAAUCUACAUUUUGCCAACAAACCAAUCCCCAGUGAAUAUGUUUCUGUCUGGUCAAGUGGCUAGUUCAAGUCCAAGAACAGCUUGUACCUAUCAAUUUGCUUAUGUUAUCGGUCGAGUGCCCAGCUCAAUCCAAGAGCAGCUUGUACCUGUCAAUAUGUUUCCGUUUGGUCAAGUGCCCAGCUCAAUCCAAGAGCAGCUUGUACCUAUCUAUCUGUUUGUCUCCGGUGGAGUAACCAGUUCGCAUCCAAGAACAAGCUCGCACCUGUCUAUUUGCCUUGCUUUCAGUCGAGUAACCAGUUCGAAUCCAUAAGAACAACUCGUACUUGCCAAUUUUCUCUUUUUCCCAGUCGAGUCACCAGUUCGAAUCCAUAAGAACAACUCGCACUUUCCAAUAUCCCCAAGUGAGUUACCAGUUCGAAUCCAUAAGAACAACUCAUGUUUGUCCAGUAACCUCUAUCCCCUGUGAAGUGACCAGUUCGAAUCCAUAAGAACAACUCGCAGUUAUCUGUUUGUUUCAUCCCCGGUCAAGUGGCUAGUUUGAAUCCAAGAACAGCUUGUACCUGUCCAACUUGUUUCUAGUUUCCCGUUACUCUGCUAUUCACUACCUUUGUCAAUGUCUACCAAUCCCGCAAUGGAUACGACAUAUUUUGUUAAUUCCAAUCCCCAUGAGGUCUUGCAUUCAUAAUCCAAAUGAUGCAUGGCAUGCAUAUUAUUUGAAAAUGGGUAGGCGUAUUUUUACGUCCAAACACAGUGCAAAUGCUAAUAUUUAAGUAUCUUCGUCCUGUCAAGCCAAAGACUCCGUCUCUUGACUCUCCAGACAAAGAAACUUAAAUAGGGGCAGCUGUUAUACCCUGUUUUUGGACCUAAAAAUACUGGGCCCAAUUUCAUUUCAAACUUUGUCAAUUAUCAAAAUUCAACUGCACAGUUCAAAUUGUCUCUGCCUCGCAGUAUUUUCAAUCACAAUUUUACCUAUGUUUUUCUUGCAUAAAACCUUUCGAAAUGUCUUUACUUGUCUUGUAAGUCACUCAAAAGUGUCUCUGAAUCAUUAUAUUACUUUUUCCACAGUUUAUUCCAAAAUUUGCAAAAAGUCAUACAGAAGGGUAUUUUGGUCAUUUCCUGCAGUGGGACCCAUUUUCAUCCUUGUGACUGUCUCUGAGUCUUUUCAGAUUGUUUUUUCAUUCCAUCAGUAAACCGUGCUAAUUUCAUUUCAAACUUACAUCUGAGUCAGUGUCGAGUUGAUUUGAUUCUGUUUAGGUCGUUUUAGCCCUAGGGGCAUUUUGGUCAUUUCACACAAAAUUUUGGCAUGGGGAGGUUACUUUGAAGUACCUCAUUUAGGCCGUUGGUUCGUUUUAGUCCUUUUGUUGAUUUUAAUUUUAGUUUCACUUUACGUUUGGUCAAAUUACGUUUUUUAUUCAAAUUUUAUUUUAUUGCAUUUUGGUCCCUCAAUUGAGGUCCCAAAAUUGCAUUUUUGUCCAAACUGUUCUUUUAUUUCAUUUCAAGUUUUUUUUAAUUUUGCAGUUUAGUCCUUAAAAUUCUUAUUUUUUGCAAAAAGGUCCAAAUUUCUUUUUUCUUUCAAAACCGUGCCAUUUUUUUUCUCUCCAAGUCCAGAUGUCAGCUUCCUAUUGGUUCCAAUGCACACAUGGCAGCUUAUAAAAGGGAAACAGUGUCAGCUUUUUUUCAGGAGAUCCAUUCAUCACACGCCACUUCACCAAAAACAGAUCAAAACUUUCUCUCUCUUUUCUGUUAGAUCAAAACAGAAUCAACACAAAAAGCUUCAAAGAUUCAUCAAUGGCAGAAACCCUAACCACCUCAAUUCACCAUUGAUUUCCACCGAAUCAACACAAAAACACCAAAUUCAACAGAAUUCAACAAAGUUUCUUUGAUUACUCAUUGAUUCUCAGAGAUUCAAUACGGAAUCAUCAUCACAGAACCAAUUUCCUCGCAAUUCAAAGUGCGAGUUCAUCACUGAAACGCGACGAACUCAAGCACUGAUCACGAGGAAGCAGUGAAGAGAAAGAAAAAGGAAAGAAGCAGAAUCUGCAGAAUCUGGACCGGUGAAGCAGACGAAGAAUCACUGAUUUAUUUUCAGUGUCAAAGCCAAGAAUCAACAACACAGAAAGCACAGAAUCAAGUUUCCCGGAGAAACUCAACAGAAUAUCCAUCACAAACAUCAGGUAAAACUCAGAACCUUGUUUUCAAAAUAAAAUCAUAGUUAAACCUGAAAAAUCACGCAAGCAUAUCGAAAUUUUUCCAGAAUCACAAACCGUAACCGUAACCGUAAACACGUAAAUCUCGCUUUUCUCUUUUCAAAAAGCAUCAACGCAAGGGAAUCGUUACAGAUCAAGAAGGAUAAAAGAGGAUUUGAUCCAAGAAAGUUUCAAAGAAAAAAAGAGUUUCAAAACCGUGACAUAAAACCUCAGAUCUACAACGAUUCAGACCUUGCAUGCAAAAUCUAACGCCAUAUUCUUGUUUAGGACAAAAAAGGAUGUCUUAAUCUGUAAAAAAUUUUGAAAACGGUGGAGUUUCUCGCCUCCGGUGCGGCGGCGCCGCCCUGUUGGGCCGGCAAGCCACCACACCGGAGCAGUAAAGCUCACCGGAGAAGACAACCGGAGGAGAGGAGAGAGGUGAGAGCUUCUCUCACUAGGUUUAGGGUUAGAGAGAGAGAGGAGAAGGAAAAAUGGACUGGACCGGUCCUGUAAUCCUUUUAUAAGCAGCUGAACCGGACCGGUCCAGCUCUGGUUCGUUCCCUUUAAUCUAGACCGUUGGAUCUAGGGUUCCAUCUCCUGGAUCAAUCCAACGGUCCCUGCGCUUUCCUGUGUUUUGACUUUGGGCUUUGGGUUUGGGCCUAGGUUUCCAUACGUUUUUUGCUUUUUUUGCUACUUGCACCAUACUUGCCUACUGUUUGCACCCUCUGUUCAUGUUAAUUUUUAUCAAUAAAUUCCAAGAAAUUUACUAUAUCAUUUUACUAUUUUUCUUGAUAAUUUUCAGUGGUAUUUUACUUGGAAAAGUUGAUAAAAAUUUUAGUGUUGUUUUGUCAAGGGUUUUUACUAUUUUAAGUCAUUUCUCUCGCAUUUCUACCCGUUACUUCAUGUGCAUAAUGUUCGUGCUCGUCAUGUUUGAUUUGCAUACUAUUCCAUGUGAAUUUUGCUACUGUUUGCUAUGCAUAUGUCACUGUUUUGAUGUGUUGAGUUUUAUUCUUGCAUCAUGCGCAUUAUUCAUCACAUGUUUCCGGCUUAUUUUCAUCGUCACUUUACCGUCUUAUGCCAUACUUUCUUCUAUCGCUUUAUGCCAUAUUCUUUUUUUAUCAUUUUCUACUAACAUUUCCUUUCAUGUUGAUCACUUCAUAGCACUUCAUUAUCUUCACUAUUGUCUCCAUUAGUUUAGUUUUCUUUUUUUUACAAAUUGUAAUUCAUUCGGUAAUGUAAUAUUUUACCAUUGGUUUGUAGCUUGGCAAAGAGGCCAUAGAAUGUAUUUAGGUAAUUUUUGUAAUAUGGACUAUGGACACUAUGACGCACCGACACGCACACACUCACCUUAGAUGUAUGCAUAGGAUUGUAUGGUUAAAUAAGCGUUUAGGUUUUAAACACUUAGAGAAAAUCCAUUUUUUUUAAAAGAAAAAACAAUUGAACUUCACUUCAAAAAUUUUCAUAAUAAAUAUGAAGUCAACACUUCAUUUUUUCCUUUCUUUUUUCUUAAGAAAAAUUCAAUUCAUCUUAAUCAUUUAGACUUUCUUUUCAAUCACUAAUCAAACCUCACUUUUUGCUAAAUCUAAUGCCCUUGAGGCCUCUCAUCUCUAUUCUUCAAAAUCUCUUUUCAAACUUAAAAUCAACCAAUAAAAACAAAAACCAUCUUUGAGCAAGAACUACGCCGGUUUUGAUCCCGUAAAACGGUACGUAGGCAAUGAGUCAAAACUCAUCCAAGCCGAAAUAAAAAAUCAAAUUCUACUUCUUCUCACCCCCCAUUCUUAACUAAUCACACUUUCUUUUUUACGAAUAAGCAAUAAAACUAAAGCGUAGAAAUAAACUUAGGAGAGCGGCUCUUAUGGAGUACCAUAAUCGCUCCGGGUGCCUAACACCUUCCCGUAGCGAAAACGACCCCCGAAUCUAGAACUUUUUAAGGGUUUUUCUCCUUUUACCCUUCCCAAGAAAAAAGAGAGAUAUCAACGGUCGAAAGGUACAAGUCCAAUUAAUGGCUUGGCACCCAAAAACCAUGAUAACACCCUACAAUUCAAAGUGCGAGCUCACAUUGAAGCAAGCUCAAGCACUGAUCAUAGGGAUUUUUCACGCAGAUUCAAAAACGUUGAAGCAAGCUCAAGCACGUAAUCACAGAGAAGCAGAGAAAGAAUCAGAGAAGAUGAAGAUGAACCGGUAAACCGAUUUAUUUUCGGUCCAAAGCAAGCAAAAUCAUCAAAACCGUCAAGAACAUUCAAGUUUUUUCCAAAGAUUUUCCUCCAUUAAAAGUUUCAACCAAAACUUCAGGUAAAACUCAUUUUCUUCUCUUAGAAAGUAAUAUCACAGUUAAACCUGCAAAUAGAAAACAGAAAAGUUUCCAGAAUCACGAAACAAAGCCGUAACCGUAAACACAAAACCUAGAUCCAUAAGGAUCUAGGUUUUGAAAGCAAGAACAAGUAUCAGAAAAGCCAUCAAACGACGAAACGAUGUAGAUCUUUAAAGAUCUAAACGAUUUAGUUCAAAAAUCAAAAAUCAUUUCAAAACCGUAAAAGUUUUUUCCAAGAUCUACGUCGUUUCAAGCUGUGCAUGAGAAAAUAAUUGCUGGAUCCGUGUUUAGGGUUAAAGGACGAAUCGUUAGAUGUAAAAAUCAUAAGUUUCUGGAAAUUUUCACGGCGGAACCCUAGAUCUUCACCGGAGAAGAUGAAGUUUCCGGCGACCUAUGAAGGUUCCGGCCGGUCCUUCAUCCUCUCCGGCGUGCCAUGCCAGAAUCCGGUGAGUUGAGAGAAGAGAGAAGAGAGAGAAGCUCUGAGCUAGAGAGAGAAAGGAUUUGUAAAAUGAGAAAAACCGGUGCUAGCAUGUUUAUAUAGGCAACUGAACCGGACCGGUUCAAGACCGGUCCAAUCCCUUCAAUCCUGAGCGUUGGAUCUAGGGCUUCCCCCCCUGGAUCAAUCAAACGCUCCCUGUGCAUCCGGAUCCUUGUAGUUUUGGGCUUUGGUUUGGGCUUAGUUCUUUUUACGUUUUUUUGUUAUUUUCUUGCUAUUUGCACUGCCUUUCUUGCUAUCUGGACCUGUUACUUGCCUACUUUUUUUUAUAAAAAUUCCUAAAAAAUCCUAGUUGUUUCUUAAUGUAUUUUUGGUAUUUCCAUGGUAUUUUUGCAUGUAAAAAAAAUGGUAAAGUGGCAUGAACUAAUUUCCAUGUGUUUUUACACUUUUGGUAUACUUUUUGCUAUGUUUUUGUUCUUGAUACUUUGAUAUGUGUUAUGAAUAAAUGAUACCCUAUCUUGUGAUGAAUAUGCCUCUGGACAUGUGUUUCUUUUUGCUGUUUUGAAUAUGAUUUUAUGGAUUUCUUGUUUUACAAGCAACAAGUGUUUGUUUUAAAGAAUAAAGUGUCAAAUUUCUCUAUGAAUUUGGUGUGAUACUUUGCUUGCAUGUGUCUCCAUUAAUUUCAUGUCAUGGCUUGAAACAAAAUCUCUUUCAAAGUUGCUAUGAUGUGAUGAUUAUGGGUUACAAGUACCUUUAAGUAUCAUAUCAAAUUUCUAGGUUUAUUACCACUUUAUAACUUUCUUUCGCUUUUCCUAUGCAAUUUCUUUUUGUUUAUUUCCUACUAUUUUGUGCUUUGUGAUUACUAACCAUUUCAUCUCAUGUGUCAUACAUUUCAUAGCAUUCCACCACCCUCUCCACUCUCCAUUUUCUUUAGCUUAGCAUUUAUUUUUUGCAAAUUUUAAUUCAUUUGGUGAUGUAAUUUGGUAUCAUUGGUUUGUAGCUUGGCAAAGGGGCCAUAGAAUGUACUUAGGCAAUUUUUGUAAUAUGGACUAUGGACACUAUGACGCACCGACACGCACACACCCACCUUAGAUGUAUGCAUAAGAUUGUAUGGUUAGAUGAAUGCUUAGGUUUAAACACUUAGAUAAAAAUCAACUUUUUUCCAAAACAUGCAAAUAACACUUGAAAACCUUUUUGAAAAUAAAAUGGAGUCAAAACUCCUUAUUUUCCCCUUUAUUUUCUUAAGUAAAAUUUUCAAUAAAUCUUAAUCCUCCAUAGACUUCAUUUUGAAAAAGACUAAUUCCACCUCACUUUUUCCAAAUCUUAUGCCCUUGAGGCCUCUCAUCUCUAUUCUUCAAAAUCUCUUUUCAAACUUAAAAUCAACCAACAAAAACAAAAAAUCCUUCUUUAGCAAGAACUACGCCGGUUUUGAUCCCGUAAAACGGUACGUAGGCAAUGAGUCAAAACUCAUCCAAGCCGAAAUAAAAUCAAAUUCUACUUCCUCUCACCCCCAUUCUUAACUAAUCACACUUUCCUUUUUUACAAAUAAGCAAUAAAACUAAAGCGUAGAAAUCAACUUAGGAGAGCGGCUCUUAUGGAGUACCAUAAUCGCUCCGGGUGCCUAACACCUUCCCGUAGCGAAAACGACCCCCGAAUCUAGAACUUCUUAAGGGUUUUUCUCCUUUUACCCUUCCCAAGAAAAAAGAGAGAUAUCAACGGUCGAAAGGUUCAAGUCCAAUUAAUGGCUUGGCACCCCAAAACCAUGAUAACAGAAAUGGCGACUUCACUGGGGACUUUUUUUAGCGGGUCACGCCUAGUUUUCCUUAGCUUAUUUACGCUUUGUUUUAUUGCUUACAUAUGGGAAUACUUGUUUAUUUUCAUUUGACGUGUGGGGUGAGAAUAUCAAAAGUCCUAACCCGGGCUGAGUGAACUUAUGUUUAGGUAGAGAUAUAAUCGACAAUUCGAUCCGGGGGUUGCCUCGUGUAUUGGAUUAUGCGAUCAAUCUCACAUAGCUGAGGCAUUUUGAAGGUGAUAUUGUCGGCGUGUGUUGUCAUGCUUAGGCACUUCACUUUCAAUUGUUCGACGAAGCUAUGAACCGUAGUUACCAAACCCAUCCUAGCCUUUUUAGGACGUAGUGCGGUGGCUAAAUUGAGUGUUGUCUCAAACUUUAGUCGUCACGCGAUACUACACUCAAACUAGACCUUCUCACAAAUAAUCAUGGAACGGGUGUCGUCCUGUACUACCAUGAUAUAUGUGAGAGAGGUUGCAGUUUGGGAACUGUGUUAGAACCUUGGUUACUACUAUCCAAAGCCUUAGUUCACCGGACGCCGUGUCCAUCCGUGGCCCCGUUACUUUGAAACUCAACCCACUUUGUUCUUUAAAAACACAAUCAUGCAUACAUGCAUUCAUGCAUAAACAUUUUUCAUGCAUUCAUCGAAGGGUUUAAACAAAUGGAAAUUUUUGUAAAUAAUCACAGGUAUGAAGAAGACAAAGUGCUACAAGUUCAAGGAAGUGGAUUUGGUUAGUUUGAGAGAGUUGGCACUCAAGGUCAAGAGUCAAACAGGGUUCCGACUCCGGUAUGGGGGAUUGCUUACUUUGCUUCGAACCGAUGUAGAUGAGAAGCUAUUGCACACUCUGGUGCAAUUUUAUGAUCCGAGCUUCCGUUGCUUCACUUUCCCGGACUUCCAGUUGGUUCCUACUCUCGAGGCUUACUCCAAUCUAGUGGGUUUACCUAUAGCCGAGAAGACGCCUUUCACCGGUCCCGGGGCUUCUCUUACUCCUCUGGUUAUUGCUAAGGAUCUCUACCUCAAGACUUCCGACGUCUCCAACCAUCUUAUUACCAAGUCUCACAUCCGGGGGUUCACUUCGAAGUAUCUUCUUGAUCAGGCCAAUCUCGGUACUACUCGUCAGGAUACACUCGAGGCUAUUCUUGCUUUGCUUAUUUACGGGCUCAUUCUCUUUCCGAACCUCGACAACUUCGUGGACAUGAAUGCUAUCGAGAUCUUCCAUUCCAAGAACCCGGUUCCUACUUUGCUAGCAGAUACCUACCACGCCAUUCAUGACAGGACUCUCAAGGGCCGUGGGUAUAUUCUUUGCUGCACAUCUCUUUUGUAUAGGUGGUUUAUUUCGCACCUUCCGAGUUCCUUCCAUGACAACUCGGAGAAUUGGUCCUACUCGCAGCGGAUUAUGGCCCUCACUCCUAAUGAGGUUGUCUGGCUCACUCCGGCCGCUCAAGUGAAGGAAAUCAUUAUGGGUUGUGGAGACUUUCUCAAUGUACCUCUUCUUGGUACCCGUGGGGGAAUCAACUACAAUCCCGAGCUUGCUAUGAGACAGUUUGGUUUCCCUAUGAAGUCGAAGCCCAUCAAUCUUGCUACAUCUCCAGAGUUCUUCUUCUACACGAAUGCUCCUACCGGACAAAGGAAAGCUUUCAUGGAUGCUUGGUCUAAGGUCCGAAGGAAGAGUGUGAAGCAUCUAGGUGUGAGAUCCGGUGUUGCUCAUGAGGCCUAUACUCAGUGGGUGAUAGAUCGAGCUGAGGAGAUUGGUAUGCCUUACCCGGCUAUGAGAUACGUGUCUUCAUCCACUCCGUCUAUGCCUCUACCUCUACUUCCCGCGACUCAGGAUAUGUAUCAGGAGCAUCUAGCUAUGGAGAGUCAUGAGAAGCAAGUAUGGAAAGCUCGGUACAAUCAAGCCGAGAACCUAAUCAUGACUUUGGAUGGUAGAGAUGAGCAGAAGACUCAUGAGAAUCUAAUGUUGAAGAAAGAGCUAGCUAAGGCCCGGAGGGAAUUGGAAGAGAAAGACGAGCUGCUUAUGAGGGAUUCCAAGAGAGCUCGAGGACGACGAGAUUUCUUUGACAGAUACUGUGAUUCAGAUUCCGAGUCCGAUGAUCUUCCGACUACUUCCUAUGCUUGAGAGCUUUAUUUGUUUACCUUGUUGAAAAUGUUGUGUAAUUUUGUUUAUUUGCAAGAUUUCUAAUUUGUUUUAAAAUCCUUCGAUGAAAAAAAUAAGUCUUUUGCAUUCGCAUUUGCAUAUCAUGCAUCAUAUGCAUCAUGCAUUGGUCACAAAGGCUUCCAAGUGCUCACUAUCUCCUGGUUCCUCUGCCGCAGUGUGAAAAGUGGCUCGUGCUCAGAGAGUUUACGAACCAGAUAGAAUUGAUCGAACCAGAGAAUACAGAAGAAAGAAAAGGGCUAUGGAAGAAGAGAACGCUCAGCUUCGCACCGAGUUAGCCUCUCUAAAGGAGGAAUUGGCUAAAGCUAAUGACGUCAUGACUGCUCUACUAGCUGCUCAAGAGCAAUCAGCUACAGCUAUCCCUACAACCACAGCCGCACCAGUAACUACAAGCGUGCUCCCUACCACUUCUGCAGACAAUCGCUUUACUAUGCCAGUGGGGUUUCCAUAUGGGCUUCCACCGUUCUUCACUCCCGUUGCUACAGCAAGCACCUCGGGCACUGCUAACAAUGUUCUGAUCCCUGCAACAAAUGCCGCCUCCAUCAUUGCUACUUUGCCACAAACAACAGCAGCUGUCACUGAGCCUCUGGUACACACUCUGCCUCAAGGUAUUAACAUCAACACACAGCACAGAAGCAUCCCCGUAACCAAGACUAUGGAAGAGAUGAUGGGGGAACUUGCUAAAGAACUCCGUCACGAGAUCCAGGCCAAUCGAGGGAAUGCAGACUCUGUCAAAACUCAAGACCUUUGCUUAGUAUCAAAAGUGGAUGUUCCUAAAAAGUUCAAGAUUCCGGACUUCGACCGGUACAACGGGCUAACUUGUCCUCAAAAUCACAUCAUCAAAUACGUCCGGAAGAUGGGCAAUUACAAAGACAAUGAUUCCCUUAUGAUCCACUGUUUUCAGGAUAGUCUGAUGGAGGAUGCCGCAGAGUGGUAUACUAGUUUGAGUAAGAAUGACAUCCAUACCUUUGAUGAGUUAGCCACCGCUUUCAAGAGCCAUUAUGGGUUUAACACUCGACUGAGGCCAAAUAGGGAGUUUCUCAGGUCCCUAUCUCAGAAGAAGGAGGAAAGUUUCCGUGAAUAUGCGCAAAGGUGGAGAGGGGCGGCUGCCCGUAUCACUCCUGCUUUAGAUGAGGAAGAAAUGACCCAGACGUUCUUAAAGACGUUGAAGAAAGAUUAUGUUGAGAGGAUGAUCAUCGCUGCCCCGAACAACUUUUCGGAGAUGGUCACUAUGGGAACCCGUCUUGAGGAAGCAGUCAGGGAUGGAAUCAUUGUGUUUGAGAAAGCUGAAUCCUCUGUGAAUGCAUCGAAGAGGUAUGGUAAUGGACACCACAAGAAGAAAGAAACGGAAGUGGGGAUGGUGUCAGCUGGAGCCGGUCAAUCAAUGGCUACUGUUGCUCCUAUCAAUGCAGCUCAAAUGCCUCCGUCAUACCCAUAUAUGCCGUAUUCUCAGCAUCCGUUCUUCCCACCGUUUUAUCAUCAGUACCCUUUGCCGCCGGGCCAGCCUCAAGUGCCCGUCAAUGCAAUUGCCCAACAGAUGAAACAACAGAUGCCGGUUCAACAACAACAACAAAAUCAGCAAGCUAGGCCUACUUUCCCUCCGAUACCGAUGUUAUAUGCUGAGUUGCUUCCAACUUUGCUCCAGAGAGGGCAUUGUACAACUAGACAGGGUAAGCCCCCACCUGAUCCGUUGCCUCCAAGGUUCAGGUCUGAUCUCAAAUGUGACUUUCAUCAAGGUGCCCUGGGUCAUGAUGUCGAGGGGUGUUAUGCUUUGAAGUAUAUCGUGAAGAAGCUCAUCGAUCAAGGGAAGCUGACUUUUGAGAAUAAUGUCCCACACGUCCUCGACAAUCCUCUUCCAAAUCAUGCCGCUGUGAAUAUGAUCGAAAUGUGUGAAGAAGCUCCGAGACUUGAUGUCCGCAACGUCGCAACUCCUCUGGUACCUCUACACAUCAAGCUGUGCAAAGCUUCUCUGUUCAAUCAUGAUCAUGCCAAGUGUUUAGGAUGCCUUUGUAAUCCCUUGGGUUGCCAUACUGUUCAGGACGACAUCCAAAGCUUGAUGAAUGAUAAUCUUCUGACUGUCAGUGAUGUUUGCGUGAUUGUGCCAGUUUUUCACGAUCCGCCUGUCAAGAGUGUACCUUUGAAGAAGAAUGCUGAGCCUUUGGUGAUAAGGUUGCCAGGACCAAUUCCUUAUGUUUCGGACAAGGCAGUGCCAUACAAGUACAAUGCUACUAUGAUAGAAAAUGGAGUAGAGAUGCCUCUAGCCUCCUUUGCCACAGUAAGCAAUAUUGCCGAAGGGACUUCUGCAGCGCUAAGAAGCGGGAAAGUCCGUCCGCCGUUAUUUCAGAAGAAAGUAGCUACGCCAAUCACUCCACCAGUUGAAAAAGCAACUCCAACCGUUGUUUCACCCAUUGCUACAGAUGUGAAUCAGCCAGGCAAAUCUAUAGAGGAUUCGAAUUUAGAUGAGAUUCUGAGAAUAAUAAAGAGGAGCGACUACAAGAUCGUUGAUCAAUUGCUGCAGACUCCUUCGAAGAUAUCUGUAUUGUCAUUACUCUUGAGCUCUGAGGCUCACAGGAAUACCUUGUUGAAAGUGCUGGAGCAGGCAUAUGUUGACCACGAAGUUACGGUAGAUCGGUUUGGUGGCAUAGUGGGAAAUAUUACUGCUUGUAACAACCUCUGGUUUAGCGAAGAAGAGUUGCCGGAAGUGGGAAAGAGUCACAAUCUGGCUUUGCACAUCUCGGUGAAUUGUAAAUCAGACAUGAUAUCAAAUGUGUUGGUGGAUACCGGUUCCUCUCUCAAUGUAAUGCCCAAGACAACUCUAGAUCAGUUGAGCUACCGUGGGGUCCCUUUGAGGAGAAGUACUUUCUUGGUCAAAGCUUUUGAUGGAUCUCGAAAGAAUGUGCUGGGGGAGAUAGACUUGCCGAUAACCAUUGGCCCUGAGAAUUUCUUGGUUACUUUCCAAGUGAUGGACAUUAAUGCAUCCUACAGUUGCCUGCUGGGAAGACCGUGGAUACACGAUGCAGGUGCAGUUACUUCCACCUUACAUCAGAAGUUGAAAUUUGUGAAGAAUGGAAAACUCGUUACAAUCCAUGGUGAAGAAGCAUACUUAGUCAGCCAGUUGUCUUCUUUUUCUUGUAUUGAAGCAGGGUCUGCUGAAGGGACUGCUUUCCAAGGUUUGACCAUUGAAGGUGCAGAGUCUAAGGAAGCUGGGGCUGCUAUGGCUUCAUUGAAGGAUGCUCAGAGAGCCAUCCAAGAAGGUCAGACUGCCGGCUGGGGCAAGGUGAUACAGCUCUGUGAGAACAAGCGUAAAGAAGGUCUCGGGUUCUCCCCGUCAUCAAGGGUUUCCUCGGGAGUCUUCCACAGUGCUGGGUUUGUUAAUGCUAUCUCUGAAGAAGCCACUGGAUCUGGUCUCAGGCCUGUAUUUGUUACACCAGGAGGCAUUGCGAGAGAUUGGGAUGCCAUUGACAUUCCAUCAAUCAUGCAUGUUUCUGAGUAAUGUGUCUUGUUGCUUUAGUGCUUCGUUUUCAAAAUAACAAUCCUCCCGCUCUGCCCAAAGCGAGGGUGAUAUUUUCUGUAAGGGCAUGUUUGUUUCGGCAUUGCCGUUGAUUAAUAAAACUUUGUCGUUUCUUCCACGACUACUUUUUUUUUUAGUGUUUUUCCCUUGGAAACAAUGGUAAUGCCAGAAAAAACCAAAACGUCUGUAUUUUCUUAUUAAUUUCAAAAAUCUGCAUGAAAAAAAACUCUUUCUAAAAUCAUCCAAUCAUUAUAUGCAGGUUGAACCAUAAUAAACCCGUUGAACACAGUAAUCCUACGGUUCCUCCAAAUUUUGAUUUCCCUGUGUAUGAAGCCGAAGAUGAGGAAGGUGGUGACAUACCAUAUGAGAUUACUCGGUUACUCGAGCAAGAAAAGAAAGCCAUUCAGCCUCACCAAGAAGAGAUUGAGCUUGUCAACAUAGGUACCGAGGAAAACAAGCGAGAAAUCAAGAUUGGUGCUGCUCUAGAGGAAGGGGUUAAACAGAAGAUCAUCCAACUCCUCCGGGAAUAUCCGGAUAUUUUUGCAUGGUCCUAUGAAGAUAUGCCAGGUCUAGACCCUAUGAUCGUGGAGCAUCGGAUCCCCACCAAGCCUGAAUGUCCUCCCGUCAGGCAGAAAUUGAGAAGGACUCAUCCUGACAUGGCUCUCAAGAUUAAGAGCGAGGUUCAAAAGCAAAUCGAUGCGGGUUUCCUCAUGACAGUUGAGUACCCUGAAUGGGUUGCUAAUAUUGUGCCUGUGCCAAAGAAGGAUGGUAAAGUCCGGAUGUGUGUUGACUUCAGAGACCUGAACAAAGCCAGUCCAAAAGACAACUUUCCAUUACCUCAUAUUGACGUGCUUGUUGAUAAUACUGCUCAAUCUAAGGUGUUCUCCUUCAUGGACGGUUUUUCCGGUUAUAAUCAGAUCAAAAUGUCUCCUGAAGAUAGAGAAAAGACAUCUUUUAUCACUCCAUGGGGCACUUUCUGCUACAAAGUGAUGCCAUUCGGCCUAAUCAAUGCUGGUGCUACCUACCAAAGGGGAAUGACCACUCUGUUUCAUGACAUGAUUCACAAAGAAGUUGAGGUAUAUGUGGAUGAUAUGAUUGUGAAGUCAACAGAUGAGGAGCAGCAUGUUGAAUAUUUAACAAAGAUGUUUGAAAGGUUGAGAAAAUACAAGCUGCGAUUGAAUCCCAACAAAUGUACAUUCGGUGUCAGAUCCGGGAAGUUAUUAGGCUUCAUUGUCAGCCAAAAGGGCAUUGAAGUCGAUCCUGAUAAAGUCCGGGCCAUCCGAGAAAUGCCAGCUCCACAAACAGAGAAGCAAGUCAGAGGUUUCCUCGGACGUUUGAAUUACAUCUCUCGAUUCAUAUCUCACAUGACCGCAACCUGUGGGCCAAUCUUCAAGCUACUCAGGAAGAAUCAGCCUGUUGUAUGGAAUGAUGAAUGCCAAGAAGCUUUUGAUAGCAUCAAGAAUUAUCUGCUGGAACCACCUAUCCUUGUCCCACCCGUGGAAGGAAGGCCUUUGAUUAUGUAUUUGGCAGUGUUUGAUGAAUCCAUGGGAUGUGUACUUGGUCAACAAGAUGAAACUGGGAAGAAAGAGCAUGCUAUCUACUAUCUGAGCAAGAAGUUCACCGAUUGUGAAACUCGGUAUACAAUGCUUGAGAAGACUUGUUGUGCUUUAGCUUGGGCUGCCAAACGCCUGCGUCAUUAUUUGGUGAAUCAUACAACUUGGUUGAUAUCCAGAAUGGAUCCGAUCAAGUAUAUCUUUGAGAAAGCUGCUGUUACUGGAAAGAUUGCACGCUGGCAGAUGCUUUUGUCUGAAUAUGAUAUUGUGUUCAAAACUCAAAAGGCAAUCAAAGGUAGCAUUCUUGCCGAUCAUCUUGCUUACCAACCUCUUGAUGAUUAUCAACCAAUUGAGUUCGACUUCCCCGAUGAAGAGAUCAUGUAUUUGAAAUCCAAAGACUGCGACGAACCGUUGAUUGAGGAAGGUCCAGAUCCCAAUAGCAAGUGGGGUUUAGUCUUUGAUGGUGCUGUCAAUGCUUAUGGUAAAGGAAUUGGGGCAGUCAUUGUAUCCCCACAGGGGCAUCACAUUCCUUUUACCGCCAGAAUUCUGUUCGAAUGUACCAACAACAUGGCUGAGUAUGAAGCAUGUAUCUUCGGGAUCGAGGAAGCAAUUGACAUGAGAAUCAAACACCUCGACAUCUAUGGAGAUUCUGCGCUCGUCAUCAAUCAGAUAAAGGGUGAAUGGGAGACCCACCAUGCUAAGCUGAUUCCUUAUCGUGAUUAUGCGAGACGUCUUCUGACAUAUUUUACAAAGGUUGAGCUGCACCAUAUUCCUCGUGAUGAGAACCAAAUGGCUGAUGCUCUUGCUACUCUAUCUUCCAUGUUUCGAGUGAACCAUUGGAAUGAUGUGCCAUUAAUCAAAGUGCAACGCCUUGAAAGACCUUCGCAUGUGUUUGCUAUUGGGGAUGUGAUCGAUCAGGCUGGUGAAAAUGUGGUUGACUAUAGACCCUGGUACUAUGACAUCAAGCAGUUCUUGCUAAGCCGCGAAUAUCCGCCGGGUGCUUCCAAACAAGAUAAGAAGACCUUGAGAAGAUUGGCCAGUAGAUUCCUGUUAGAUGGAGAUAUUCUGUACAAGAGAAACUAUGACAUGGUAUUGUUAAGAUGUGUUGAUGAACAUGAAGCAGAGCAGUUAAUGCAUGAUGUACAUGACGGUACCUUCGGGACCCAUGCUACAGGGCAUACUAUGUCAAGGAAGUUGUUACGAGCAGGUUACUACUGGAUGGCCAUGGAGCAUGAUUGCUACCAAUAUGCCAGAAAAUGCCACAAAUGCCAAAUCUAUGCUGAUAAGAUUCAUGUGCCUCCGCACGCUCUCAAUGUUAUGUCAUCCCCAUGGCCUUUCUCAAUGUGGGGCAUCGACAUGAUUGGAAGAAUUGAACCGAAAGCUUCAAAUGGUCAUCGUUUCAUCUUAGUGGCAAUUGACUACUUCACCAAGUGGGUUGAAGCAGCAUCUUAUACCAAUGUGACCAAGCAAGUGGUAGCUAAGUUCAUCAAGAACAAUAUCAUCUGUCGAUAUGGUGUUCCCAGCAAGAUUAUUACCGACAAUGGUACCAACCUGAACAACAAUGUGGUGCAAGCUCUUUGUGAAGAAUUCAAAAUUGAGCAUCAUAACUCUUCUCCUUAUAGACCUCAGAUGAAUGGUGCAGUUGAGGCCGCCAACAAGAAUAUCAAGAGAAUUGUCCAGAAGAUGGUAACCACUUACAAGGACUGGCAUGAGAUGUUACCCUAUGCUCUGCAUGGCUACCGUACUACUGUGCGCAGUUCAACCGGGGCAACCCCUUUCUCUCUUGUAUAUGGUAUGGAAGCAGUUCUUCCUUUGGAAGUGGAGAUCCCAUCUCUCCGUGUGAUCAUGGAAGCAAAGUUAUCAGAGGCUGAAUGGUGCCAAAGCCGGUAUGAUCAGUUGAAUUUGAUUGAGGAAAAACGUAUGGAUGCCAUGGCUCGUGGACAGUCAUAUCAAGCAAGAAUGAAGACUGCUUUUGACAAGAAAGUCCAUCCUCGAGAAUUCAAGGUAGGGGAACUUGUAUUGAAAAGGAGGGUAAGCCAGCAACCCGACCCAAGGGGCAAGUGGACGCCUAACUAUGAAGGUCCUUAUGUUGUCAAGAAGGCCUUCUCCGGUGGUGCUUUAAUCCUUACACACAUGGAUGGUGUAGAACUUCCAAAUCCAGUGAAUGCUGAUAUAGUCAAGAAAUACUUUGCCUAGAAAUAUGAAAAGAACAGCGUGGUAGGUCGAAAACCCGAAAGGGCGGCCUAGGCAAAAAUGCGCUUCCCGGUGGAUCGAAAACCCGAAAGGGCGGUCCAGGCAAAAAUAAGGGACAAAAAAAACAAAUAUGAAAAGCUCGCUGAGAUUGUAAACAACUCAGGCAAGAAUGAGCGUCUCGAUGAGCCGAAAACCCGGAAGGGCGGUUCAUGCAAAAAUGAGAUUGAAACAAAAGGCAAGUAACUAUAUCUGGCUAACCACCGUCCCCCUUGGGGCAUCUGCAGCUGUUAAUGACUAUCUUCAUCAAAAGCUCCUACGCUUGCGAAUUCAAAGUUUCUAGGAGAUGUCCUGAUUACUGUGUUCAAUGUACCACCAACCAAUAAAAUUACCAUUUUCCAAGCUUUGUGAAUCCGUGGAGUCAUGCCUUUGGCUGACCACCACUCUUAUACAUCAAUUUGAGCCUUUGCUUUUGUUUGAAAACUCUAUUUUUUCUUCUACUUUCAAAGCUAUAUACAAAAUAUUUUCUUUCUAUUUUGAUAAUGACAAUGCUUGAAACAAACAUUUUGAAAAUUGAAAACUUUUUGUCUAUUUUGAAAAGCAAACCUGAGCAACAGGGUACAUUCAAAUGAAACAUGCAUGAGCGAGAGUAUGUUGAUGUCUAUUUCAAUAUAUGUUACAAACAGGUUCUCCUCCAGGAUGGUCUGUGGUCAAUGGCAAGAAUGAAAAAACAGAAUGAAAAUGCAUGAAAAUAAUUGAGCUCGCUAAGUCGAAAACCCGAAAGGGCGGCUUAGGCAAAAAAGAGCACCCCGCUGAAUUGACAACCCGAAAGGGCAAUUCAGGCAAAAAUGGGGCAUUGAAAAGAAUUUAUCUCCCCGGUGGAUCGAAAACCCGAAAGGGCGGUUCAGGCAAAAAUGGGAUGCAAAAAAUGAAUGAAUGAAAUUGAGAAAAUAACAUGCAAAAAGCAUUGACCACAGAUGCGAUGUCCACGAUACAUCCGGCAUUAUCCCCAGUAAAGUCUCUCAAGAUUCUAUCCCCAGCAAGUGGCAUACCUACCUGCCCUCAGCCAUGGUUCCGAUACGUCUCCCAACGACGUCAUCUCCAAAGAGGAUUUCCAAGAAUGUGUAAUAUAGCACGAGUCACUACGUGCCCAAUACUCUAAUGUCUUGUCUUCCCCGUGAAGUCGUGCCUACAAACUGCCAACAGUCAUGCAUUACAAGCAUUCAUACAUGCAUAAUCAUGCAUAUUGCGUACCCAUGCAUAUUAAUGAAUCUGUUAUAUCAUCCAUGCAUAUUGCAUUUCCAAUGUCAACAUCAGUCUCAAUUCAAUACUCAUGUCAGGUUCUCCGUCAAAACCUUGUGAGCCAAUAAUAUCGGUCAAUUUCUACCUUUCAAAUCAAAUCGACGUCAAGUCAAUCUCAAUCUACAUUUUGCCAACAAACCAAUCCCCAGUGAAUAUGUUUCUGUCUGGUCAAGUGGCUAGUUCAAGUCCAAGAACAGCUUGUACCUAUCAAUUUGCUUAUGUUAUCGGUCGAGUGCCCAGCUCAAUCCAAGAGCAGCUUGUACCUGUCGAUAGGUUUCCGUUCAGUCAAGUGACUAGCUCAAUCCAAGAGCAGCUUGUACCCGUCUAUCUGUUUCUGUUCGCUCAAGUGGCUAGCUCGAUCCAAGAGCAGCUUGCGCCUGUCUAUUUUGUAUUUGUCUCCGGUGGAGUAACCAGUUCGCAUCCAAGAACAAGCUCGCACCUGUCUAUUUGCCUUGCUUUCAGUGGAGUAACCAGUUCGAAUCCGUAAGAACAACUCGUACUUGCCAAUUUUCUCUCUUUCCCAGUCGGGUCACCAGUUCGAAUCCAUAAGAACAACUCGCACCUUCCAAUAUCCCCAAGUGAGUUACCAGUUCGAAUCCAUAAGAACAACUCAUGUUUGUCCAGUAACCUCUAUCCCCUGUGAAGUGACCAGUUCGAAUCCAUAAGAACAACUCGCAGUUUGUCUGUUUGUUUCAUUCCCGGUCAAGUGGCUAGUUUGAAUCCAAGAACAGCUUGUACCUGUCCAACUUGUUUCUAGUUUCCCGUUACUCUGCUAUUCACUAUCUUGGUCAAUGUCUACCAAUCCCGCAAUGGAUACGACAUAUUUUGUUAAUUCCAAUCCCCAUGAGGUCUUGCAUUCAUAAUCCAAAUGAUGCAUGGCAUGCAUAUUAUUUGAAAAUGGGUAGGCGUAUUUUUACGUCCAAACACAGUGCAAAUGCUAAUAUUUAAGUAUCUUCGUCCUGUCAAGCCAAAGACUCUGUCUCUUGACUCUCCAGACAAAGAAACUUAAAUAGGGGCAGCUGUUACACCCUGUUUUUGGACCUAAAAAUACUGGGCCCAAUUUCAUUUCAAACCUUGUCAAUUAUUAAAUUUCAACUGCAUAGUUCAAAUUGUCUCUGCCUCGCAGUAUUUUCAAUCACAAUUUUACCUAUGUUUUUCUUGCAUAAAACCUUUCAAAAUGUCUUUACUUGUCUUGUAAGUCAUUCAAAAGUGUCUCUGAAUCAUUGCAUUGCUUUUUCUACAGUUUAUUUCAAAAUUUGCAAAAAGUCAUACAGAAGGGUAUUUUGGUCAUUUCCUGCAGUGGGACCCAUUUUCAUCCUUGUGGCUGUCUCUGAGUCUUUUCAAAUUGUUUUUCAGUAAACCUUGUUAAAAUUCAUUUCAAACUUGCGUCUGAGUCAGUGUCAAGUCUGUUUGAGUCAGUUUAGGUCAUUUUUAGCCCUAGGGGCAUUUUAGUCAUUUCACACGAAAUUUUGGCAUAGAGAGGUUACUUUGAAGUACCUCAUUUAGGUCAUUGGUUCGUUUUAGUCCGUUUUGUCAAUUUUAUUUUUGUUUCGCUUUACGUUUGAUCAAAUUGCGUUUUAUUCAAUUUCAUUUUUUUAUUGCAUUUUGGUCCAGUUUCUUUUCCAAUUUGCAUUUUAGUCCUUUUUUAUUUUCAUAUUAGUCCCUUAAUUUUUCAAUUUUGCAGAAAGGUCCCAAAUUAAUUCUAAGUCCAAAGCCGUGCCUUUUUUUUUACAAGUCCAGGUGUCCUUUUCUUAUUGGUUCCAAUGCACACAUGUCAGCUAUAAAAGCAUUGAGUCAGAAUCAGAAGCAAUGAUCACACGCCACUUCACCAAAAACAGAAUCAAACUUUCUCUUUCUUGUCAGUUAGAUCAAACCAAAAAAUCACAGAGAAAUCACCAAGAACACAAGAACCCUAAGAUUUCCAGAACAAAAUUCAUACACAAAUUCAUUGAUUUUCACAUCAAUCCUCAGAGAUUCGUGUGAAUCUUCAUCACCGGAUUGAAGAAUUCCCCUACAAUUCAAAGUGCGAGCUCACAUUGAAGCAAGCUCAAGCACUGAUCAUAGGGAUUUUUCACGCAGAUUCAAAAACGUUGAAGCAAGCUCAAGCACGUAAUCACAGAGAAGCAGAGAAAGAAUCAGAGAAGAUGAAGAUGAACCGGUAAACCGAUUUAUUUUCGGUCCAAAAGCAAGCAAAAUCAUCAAAACCGUCAAGAACAUUCAAGUUUUUUCCAAAGAUUUUCCUCCAUUAAAAGUUUCAACCAAAACUUCAGGUAAAACUCAUUUUCUUCUCUUAGAAAGUAAUACAGUUAAACCUGCAAAUAGAAAACAGAAAAGUUUCCAGAAUCACGAAACAAAGCCGUAACCGUAAACACAAAACCUAGAUCCAUAAGGAUCUAGGUUUUGAAAGCAAGAACAAGUAUCAGAAAAGCCAUCAAACGACGAAACGAUGUAGAUCUUUAAAGAUCUAAACGAUUUAGUUCAAAAAUCAAAAAUCAUUUCAAAACCGUAAAAGUUUUUUCCAAGAUCUACGUCGUUUCAAGCUGUGCAUGAGAAAAUAAUUGCUGGAUCCGUGUUUAGGGUUAAAGGACGAAUCAUUAGAUGUAAAAAUCAUAAGUUUCUGGAAAUUUUCACGGCGGAACCCUAGAUCUUCACCGGAGAAGAUGAAGUUUCCGGCGACCUAUGAAGGUUCCGGCCGGUCCUUCAUCCUCUCCGGCGUGCCAUGCCAGAAUCCGGUGAGUUGAGAGAAGAGAGAAGAGAGAGAAGCUCUGAGCUAGAGAGAGAAAGGAUUUGUAAAAUGAGAAAAACCGGUGCUAGCAUGUUUAUAUAGGCAACUGAACCGGACCGGUUCAAGACCGGUCCAAUCCCUUCAAUCCUGAGCGUUGGAUCUAGGGCUUCCCCCCCCUGGAUCAAUCCAACGCUCCCUGUGCAUCCGGAUCCUUGUAGUUUUGGGCUUUGGUUUGGGCUUAGUUCUUUUUACGUUUUUUUGUUAUUUUCUUGCUAUUUGCACUGCCUUUCUUGCUAUCUGGACCUGUUACUUGCCUACUUUUUUUUAUAAAAAUUCCUAAAAAAUCCUAGUUGUUUCUUAAUGUAUUUUUGGUAUUUCCAUGGUAUUUUUGCAUGUAAAAAAAAUGGUAAAGUGGCAUGAACUAAUUUCCAUGUGUUUUUACACUUUUGGUAUACUUUUUGCUAUGUUUUUGUUCUUGAUACUUUGAUAUGUGUUAUGAAUAAAUGAUACCCUAUCUUGUGAUGAAUAUGCCUCUGGACAUGUGUUUCUUUUUGCUGUUUUGAAUAUGAUUUUAUGGAUUUCUUGUUUUACAAGCAACAAGUGUUUGUUUUAAAGAAUAAAGUGUCAAAUUUCUCUAUGAAUUUGGUGUGAUACUUUGCUUGCAUGUGUCUCCAUUAAUUUCAUGUCAUGGCUUGAAACAAAAUCUCUUUCAAAGUUGCUAUGAUGUGAUGAUUAUGGGUUACAAGUACCUUUAAGUAUCAUAUCAAAUUUCUAGGUUUAUUACCACUUUAUAACUUUCUUUCGCUUUUCCUAUGCAAUUUCUUUUUGUUUAUUUCCUACUAUUUUGUGCUUUGUGAUUACUAACCAUUUCAUCUCAUGUGUCAUACAUUUCAUAGCAUUCCACCACCCUCUCCACUCUCCAUUUUCUUUAGCUUAGCAUUUAUUUUUUGCAAAUUUUAAUUCAUUUGGUGAUGUAAUUUGGUAUCAUUGGUUUGUAGCUUGGCAAAGGGGCCAUAGAAUGUACUUAGGCAAUUUUUGUAAUAUGGACUAUGGACACUAUGACGCACCGACACGCACACACCCACCUUAGAUGUAUGCAUAAGAUUGUAUGGUUAGAUGAAUGCUUAGGUUUAAACACUUAGAUAAAAAUCAACUUUUUUCCAAAACAUGCAAAUAACACUUGAAAACCUUUUUGAAAAUAAAAUGGAGUCAAAACUCCUUAUUUUCCCCUUUAUUUUCUUAAGUAAAAUUUUCAAUAAAUCUUAAUCCUCCAUAGACUUCAUUUUGAAAAAGACUAAUUCCACCUCACUUUUUCCAAAUCUUAUGCCCUUGAGGCCUCUCAUCUCUAUUCUUCAAAAUCUCUUUUCAAACUUAAAAUCAACCAACAAAAACAAAAAAUCCUUUUUUAGCAAGAACUACGCCGGUUUUGAUCCCGUAAAACGGUACGUAGGCAAUGAGUCAAAACUCAUCCAAGCCGAAAUAAAAUCAAAUUCUACUUCCUCUCACCCCCAUUCUUAACUAAUCACACUUUCCUUUUUUACAAAUAAGCAAUAAAACUAAAGCGUAGAAAUCAACUUAGGAGAGCGGCUCUUAUGGAGUACCAUAAUCGCUCCGGGUGCCUAACACCUUCCCGUAGCGAAAACGACCCCCGAAUCUAGAACUUCUUAAGGGUUUUUCUCCUUUUACCCUUCCCAAGAAAAAAGAGAGAUAUCAACGGUCGAAAGGUUCAAGUCCAAUUAAUGGCUUGGCACCCCAAAACCAUGAUAACAUGUGUCAUUUUCAAUAGAUACUUCCCUUCCAUCAUGUAAUCGAUCAUAAAUCCAGAAAGGGAAAUAAAUUUGGCUAGAUUGAUCGGCCAAUGCAUUCAAAUUCUUCCUUCUACUCGCCAUCUCCAUUAACAACAUCCCAAAGCUAUAGACAUCAGCUUUGUAAGAUAUUGUGCCAAUAUUUCUGUAGAACAGUUCAGGGGCCAUGUAUCCAAUCGUUCCUCUUGCAGCAGUUAAUGGCACAAUGCUUUUAUCUGUAGGACAAAGUCUAGCAAGUCCAAAAUCAGAAACUUUUGGAUUGAAAUAUUCAUCAAGAAGGAUGGUAUGAGGCUUUAUAUCAAAGUGUAGAAUUUUCAUAUCACAUCCAUUAUGAAAGUACUCAAUUCCACGAGCCACCCCAAGAGAAAUGGCAUGCAAUUUUUCACAACUCAAGGAAUUACUCUCUUCAAUGUGAGAAAAUAUGUAUUUUUCCAGUUACCCAUUUGGCAUGGCUGCGGUUAUGGUGCAUAAGGAAAUCCUUAUGCACCCUGCAUAAAUUCAAAAAUGGUUUCUGUGAAAAUAAAGAGUUCUUCGGAACUUAAGUGCCGAUUUUUUUUUUUUUUUUUCUUUCGUCGGCAGUUAACUGCAACCGGUUCCUUACUUCAGUAGUUAACUGUCGCAGAGGCAUUUUCGUCUUUUAUAUGUGUUUUUCAGCCCUAUCAUAUGUGUCAACAACAAUUCUCGGGAUCAAAAGCCAAAUAAUAAUGUACAUGUGUGGUAUCUGAGUCAUUAAAUUUGAUAUUCACAUAUGUACUGACCUGGUUAAAAUUAAGGGGACGUCAGUUUUGUAAAAAGAGCUAAAAUUAAGGGCCAAAACUGUUAUUUUGAAAGUUUGUGUUUCUCUCUUCUAAAGAGUAUCUCAUAAACAGUGAAGAAGAAUACAUUCCCUUUGUAGCAAACCUGGUUCACAGUGAAGCUGGUUAUAUUGAUCGAGCUCUGCAUACCGACCAUGAUUGCAAAUACUAUUGAGCCAAGAAAAUUCAAAUCCAUAAUACAUCAUACGACGGAAGUCCUUGCAAGAAAUGUUACUGUUGUUGCCAUCUUCAAAAUUUAAAGAUGUGAGAUACAUAAACUCUACACGACAAGUGUCUUUCAACACCAAUUCCGAAAGAGAUUUGCUGUAGCGACCAACAUAGAAACGAUUCCCGUGUUGUGAGUAUGAACCACUACUCAUACAGUUACCAACGUAUGAGUAUUCCGUCCAAUUUGGACAACUCACGUAUAACAUAGAUUUCGUCAAUAUAUGGUCAGUGUAGUUGGUGGAGGAGUGUGUGGAGUAAGAACUCAACUUAUAGAAUAGGUAGGGCGAGGUGAUGGAAGAACUGAAAUUAUAGAGUCCUAAAGAAUAAUAAGGAGGGCUGAAAUUAACAAGAUUGAAAUCCAAUAGCCGUAUGGUAAAGUUGUUGUAAUUAAUUGAUUGUACAUAAUAUUUUCCGGUGUAUUUCCCAACUUUAUAGUACAAGAUCAAUUGGUUGUUGUCCUCACAUGAUAAGAUAUACCUCUUGUCACCAGUGUUUGGGACUGUCUUUCAGCCGGAAAGGGUGGCUGAUGUUAUGGACACCGCAACUUCCAGAACAUGACUCAUGGUGUUCAUCACCAUACACUUUGUUGUUGUAAGGGAAUAUUAGCACAAGCAACACCACUGCAAGGGUUAAUGCAGUAGGGGUUGAGAAUGACUUUUUUGGUUUUUUGAUAGCAAGUAGAAAUCAAUUGUCAUAAUUUAUUAUAUGCAUGAGAAUCGUAUAAUAAAAAUCAAAUGGAUCCUGCUAACCGAUGCCCCCGAGCACUGGAUAAAUAUUACCAAAAUUGUUUUUAACUUUAUUAUAACAUAAUUUUAAUGCAUUAACUACUAUAUAAUCUCCUUUUUCAUAUCCUUAACAAGUGCCUCAGAGACACCGGCUAGCAUUUCCUUUUUAAUUAUUCUAAUUAUUUUUCUUACAUUUUUUAUUGUAAAAGAUUUAUUUAUAAUCAAAGUUUUAUAAAAAUAUAUUUUCAAUAUAAUCGAUGAAAGCAAAUUAAAAAAAUAUAUUUAUAUAGCACUAACCACUAAAUAAAACUAAUAAUUUUGAUGCCCCUAAAAAAAUGGUGCCUUGGACUGCCGCCCCGCCCGCCCACCCUCAGGGCCAUCCCUAAUAUUAGAAUAAAUAUUUUUUGAAUAAUGUAUAUAUCAUUAAACCCAAUUGAGUUGGUCUCUUGAUAUUGGUUUAAGACGUGUAGAUUAUUUUAGUUUUGAAAUAAGAUCUUUGCGGACCUACCUAAAGACAUGGUGUGGCUAUAAACACAUCAACUCGCCCUAGAAUUAAAAUAAAAAUAAAAAUAUUGACAUGGCUACAUAUGGAUUAGAGUCGUCUAGAAUGAUUAUUUGAAAUUCACAAAGCUUUACAUUCAUUGUACAAAGACUUCAUAUUGUUGGGGAAGCUGGCUAGAAGACUUGUGUGGCUAAAGAACAAACAAUUCUAUAUCAUGAGGGAAAUUACUAGGAAACUGUUAUAGUGAAAGUGAGUUUGAAAAAUUCCUAUAAACAGAGUCAAGACAUAGUACUAUUGCUCAAGAAUCAAUAACAUGAACACUUAUUAUGGUUUAUUGUUGUUUAUGGUUUAUUUUGUUGUUAGAACAACUACAGCCAUGGUCAAUGAUUGUCCAGAUUUAAGAUGUGGAAAUCAAAAUAUCAAAUUUCCUUUCUGAUUCAAAAACCGUCAAGCACCCAUGUGUGGCUAUCCAGGUUUUGAGUUAUUCUGUUCAUUGAAUAACGAAACAACGAUUGAACUCCCUCACUCGGUGAAACUCAAUGUUAAGAACAUUGACUAUAGACACCAAUUACUAGACAACUCAGUCAAGAGUUAGAUUGAUUUACAAUUGUUAAGAUAAGAUCUGUUUUCAUUUUAUAAAGAACGCGCACUUCCUUAUAGAGAAAGUUCCUCCUCAGGUGCUAAAUUCGUCUUAGUAUGCAAGUUAGGAAACAUUUCCCUUAGAGGGGCCGUUGUUUAUUUUCUGAAGUAUUUUAUUUUUCCCAGAUGCCAAAUAGAUGGAGGUGUUCUUUGUAAAAUCUAUUCGCCAAAGAAAUUGAGGAAUACAUUAAUUGAACUUUGAUAUAAGAAAAUAAAAUAAUUACAAUAUUUGCAUUAUAAACAAAACUGCCAAAGAAUUGAGAAUCGCUUUUCUACAUGAUAUCAUGAUUCAUGUCAGAAUCAGAACUGAAAUUUUCAACGGAAGAAUCAUCCUUAUUCCUUGGGUAUCACUCUGAUAACAUGUGAAGAAUCAUGGGAUGAGAGGGUUAUAAAUCAUACUCUUAAGAGAGAGAAAGGGAGCAUAUGAAUAAUCACGAGGUAAAAGCUCAAAAGGAGUAAUUUUUGAUUGAUAAAAGGUGGUGAAUCAUGAACACGAUUGUUUUACUAAUAGAACUCAAAAAUACCAACUAUUUGAGUGAGGAACACUUAUAUUUAGAGAUCUACUAAUAUAACUCAAUUAUACCAACUAAUUGAGUGAGGAACACUUCUUAUAUUUAAAGCAAACUCAUAAGACGUUUUCGACAUUUCAAAUGCAUUAAGAAAUUUAAUUAAAUUUGUAUGGAAAAAAUAUAUUAUGAAUUGUUCUAUAAAAUUGUUUGUAAUAAACGCUAUGUGAAAGAUAAAUUAAAAAAUCGAAAGAAGAGAGAAUAAUAAAUAGUUAAGGGUAUAAUAGGAAAAGUAACAUUAAUUUUUCAUUGGUAUUGUAAAAACGACUUAUAAUUUGGGAGAUUUUUUUUCUUUCCAAAAUGACUUUUAAUUUUGGAUAUGGAAAGAGUAGUGAUUUGUAGUUAAGAAAAUAAUCACUUACUUGGGACAGAGGGAGUAUAAUCAAAUCUUGAUGUUAGUGUUCUUAACACCUUUUCAAUCUUCAUCAAGUUAGUUAUAGUCUCACCAUUAAUUCCUUUUCAUUUGGUUUGUCAAGUUGAUCUAUCGACCAAAGUAUUGACUCAUUGAUUCUUUAUCGGUCAUUGCAAGAAGUUUAUACUGCCUCUUCAAUGCUUGUAAUAUCACAUUCUUCAAUUUGUCAUCUCCUGCAUACACCAUUUCCACUGUAUCCCAAGCUUCUUUUGCAUUUUCACAAUGCAUUAAAUUCUCUUAGAUGUUACCAUUAAUGCAUUGAUGCAAGAACAAUGGUUUCCCAUCUUUCUUCUGUAAGUCUUGAUGCAUAGUGACUUGUGCCUCAACUAUUACAAGCACUGACACUCGUUCCUUGAAUUAGAGACUAUUUAUACAACAUGAGAAUUAACAAUCAGUUAAAACCAACUCGUAACUUGCAACUCAAGUUACCUAACAAACGGUUAGUUAUUCAACUAACAACCAAACUAACUUUGAAUUAUAUAAACUAAUGUAUAAAGUGAUGCCUUAUGCUUUAACAUAUAUGGAAUACUCAUCACUUUAAAAGUGUCGUCUAAUACAUUCUUUUGGCGUAGUCGGGUGUAGGUCCUAUCUACCUACAAGAUCAUGGAGAAUUGGUAGAUCAAGACAAAAAUCUAUUUAUUGAUUUUCUAUAUCUAGUUAAACCAUAUAUUAUUGAACACGUGAGUUUUCACCAAAUUAAAUAAGGAUUAUUGAUACAUAAUAAUAUGUCACAACAACGAUAUCCAUAGAUCUGAUACCAUAAUAUCUGUUACCAUCCCUUGAUAAUCAACCAAAGAAAAUACUCAUUUAUUCUAUCUACAAACAUUCACACACACACACACACACACAGAUAAAAACUGCUACUUAUAUUAAUGCUUGGUACCAACAAUAUGAUAUGUAAUUCAACCAAGAACCAAAAAGAGAUCAGGUUGGUCCCUUGGAAUCACUAACUGAUGUACCAUACGAACUCCAUGAGUUUCUAUUAUAAUCAUCUCCAACAUCCUCUACUGGUGGAUCUUGUAAACAAAAGUAAGGCUUAUUAGGAAUUUGCAAGUCCCCAUCUUCUUCUUCAAGCAUCUCCAACACUUUAUCCAUUGAAGGACGGUCGUCGGGUUUUGUCUGUAUACACCACAAAGCCACAAUCAUCAUUUUCUUUGCCAAUUUUAUUUCCUGAUCUGUGUCAUUUUCAAUCGUUACUUCCCUUCCAUCAUGUAAUCGAUCAUAUAUCCAAAAAGGGAAAUAAAUUUGGCUAGAUUGCUCAGCCAUUGCAUUCAAGUUCCUCCUUCUACUUGCCAUCUCCAUCAACAACAUCCCAAAACUAUAUACAUCAGCUUUGUAAGAUAUUGUGCCAACAUUUCUGUAGAAUAGUUCAGGAGCCAUGUAUCCAAUGGUCCCUCUUGCUGCAGUUAAUGACACAAAGCUUUUAUCUGUAGGACAAAGUCUAGCAAGUCCAAAAUCAGAAACUUUUGGAUUGAAAUUUUCAUCAAGAAGGAUGUUAUGAGGCUUUAUAUCAAAGUGUAGAAUUUUCAUACACUACGCCAAUUUUAACAUUUAUUAGCGCCUAUUUAAUAGCAUUUUUAAAAGGAAUGCUAUUAAAAAGCUGACCUCGUCUCCCGUAAUAGCGUUUUGGCUGCAGGCGCUAUUAACAGAUGACAUAUGUAAUAGCACUCUGUAUAAAAACGCUAAUAUAGGUAGUUUAAAAAAAUAAAGGAAAAGUAUGAUAUCGCUUUUACAGGAACGCUAAUAUAAGGAUAUAUUAUUUGUUAGCACUUUAUGACUAAAUGCUAUCUUAGCCAUUGUCAAAUAAAAAAAAAUUAUUUUCCAAAAAAUUUAAAAAAACUGCAAAUGUUUUCAUCCUUUGGCGCUGAACUAUUUUUCCUUUCCCUCUCUUCUCCCAAAACCAGAUUUAACACAGUACCCUCUCAAAACCAGUACCCACAUCGAUCCAGACAACCCUUCUUCCUCUCAUCGUCGACCAAAACCAAUUUUCAUAUGAUCACAAAAAUGAAACCCUUCAAGCCCUAAACUAUCAUCUCAUCUUCUCACCGAACCCUUCAAACCCUAACCCUGUAAUCUCUACCCAUGGAUUCAUCUUAAUAGAAUCAUAACCCAUCAUCUCGUUCGAACUAAUCCACCAAACCCAUCAUCUCAACUUCUCAUCGAACCCUUUUCUGAAAGCGGCGAACUCGUAUGCGUAAGCCUUAUCCUUUUCUAUUUUGUUUUGAUUUUGAAAAUUUGAUUAUAGUUUUGUUUGAUUUGUUUAUGUUAUUUCGUUUCUGAUUCGUCUAGAUUUCGUUUGAUUUGUUAUUACUGGGUUUGAAGGUAUUGAAUGCUGCGGCCUUUUUGCCUAAUCUAUGCUAAUAAGGUACCUUUUGGUUAGUCUUUAUGUAUUCAUUUGGGGUGUUUGUUAUUUGAUUUGGAUAUUUGUUUGUGAAUUUGAGUAAUUUGGAUAAGUUCAUUAUGUUUAUCUGCCAUUAACUAGUGUACAUUAUUUCCCUUGUAAAUCAUCAAUUUUUAGUUUUGAACACAUCAAAACAAAUUAGUCCUACCUUAAUUUUAGUUGUAAUGUAAUUUUCAUAUCGUUCUCCGUCGAAACCAUUUGAAGAUAAGAACUCUUUCUGAUUCUUUUAUGAGUUUUAGGAUGUCAAUUUUGAUUUGGUGAUUUGAGUAAAGAAACUUAUUCUGAUAUGGUGAUUUGAUGAUUUCUUGUGUUUGAAAAACAUGGUUCUAGUAGACCCGAUACUGGGUUUCCUGUGGACUACAUUUGGUCUUGGAAUUGGUCGGUGUUUUGUUCUCUAGUCGUUUCGGUUCAGAGCUUGUUGAGUUCAAUUUCUGUCUGAUUGGUGUCCAUGAACUGUUGUCACCUGAUUUAUGUUGAAGGUUUUUGUGUGCUCAGGUGGGCCAGUUCAGCCCCGGGGGGAUUUUCUCUACCUCAUAAUUGUCGAAGUGUUUUAGUGUCUUUGAGUGCGAUAGGGUAGUAGUUCUGUUAAGGUGGCUUGGGAUUUUUUUUUUAAGGUUGUUUUAGUUAUGUGUUGGAUGUGUGUGUUAUGGUCAAGGAUAUUGUUAUUGGUUUGUUUUGGGGCUGUUCACUACAUACUAGUGUUGUUUUUUCAGGUGGUCUUGGUUGGCUUUAUUUUUGGGCCACUAGAGAUUUCUUGCUCAUUGCGAUUUUUUGCUUGGAGUUUGUAUUUAGUCUUUGUUUGUAUUCGAUUGAAAGAAUUCAAUUUGAACUUGUAAUUAAAAAAAUUCAAUCUGAACUAACGGAAAAAAAAAUUAACGUUAAGACUAUUGUGAUAAAGAGGAAAAGAACAAUGAGCAUCAUAUGUUUUUUGUUUUUGUUUUGACGAAUAAGAAUCAUAUGUUUUUUAAUAAUGAUUCUUAAAAAUUGAUGUCCCAUAUGUCUUACAAAAACUUACACAAUCAUUAUUGAUGUUGCACUUUCAAUUUUGGUUCAAUCAAAUGCAAAUUGUGGAGUAACUUAAGAAAGUCAGCAAAUUUUGAUGUUAUGCAUGUUAUAUAUUAUCCUAUAAGAAGUUUAUAUAUAGGAUCUGCCGAUCUGCAACUGACAAGAGCAGUCUGCUAAAAACAUGAAGAUGAUAAUGUAUUUUAUCAUACCCAUUGAUCUAUCCUGCUUUAAUAUGACAUGAACAGAUCCUAUAAUGCAUUUUAUCUUGUAUUUCAUUGCUGAAAUUCUCUAUUUGUCACUUAUGCUUGCUGACUGGUCUUAGGCUUCCUUUCAUUUCUACAACUUUUGUAAAAUUGUGUUGGUUGCCACAGUUAGGGAGUUGUUGGUUUGGAAUUUGACUAAGUAUUUUUAUACAUGUCUGCUAUCUUUCUCAUUUUCACAUUUUACCUUUGUUAUUUUGUAUUGAAAAUGUUGAAUAUGUCUUGCUUUUUGUCAUAUUCUAUAUGUGAAUGAUCCUACCUAUGAAGAGUUGUCUAUUUUGCAAGUAACGAUAAAUGAUCAACAUAAAAAAAAAUGUGAAAAUAGAGAUGUUGAGGAUGAUCCUUUCUUUAACACCCCUUAGAUUUGCUUGAUGUUGAACCAAUUACACAUAUUCCUGAUAUGAGAAACGAUCACAAUGGUGAGAUUUGGAUUAGAAAUCAUUUUGGGUAACUAAAAAACUGAAAACUUUGAAUCCAAUUAGAAUUAAGAGCAAAAGGCCAACUUGAUCUUCUAUGGAAUAUUGAUUUUUUUUAUUCUUUUAUUGUUAGAGUCUUAUUGUUAUUGAUUCUUAAUGUUAUUCAUUUAUGAUAUAGUAACUUCUUUACACUUUUUACAGGGAAAUGGCUUCUAAUAAUGAUGAAUGUGGUGUGACUCAGUUGCAAAAAAUUCACAGCCAAAAGCAAUCAGCAGUUUGGCGUUAAUAAAUAUUAGUGAUACUUUAGAGAUGGAAUUGGACAUGAUUUGUUGCUAAUUUUGGUUUCUGAAACUCUCUUAAUGUUAAUAUAUAUUAAUGAAACUUUAGUAAGAUUGCUGACUUUUUUUUUGCACUUCAAUUUUGUUAUAGGUUCAAUGGAAUGCAAGAGGUCAACCAAUCAAGCAUAAGAACAAGGAUUUUGCUAGUUUCGUUGGUGUCACAGUUCUUCACUUAGUUCCGAUUGCUAACAUUGGUGUCACAUUUGGGAUGACAUUCAAGUAACACACAAACUGAAGCUAGUUUUAAAAUUUUAUUUAAGUUAAUCUAUUUGUAGGGUUGUUUAAAUAAUUGUUUAGAACUAAACUGAACCUUGAACUGAACUCUCUUUUAAAAAGCUGAACUGAACUGUCAAAGUGAUUUACAAACUGAACAGAUUAUAGUUUUGCCAGAUUAUAGUUUUACUUCAUCAUAUUACCAAUUGCAAUUAUAGUACUAGUGAUACUGUUAAAGGCCACCUUUUUAUUAUCUAUUUGCAAAUAUAUAUAUAUAUAUAUAUAUAUAUAUAUAUAUAUAUAUAUAUAUAUAUAUAUAUAUAUUCUGAAGUUAAUAUUUUCCUUCCAUGACAAAUAUAUAUAUUCAAUUUGUAUUUAGUUCGAAGGUUGGAAGUUCUAGUCUUAAUCUGUGGCUAUGAGAGCUGGUCACUUUGGAAUUUUUUGGUUCGGCUGCUGUUGCGUGGGAUGGGCAGUGCUUCGGUUGGAAGUUGUUCCUAGUUUCUGCUGUUUUGUUGUCCUUGUUUUUUAGGUGAUAUUUCUUUUGUUAAGGGGAUAUGAGUAAAUUGUUUCGAAUUGAGCACCGUUGUAUUCUAUUGGAAAAUUUGGCUAUGUAAUACCCUUUUUUUUAUGUUAUCUGUAGACAGGUUUUGGAUCUUAUCAUAUUAUAUAUGCAAUAAGUAAAUAAAGUUUUAUUUGAUAUUGGAAAUUGGAAUGUAGUAUAUAGCUGCAUUUGGAUUACAAACCUAUCCUACUAGUGAUAUAUAUGUUACGCGUAAUUUUUUUUAUAGAAAAAGUUAGCCUUUUAAUAGCACUUUGUACAGAAAUUGCUAUUAAAGUUACAUCAUAUGUUAGCACUUUAAAAUGAAAGUGCUAUUAAAUUCUAUUCAAAAUACUUAUUCCAAAGCGUAAAAAUGCAUACUACAAUAGCACUUUUCAUGAAAAUGCUAUUAAACACCAGGCUUUUAAUAGCCCUUUAAAAGUGCUAUUAAAAACAGUAUACUUACAAUAGCGGCGGCUUUAAUAGCACAUUUUAGUGCUAUCAAAGGGCAAAAAAAGUGCUAUUAAAUCCCUUUUUUGGCGUAGUGAUAUCACAUCCAUUAUGCAAGUACUCAAUGCCACGAGCCACCCCAAGAGAAAUGGCAUGCAAUUUUUCACAACUCAAGGAAUUACUCUCUUCAUUAUGAGAAAAUAUGUAUUUUUCCAGUGACCCAUUUGGCAUGAAUUCAUAUAUAAGAACACGUUUUGAACCCUCCACGCAAAAACCAAUAAGGUGUACCACAUUAACAUGGUGAAUCCUACCAAUGGUGACAACUUCAUUGAUGAAAUCUUGACCAUUGGACUUGGCUUUGUCCAAUAAUUUGACUGCUACAAGACAACCGCUUCGUAGUUGUCCUUUAAAAACAGUUCCAUAACCUCCAUUGCCUAAUUUUGUUUUGAAUUGUUCUGUUAUCUUUUUUAUGUCUUUGUAAGAGUACCUUAUCGGCAUGAUGCUAUUGUCACUCCUCAGAAAAUCUUCAAUGCCAUCAUACACAGAUAAAUGUUCCCGUCGACAUUUGUAGAUUAAUAAUACAAUGAUGCAAGGCGCUCCAAGGACAAAUUUAACAAUGCUGAACAAAAAGCCAACCGAAGUUACCCAAACACCUAUAAAGAAAUGGAAAUGAAAUAAAGAAAAUGAAGUUAUAAUAAACUUCAUUAUUUAAAAUUGUCUAUUUGGAACAUACAGAAGUAAAAAUUGAAAAAUAUGAUGCUAUAUAUUUCAAUCAAUAUAUUUCACUUUUUUUCUUCGAAAUAUAUUUAUCUAACCAGAUAACUUUUUAGGUCAUCAGUGUCUUUUGCUAUUAACCAACAGGUUCAUCCAAUAAAGAUGGUGCUAUGAAGCCAAUUCACAGAAUAAUUGAUAUCCAGACAACUUGGGAAAAUUCUGUGUCAAGACCCAAUUGUAAGUCAAAAGUACCAUUUUACGGAAGAGAUGAGAUAUUGACCCUCAUUUAUGCUGCCACACGUCAGGCAUUUUACACACAUGGAAAGCAUGUUCGCAUUAGUUGUGCCACAUUUGACACUAUGCUCGUUGCGCUCAAGAACCAAUCAAAGACUGCAAGCGCAUUUAUUAGUACAAAAUCAAGGUGUUUGGAUGUAUGUGCGGCACGUUUAAAUGAAAGCUCAGAAAUUUUCUUUAAGAUAUCCUAACUUCAUCCAGAUGCAACAAUUAGGAAUUUUGAUAGAGAGAAAACAUAAUAGCAGUUCAAGCAACCUAUAAGGUGGCGAUUUUCAUUCAAGACAAGAUUGAAGAUAUAUAACAUCUCAAUUAAAUGUAUUGUUUCUUAUACAUUUAAUUAAGUUGUUAGCUAUUAUGAACGGUUAUAUUCGUUAAAUUAGGAUUGGAUGAUGAUCAUAUUUGAACCUAUUUUAACUAGGUAAUCUAUGAAUCCUAAUAUUUGCAAUAUGAGACUUAAUGUUUAUUCAAUGUUAAGGAGCCUCACAUUGAACAAAAUAUGGUAUGAACGUGUGUUUGUAAGUGAGGAUAAUCCACAUCUCACAUGCCGGCUUUGUAAGAAUUCUCACAAGCUGCUCCUAUAGAUCUCGGUCCAAUACAUUCACCUCACCAGCGGCAAUUAACCAGCAACGGCAGUUCUACCAUUGUGCUUUAAUCAACCUCAACCAAACUAUAAUUGUUACAUUUUAUUUAAUUGUUUUUUUUUUUUUAACGAUUCAACUGCUAUAUUAAAAUGUUUAUUUUAAUUAUUGUUUUAUUUUAAUUAUUGUCAGAGAGGUGUCACAAGUAGACUAUCUCCAUCUACUUGUUUGGGAUAUGACCGUCACACUCGAUGAUGUAGCGUGUAUUCUGUACAUCCCCAUCGAAGGGAAGCUCAUGGCACACACCUUUAGGUGUUGAUCUGAUGACGAUCCUAUUGGGUGUAUAUAGGGAUCAUGAUGCAAUUAAGCAUACAUGCGCACAGUGGGGUGAAUAUGUGAGUAUUCCAUGGUUGAAGAAGUUGUACGAGGGCUACCUUAGUCGGUGCAAUGAGUUAGAGGAGUCAACUGAUCCUAAGGGGGAGGUGGAGAGAGACCUCACACAGGAUGUAAUCAAAUUAUUUAUGCGAAGCCAUAAUCCGAAUUAUGCACGGGAGUUCCCACAUGCCAACCACUUUGUUCUAACAAGGGGCCAUGCUUCACGAAGUCAUCACAAAGGAAUCUUAGAUCAUAUUCCGAUGGAGGACGUGAUCUUCAGCAUGUACGAUGAUCACUAGGACGUUGUGCCUUUUGCGGAUAUAUGCUGGUACUCUUGGUUGGAUCAUGUGGAUCAUUAAGACGAUGUGCCAUCACUUGCCGAAGUGAGUGAAGAGGCAGUACGAGCUUGUCCAGAACAUUCUGAGGCAUUCUCGCUCCGUCGAUCUUCUUGAUCCACCCCAGAUAGUCCAGGCCUUCCGGGAUUUUAUGGUCCAUGUCAUACUGUUGGUUGAGGAGGGUGUGGUGGCAACAGAUCUUUGGUGGACUAUAGGGAGAUACAUGACUUGGUUUUGCCGUGUCUCUCAUCCGAUGAUGAUCGCACUAGUGCAAGUUGUUGAGUUACCUCGUCCUAGGCCUCCUAAUAAGGAGGUUAUUAUUUAGGAGAAGUAUGCAAGAGAGUGUCCUAACACACUAUGAGAGUAUGUUGAGGAGGAUCCAUGAUGAGAUGCUCCUAGUGACAUAGAUACCUCAACGCAAAAAAAUCAGAAAAAACAUUAAGAUUAAAUCAGAAAAUAUAAUCCGAUUUUUUUCAAAAUUAAAAAGAUUUUAAAAAAUUAUGGAAUUUUAAUUUAAAAAUACAAAUCAGAUUUUCAAAAUAAAAAAAGGUCAUAUGUUUUAAAAAAAAAAAUCAGGAAAAAAUUUUAAUUUUUAAAAAUCUGGACGUAAAUUUAGAAAAAAUUCAGAUUGUUUAUUCGAAAAUUUUAUUAAAAUUCCAGAUCUUUUUUUUUUUUUUUUUACAAUUUUUUUAUUAUAGCCCCAAAAUGGAUUUUUGUUAGAAUCAUUACCCAAAAUCGUAAAAUAUUCAUAAUUUUGUAAAAAUGAUUUUUUUUCAAUAUUUUAAUUUUAAAAAAGAUUUUAUAAAAAUUCAGGAAUAAAAUUUUCGAAAAAAAAAAUCUGAAUUUUAUCUAAAUUUGUAUCCAGAUUUUUAAAAAUUAAAAAAAAAAUUUCGAUUUUUUUUUUUUGUAUUUUAAAAAUUAAAUUCCAAAAUUUUUUAAAAUCUUUUUAAUUUCGAAAAAAAUUUGAUUAUAUUUUUCUAAUUUUUAAAUUUUGAAAAAAAAUUUGGUAAUAAAAUUUUUUCCAGAUUUUUUUUAAAAAGUUUCCGUAAAAGAAAAAUUAUUUCAUUUUUUACAAUUUUAUUUAUUUUCAAAUUUUUUAAAUUAAUUUUCUAUUUUUAAAUUAAUAUAAAUGAAUUUACAUUAUUUUUUUUCGAUUUUUUUAAAAUUUUCAUAAUAAAAUCUGAUGUGGCGAAUUAAUAAAAUAAAUGGAAAUGUUAACUUGUGCGCUUAGGAAGGGCACAAGAUAAAGAUCUUAAAAUAGAUUCCAAUAAUAAAUAUUGCAUUGAAAAGAUAAGUUUUUAAGAUUUUAAAGUUUAAAAUGCACAAUUUUCAAGGUUAAGUUUCUACAUUUAGUUUCUUAUCUUGUGCCCCAUAAAAUAAAAAACCAAGUCAGCGCCACAUAAGCGAAUUUGGUGAGUUGGACAAGGGAGGGGGGUUUUCUGAUUUUUUUUUUUUACGAGAAUGUAAAUCAAGCCAAAAAUUUUAUAGAGCGAAAAGUGAAAAUGACAUAUAUUACGGAGGUGAAAAACACUAUUAACCCAAAAUAUUUUCUAAACUUCAUUUUAAGUCUCACUUUGUCUAGCAUGUCUUGCAUUGACUUAAAACAAUGUGAAGGCUUACCUAAGAUCAAGGUAUCUUCUAUUAUGACCUCCCAACCAGAAAAGCGAAAUACUGCAACAUAUACACAAAACAUAGUUAACAAAUAAAUUUCCAAAUCGUCUAUUACCGAUAUAGUGAACUAUAUAGACCCAUUUCCAAAUGGUAGAAUCCAUAUGAAAUUUAUUAUUCAUGCACCUCACAAACCGAUUUUGAAAGGAUGAGUUAGACCUCAAAUUUCAACAUAACAUAUUCACGCACCAAGCUAAACAUAUAACUCAAUUUAUAUUCAACACAAUUUUAACCAAAAUCAAUUUAGUCAUCAUUAAUUUCAUAGGUUGUCUAAAUAUUGAGUGAAGUUGUUUGUAGCAAAUUACCUGGACGACGACAAUGAAGGUGGUUAUUUUGAUCAAACUCUGCAUGCCAAUCAUCUUUACAAAGACUAUUGAGCCAAGAGACUUCAAAUCCAUAAGACAUCAUACGGUUGAUGUCCGUGCAAGAAAUGUUAUUGUUGUUGCCAUCUUGAGGAGACCAAGAUGUGAGAAACAUAAGCUCUAUACGACAUCCAUCUCUCAACCCCAACUCCGAAAGAGUUUUGAAGUAGCCAUCAACAUAGAAAGAAUUCUCGUACCGUGAAUACAAACUACUAUUCCUACAGUUAUCUCUGUAUAUGUAACCAGCCUGGUUCGGACAGCUCACAUGCAACAUAAGUUUCGUCAAUCUAUUGCUCAACGAAUUGUUUUUUUCUAGAUAAGGUACGUAGAUAUUUGAGGUGAAAAAAGGACUGAAAUCACUAGGAGGGAUGGAGUUAUUAGAAAGAAUAUUGAAAUACGAUAGUUGGAUGGUAAAGUUGUUGUAAUUAAUUGAUUGUACAUAGUAUUUUCCAAAUGAACCAUGGUACAAAAUCAAUUGAUUGUUGUCCUCACAUGAUAGGUUGUACCUAUUGUCACCACAUUUUUUGGGACUGUCUUUCAAUCGGAAAGGGUGGCUGAUGUUAUGAACACCGCACCUUCUUGAACAUGACUCUUGUUGUUCAUCACCAUACACUUUGUCGCUCAGUAGCAACACUACUGCCACCAUAACAAAGGACGUUAAGGAAAGCAUUUUUGAAUUUUUUAUCAUAGCAAUUAGAAAUUCAUACUCACAAUUUAAAUGCAUAAGAUCCGUAUAAUAAAAAUACAUCACAUUUUACUCUUGUUGAUUGGAGGAGUUACGUACUAGCACCACAUAUAUCUUAUCAAAAACAAAAAUAACUAGCACCACACUAUAUAUAUAUAUAUAUAUAUAUAUUUAAAAUCAACAUAUUAAAUUUAAAGAAAAAUUUAAUUAUAGUCUAAUAAAUUAUAACUUUUUAAGUUUCGUUACUACAAAAAAAUUAUUCAAUCCUUGCCUAAACAAUGAGUGUUUUUGGUCAUUUAAUCUUGAUAAGAGCAAAUUAAGGAUUAAAAUUAAAUAAACUAUUAGGAACUUAACUUAAAAAUCGAGAAUGUUCUAUAGACUAAAACCAAAUUUAACCCUAAACUUAACUAAUAUGUUAAAAAAAACACAAUAAUUUUUACUUACAUGAAAUGUAAAUAAAAGCAAUAACAAAGAAAAUAAAAAUUGACAAUAACUAUUUAAAAAAGUUGGGCUCAACACAUUUUAAAAAGUUAAUUUUCUUCAGAAUUGAUUGCAUACUAAAUAUACUAAUAAUGUCUUUUUCAAUGUAAACAAAUAAGUUAUUUGAAAAAAGAAAAAAAAAAACUCAUUAUAUGUUUAAUUUGUUUCACUAUUGUUUUGACAAUUUUUAUUCUUCCAAAAGUUUUCUUCAAAUUUGUUAUUGAGAUCGAAAGUGUUGAACUAAUACAAAUAAAUCUAUCAAUAUCCCGUAGUAAUUUCUUAAAUUUCUUAUUUAUGUUAAUUUUUAACAAAUAAAUUUGUUUGGGGUAGCUAAAUAUUUUUUAUUUGGGGUAGCUAAAUAUAAAAACAUACCAACAUAUUCAAGAAUAAUACUUUUUUUGGGGGUAGUCAUAGCUACCUCAUGCUAAUGAAGGGAACCGCCCCUAUAUAUAUAUAUAUAUAUAUCUAUAUAUAUAUAUAUAUAUAUAUAUAUAUAUAUAUAUAUAUAUAUUGAAGAGAAAUGAUAUAUGUAUAUAUGUUAAACUAUUUUCUUACAACUUUUGAACAAUAUUUUCUUUUAUUUAGUUUUUACUCUCUCUAUAGAAGACUUGUGUAGUUGACUUGAAUUACCCGUUAACUAAUUUAAUUACAAGUAUUUGCAUUUGACCCAAACAAACAAUUCUAUCUCACGAGGGAAAUUACUAGGAAGCUGUUAUAGUGAAAGUGAGUUUGAAAAAUUCCUAUAAUAAACAGAGUCAAGACAUAGUACUAUUACUCAAGAAUCAAUACCAUGAACACUCAUUAUGUUAUGGCUUUAUUUUUGUUCAUGGUUUACUUUGUUGUUAGAACAACUACAGCCAUGGUCAAUGAUUCUCCAGAUUUAAGAUGUGGAAAUCAAGUUAUUAUCAAAUUCCCUUUCCAUAUCAAAAACCAAAAUCCAAAUCCAUCUUUGUAUGGCUAUCCAGAUUUUGAGUUAUUUUGUUCAUCAAAUAAUGAAACUAUGAUUGAACUUCCUUACAAAGUGAAACUCAAUGUUAAGAACAUUGACUACAAACACCAAACCAUUGAACUAUUUGACCCACAAAGUUGUCUUUACAAACAUAUCCACAACCUCAAUCUUUCAGAAUCUCAUUUCAACUACGUGAAAUAUGACUAUGAAGAUUUUGUCGACCAUCACUUUUUCAAUUGUUCGCUUUUGAAUAGAGAUGACAUAAAUUCUUAUUUGGUUCCGUGUUUAAGUACAUCAACCUCUCAAAUAUACGUUAUCCUCUCUUCUGAAUCAAUCGACUACCUCCCUCUUUCUUUUUGCACCAAAAUGUUUAAUGUUUCAUUAAUCAGCAUUUCUCGUUCUGUUCCAAACCAAAAGUUUCUUCGUUUGAUGUGGUCUGAGCCUAAUUGCAAACAUUGUGAAUCAAAAGGAAACAGAUGUGGCUGGAAGAAUACUACUAGUACUACCAACAAGGAAGUAGAUUGCUUCGCCAAAAACCACAAAGGUAAUUUUUACCUAGCUAACUGUUUGUACUCAGAAUUGUUAUUUCGCUUCUUCAGUCUCCUGAAUCUUGCAUAUAUUAUGCAUUGUCCCUACAAAUUGAGGUAAACUCACGAGGACAAUUAUUAUUCAUCCUCUAUUAUGUGGUUAACAUAUUUAAGAAACUAUAGUUAAGAGCGCUUCUAAUAUGGACCUAUAAUUUUUUAGCAAAAUAUCACACGUUUAAUUUCCACCCACUUUUUCUCUUACAAAAUUCACUAUUUUACUAAAUUUGAUAGAGAUUCAUAUUUGGAUUCUUCUUUUGGACUCUAUUGAAAACAGCCAUAUUCUUAUAUUAUUUUUUACAUUUUCAAUUUUUUUAGCUAACUAGGAAGAUGGAUGAAGAAAUGUCUAAACAUAGUUCACCUGAUUAAAACAAACAUAAAAUAUUUGUUGACUAAUAGAUUAUCUAACCAUGGUUAACUUAGUCAUGACUUAGAAUUUUCAAUUCUUGUAAAUAUAUAAUCAAUCUUUAAUUGCAUUUAAAAUUAUUUCAGAACAUUAACAAAUAUAAACUGAGUUUUGCAAGUUUGAUUUUUAUAGGUUCAUCAACGACGCUAGUCAACACAGGUCAGCUAUACAUUCUGUAUUUUCUUUAUUUUAAUUAUAGCAUGUAAGAAAAUCAUUUUUUUUUUAAAUUGUUUUUCAUAAAUGCAGGGUCAAUUUUAGGAUCAAUGUUUUUUAUCUUGCUCACCGCUGCAGUCUAUCAUAUUUACGACUCUUACAUUCUGAAAGGCAAUCAAAAUAAUCAAAUUCAACUAUAAUAUAAAAUCAUAUUCAAUUUCAUAAUACGAGAAUAAUCAACUUUAAAUAAAGUAUAGAAAUCCAACUUUAGUGAAAAUAAUCAAAUAGGUGAAUCGAGAACUACCUCCAUCUCGUUGAUAGUCUUCUCCUCCUAAUGAUGGCCUUUCCAUAGGGGCGGCUCAAUCUAUCGGAUAGCUCUUUUCUCUCGACUCAAAACAAAGUGUAAAACAUUUUCAAUUAGGGAGUUUACAUCUCAUCGAUAGCCCUCUCCUCCUAAUGGUGGCCUUUCCAUAGGGGCGGCUCCACCUAACGGAGUAACUCUACCUAACUGAUAUCACAUACUAGGUGCACUUAGGUCGUCGUCAUUAUACCCGUAAUUUUCAACCGGCUUGUGAGGUGAGGAUUGCCUUCACUUAUAAACACAUGUUCAUGCCACAUUUUUAUUAGAAUUUUAAUAAAUUCAGUUAGUUAGAGAGUUUAUCAUUUGAGUUAGUUAAAAGUCGAGAAAAACAAGGGUUAACUUGUCGGUUAAGUAAACUUAAGAUAACUAGUUUGUAAUAGUUUUUUUUACAGUUUUUGUAUAUAAAUACCUAUGCCUAGUUGCUGAUUAAUAAUAUGAGAAGCAUUAUAUUCUCAAGUCAAUAAAGUUUGUUUUAAAUUUUUCUGUUUCUCUCUAAUCUUCUAAAACCCUGCACUUAUAAGUUUCUUCACUUUCUCUCAAUUUGUUCUAUCAAUUUUGUCUGAUGUGGGACUCUUUAACAUUAAGUAUCUUUUACAAUCAAUCAAUGACAUAAACUAAGUUUGGCUAGUAUGAUUUUGUAGGUUCAUCAACGGCUCUAGUCAACACAGGUCAGCUUUUGAGUUUAAAUUUGCUUUAUUUUAAUUCUAACCUGUGCCAAAAUUACCAUUUUUCUUAAAUUAGUUUUCAUAAAUCCAGGAUCAAUUCUAGGAUCGCUGUUUUUUGUCUUGUUAACCGGUGCAGUCUACCACGUUUAUGACUCUUACAUACUGAACAAAGCAAAACAAGCAAUUAUAGAAAAGUUUUUAGAAGAUUAUAGAGCUCUUAAACCCACGAGAUACUCUUAUGUAGAAAUUAAGAGAAUCACAAAUAACUUUAGUGACAAGUUAGGACAAGGUGCCUAUGGAACUGUAUAUAGAGGAAGCAUUUCAAAAGAAAUCAUUGUUGCUGUGAAGAUACUAAAUUUUUCUCAAGGAAACGGGCAAGAUUUCCUCAAUGAAGUUGGUACAAUUGGUAGAACCCAUCAUGUUAAUAUUGUUAGAUUGGUCGGUUUCUGUGCUGAUGGAUUUAAAAGAGCUCUUAUUUAUGAAUUUUUACCAAAUGGUUCCCUGCAGAAGUUCAUAAAUUCACCAGAAAACAAGAAAAACUUCCUUGGUUGGAAAAAGUUGCAUGAAAUUGCUUUAGGUAUAGCUAAAGGAGUUGAGUAUCUUCAUCAAGGUUGUGAUCAACGCAUCCUUCAUUUUGAUAUCAAACCACAAAAUGUGUUACUUGACCAUAACUUCAUUCCAAAAAUAUCUGACUUUGGUCUAGCUAAAUUAUGUUCAAGGGACCAAAGCGUAGUUUCAAUGACCGCAGCUAGAGGAACAUUGGGGUACAUUGCUCCAGAAGUUUUUUCAAGGAACUUUGGAAAUGUGUCUUACAAAUCAGAUGUUUAUAGUUAUGGAAUGAUGUUGCUUGAAACAAUAGGAGGGAAGAAAAUCACAGAGGAUUUAGAGGAAAACAGUAGUCAUGUUUACUAUCCGGAAUGGAUUUAUAAACUUAUAGAUGAUGAAGAGGAAAUGAGAAUUCAUGUUGACGAUGAAGGGGAUGAAAAAGUUGCAAGGAAAAUGGCCAUUGUGGGACUAUGGUGCAUUCAGUGGCAUGCUAUGGAUCGACCAACAAUGCAAAUGGUGGUUCAGAUGUUGGAGGGAGAUGUAGACAAAACUCCAAUACCUCCCAAUCCAUUUGCUUCUCAAUCUAGACAACCUAGGAGAAAUGGUGGAGUUGCAAUUACUAGACAACUCACUCAAGAGUUAGAUGUAAUUCAAGAGUUGGAAUGACUUACAAUUGUAAAAUAUGUGCCUAUUUCUGAUUUAUAAGUAUAGCCUUUGAACCAUAAUCAGCCUGCUUUCACUCGCUCCCACACAUAAAUCUCUACGUAUUGUGUAUAACCGGACCUUAUAUAAAAAAUAUUUGAACAACAAUGCAUAUGUUGUUUGUAUGGGUUUCCUGUAGUCGCUGGUCAUCACUAAAACAGUUGAGUACCAAUGCAAAUGAAUAACAAAUGUACUCAUCUAUUAGAAACAGAAACACUGAAUGAAUCAUGCUACUAAUGACUAUCCAGAAACACUGGUCAUUAUGCCUUUUGAGCGCUGCAAAUGGUGCUUCGGAAGAACUUGAAUGCAUUAGCUGAGCAAUCUAGCCAAAUUUAUUUUCCUUUUUGGAUUUAUGAUCAGUUACAUGAUGGAAGUGAAGUAACAAUUGAGAAUGACACAGAUGAAGAAAUGAAAUUGGCAAAGAAAAUGAUGAUUGUGGCAUUAUGGUGUAUUCAGACAAAACCUAGUGAUCGUCCUUCAAUGGAUAAAGUGAUUGAGAUGCUUGAAGAAGAAGAUGGGGAUUUGCAAAUGCCUAAUAAGCCUUACCUUUAUCCACAAGAUAUACCAGCAGACGAUGUUAGAGAUGAUAGUACUAGCGUUUCUUGGUCUUCCUCUGGUGCAUCAAGAAUUGAUUCCAUGGAACAAGCCUAAUAAUCCCUCCCAAUUUGCAUCGAACUUCUUGGUUCAUGGCAUUUCUAACCAAUCAAAAUUACACUAUGAGUAUCGAUAGCAAUGUAAGACAAAAUAAAACAGAUGCAAUCAGACUGAUAUAAUAUUGAUUACUUGUUAGUGUUUUCUCUAUUUAUUUUUCAUUAUCUGCAAGUUAAACUGUUGUUAAAUGUAUUUUACAUACUUAUAAAUGUCCUCCUUUAUUUUUUGGUGAAAAAAGGGUCUAAAGACCCUAACAACUGGAAACCACAAGGAAAGACAACAGCUGAAGAUUCAGCAAAAACAACGUUCAAAAUGAAAUAGGAACAAAGUCAAAUACAAAAACAUUACUCUAGUCAAAGUAACAUACAAAAAUAAAAGUAACCGAACAUGUUACCAUUUACACUAUUAUUUACAACAUCACCUUUAGCUUUGAAAUCAAGGUCUGUUGAGGAACACUCAUCCGAAAGAAAUCUUCUUGCCACCUGUCUGAAUCAGACUCAAUAUAUGGAAAGUUUUAAAGCCUCUUCUCCAUGCCAGUCUAGUGCAAAUAAGAAUGUAGAUCGUGGCUUAACACAUUUCUUUAUUUUAGAAGUUACUUUAAAUAAUGAUGGUUUUACUUUCAAUCUUUUGGUCUGAUAAUUCUGUUGAAAAUGCUCAAAAGGUUAUUGAAACAAAAUAUUAAGGGACCAAGAAUGUCACCAAAGCUGUUGCAACAUUUAAGGUAUAAAGUUAUAGUAUUCUAUGUCACUCAUGCACUCUUCAGAAUUAAUUUUGGCUUAUCUAAAAUGAAUACAUUUCCAACUACUAAUUGUGAAUGCAAUUUGUAGCGCUCCUCUAUAAAAAGAAGACUAUUCUUCUUCUUUUAGCUCUAUGCAAGUAGGAUUUUAUCUUCAUCAGCAACUUGAUACAAGCAGUUUUAUGGGGGUGUCUCGCUGUACCGAGUCUCUGAUGUGAAGGAGAUGAAGCAGGCUGAUUCUAGUUCAAGAGCGAUUUCUAAAUCUUCUAGUGAUUGUUGUCUCAUUUGUUAGAUAAUAAGAUUGGGCUUAUGUUAUUGGACAUUUAUGUUUCUAAGAAGGGCCGACUAAGGCCAAGUGCAAGCAGCCCUAUUGCACAGGGCAUCCAAAUUUUGGGGGUCAAAAAUAUAAUAAAAAAAUUAAAUAAAAAAUAUUUAAGGAUCAUUGUUUUUGACAUUUAGUUUCACUUUGUGAGGGAGUUCAUCAUAGUUUCAUUAUUUGAUGAACAAAAUAACUCAAAGCCAGGGUAGCCACACAAAGAUGGAUUUGGAUUGUGGUUUUUGAUAUGGAAAAGAAAUUUGAUAACUUGAUUUCCACAUGUUAAAUCUUCUUGACAGUUAAUUACCGUGGCUAUUGUUGUUCCAACAACAAAGUAAACCAUCAACAACAACAAUCCCAUAACAUAAUAGCAAGUGUUCAUUAUCUUGAUUCUUAUGAAAUAGUAAUAUGAUUGUAUGAAUAUUUCAAACUCAUUUUGACUUCAGCUCCCUAAUAAUUUCUACUGUAACAUAAGAGCUUAGUCAAUUCACAAGUUUCUUUGACUACACAAGUCUUCUAGCUAGCUUCCGAGACACUGCAUUUAAGUCUUUACACAUGUUUCUUUUGUAAGGAAAAAAAAAAAUUCUUGACUAUGACGAUAUGGUGGUCCACUUUGAAUUAGUAGUACAUGAAAAAAGAAUAUCAUCUGGAAUUUCAAAUGUUACUUAACGACUUUUUUUCGACAAUAGUCUUACGUCAACUUUAAGAAGUGACGUUCACGGUACUAAUAUUCUCAGGAACACUUUCGACCCAAGGCAAACCCUUGAUAAAAGUCUUACAUCGACUUUAAGAAGUAACAUGACUCUUGUUGUUCAUCACCAUACACUUUGUUGCUCAUCAGUAACACUGUUGCCACUAUAACAAAGGACGUUAAGGAAAGCAUUUUUAAAUUUUUUAUCAUAACAAGUAGAAAUUAAUACUCACAAUUUAAAUGCAUGUGAUCCGGCGUGUAAUAAAAUUAAAAAUAUAUGACAUUUUACAUCACGGCAGUAUCGUGGAAGCUGCUAGCAUUUGGCAAGGUCGAAGACUUUUAUAGUCUUCGGAUGAAUUUUAAUAGAUGUUGAUAUGAGUAGAUAGAUCAAUUAUUUGUUCUCGUAGGUGUUACGUCCUAGCACCACAUAUAGCUUAUCAAAAACAAAAAUAACUGGCACCACAUAUAUAGUGAGAGACUCGCGUGUUGCCUGGGCGUAGAAAAAGUUUUUCCUUAUAUCAAAUUUGAUAAAGUUAAUAGUGUAAGGUUUCUAAACAAAAUAAAUUAUACAAAAAUCUAACCUAUGAAAGUGAUAAUAUUAUUUUCAAGCACAUAAAGAGGUUAGUCAUGAAAAGCAAAUGUAUUGGACAAUCAUCCACCUAAACUCUUGCUUGCAGCUCAAAUUUCAGCAUUAGUUAGUAAACUUGCACAUAUGUUAAUAUGAUAUGAUGAUGAUUAAGUAUCCAAAUUAAUGGAUUGAUCAGUUUAUAUUAAAAAAAAUAAAAGUCAUUUCAGAUAGAAAUCAUGCAAAUAAUAGUGUUAUUAGUCUCUCGAUCAAACAAACUAACAAUAACCGUUGUGAAUUCGAACAAACAAUCACACCAAUAAAACUUACAUAUGUAGAGUAAAGAAAGUAGUAAUCAAUGAAUAAAGUAGCCUCAAGGUACAACAAAUAGUCCUAAAAUUAAGUGUGAAGCAACACCACAUGCAGAUUCAUAGCAACGAAGAUAAAAAAAAAAAGUGGAGAAAAUUAAACAACACACCAAUAUUGUUUACCCAGUUCGGUUUAGAAUGACCUACUCUUGGUGAAAGCAACUCUUUGAUCCACUAAUAAGAGUGAUACAAAUAUGUUACAAGAAAUUAACUUAAAAGAUAACAAAUAACAAACCCUAAUUUCUACCCAUUUUUCAAGUCACCCUCACUCACGUUGAAUCCUAAAAGAAAAACACUAAAGGAAGCUUUUUUUUAUCAUUCCUCUAAUGACAUUUCACUAUCCAAGGUGUUUAAAAAUGUUUCCCAACCUAAGAAAUUAAGAAACUCUCACCACAUACACUCAGCCUUAAAGUUCCCUCAUUUGGUUUCAUAAGUUUCUCUCUUCAAGCUUUCCCAAAGCAUGAAGAAUGAAGUCUUAUAUAAUGCUCAUAUCCCCCGAGAGAAUUGUUCCACGUUAGGCACCCAUCGUGCCAUGAUUGUGUUGGAACAAAAUGUGUUUCACAAUGAACCUUAUUAAGUUUUGAUGAUAACAAGGUAUUAAAAAUUGUCAAUUGGUUAUUACUAAUAAUUGUUCAAGUGUACAGGACCAAAGGCUACUCAAGUUAUUUCAAUAGGUCUUGGAAGAACAAUGGAAAGAAAAAGAAAUUCUGAGCAUCUGAAGAAAACUGCUCCUGAAGCUGAAGUGCUUCUGAAGAGAUGACGUCAUUAGAAGCAGAAGGUCAUCAGAAGCAAAAGUUUUCAUCAGAAGCAAUAUCUUCACCAGAAGCUAUGUUUGAUCCUUUAAUCAAACUAAAGAUUCAAAGUAGCUGAUUCUCAAUUCAGUCUUAUCAAAGAAGAACGAAGAAUUGAAAGGGAGGUAUCAACGGAUAUAUGGAUAGCACUGAGCACUUGUCUCUCAUUAAUAGAGUUGACAAAGUACAAGUGUACAACCACUACCUCCACUACUCUGUUUUCUGUCUACGCUACAAGACAAAACAACAGCCAUGCCUGCAGAAUUUGUACACUCAAGAUGGGAAUGAAUUUGAAGUUUAUUCUUCAAAGGACUACACCCAAAUCAGGCAAAGGAUCACUGGUGGAUAAUCAAAGGAUUUCAAACGACUCUUUAGAAGUGCUGAUUAUCUCAACGUCUCUUUCACGCCUCUAUAUAAAGGAGUGAAGACUUGAAGAUUGCAGAUAGAGAUACAUAAGUUCAAAAGCGCCAAAACUCUGUCAAUUUGAUUCUACAAAGCACACUGAAUUUCUGCACUGAUUUGAUACAUCUUAGAAAUUCAAAGUCUAGAGUCUUUUCUGCAUUGUAUUGUGAACACCACUGAUUGUAUAUCAAGUGUUCAAUUCAAACUCAAUUCUCUGUAUUUUUGUUUGAUUAGAAGUCUCUUGCCUGCGUGCUUGAGCAUUAGAAGUCUCUUGCUUAGUGCUUGAGCAUUGGAAGACUCUUGCGUGUGUGCUUGAGCAUUUUUGUGAAGUCUCAUACUUAGAAAGUAUUGAGCAGUUGUAAUCUUUGUGAUUAUAGUGAAAUCUCCUUGGAAGUGCAAGGGGGACCGGACUACUUCCGUGUUGUGGAAGGAACCAGGAUAACUGCUUGUGUCUUUGUCUUUCUUUUCUCUGCUCUGUUCUUUUCCGCUGCAAUCUGACUCUGAUCAUUUCAUCAGAAGCAAUCAAACUGCUUCUGAAGUUUUAUCAGAAGAAGUAUUUUUUAAGAGAAAAAGAAAACACAAUUCAACCCCCCCCCCCCCCCUUCUUGUGUUUUUCACCUUCAGAUUGCAGUUAGUACACUAGUACAAUACUGCAUUAUAUUUGUUAAUCGUUCCACGAUGCCUUUCCAUUAUGACAUGGUAUUUCCAGUGUCAACCUCCCAAAAAAUGAACCAAAAUCGUGUUACGAUCCCAUGCUCACGUGCCACGGUUUUCAAAAACUUCAACAUCCAAUUUUGAGCAAAUUUGAACAAUUUACAACACCGUCUUUAGGUUGAAAAACAAGGAUACCAGCCACAAGUUGUGCACUAGGGUUUGUAAAGGAACACUUACCCGAAAGAAAUUUAUCGACACAUGUGAAUCAGACACAAUGAGUAAAAUGUAGAUUGUGGUUUAACACAUUUCUUUAUUUUAAAAGUUACCCUAAACAAUGCUGGUGUUAAUUUCAAUCUUUUGAUCUUAUAAUUUUAUUAAGGGACCAAUAAUGUUAUUGAAGUUGUUCCUUCAUUUAAGGUAUAAAGUUAUAGUAUUCUAUGUCAUUCAUGCACUCGAAAGAAUUAAUUUCGGCUAUCUAAAAUGAAUACAUUUCCAACUACUGAGUGUGAAUGCAAUUUAUGGUUAAGUUUUCUUUUGAUCUUAUUCAUUAGUGUAAAAUUGUUGUCAAAAUUUAAGCUAAAAUAAUUAUAGAAUCUCCAUAUAAACAGAGGAGUCCACUUAGUUCAAAAAUCACACCAAAUAAUUUUAUUGAGUUGUCGAGAACUUUUUAUCUCUUCUCCAUAAGAGAUAAUUUUAAAUAUAUUCUAUUUUUUAUUUACUAUUGCUAAAUAUACGUUAUUUAUUCCUUAAAAAAAAAUAUACGUUAUUUAUAAUUUUAAAUUAUAUUUAAUUAUGACAUGUUAACCCCAGUUCCACCCUAGUGGAACCUUCAAACCUUGAACUCAUAGUUUUACAGGUUUAAUGUCCGUUGGGAUUACCUUACACAAAACCAAAGUUUCAAUUUGUUCACCAACAUAAACAAACAUCUAUCAGAAUAAUCAAGGAAAGACUUUGAAAAAGUCUUCCAUCUUGUUAAAUGCUAUCUUCAACGGUAAUGCCUUGAACUAAUUUGAUUUUUUCUACUUCUCAGAAAACCAAAAAAUGUCAUUCUUUGCAACAUUGAACCUUGUGGUGGUGGUGCUGCUGCUUAUACUUCCAUACAACAACGUGCAUGGAGAUGAACAACAAGAGUCAUGCUCUAAAAGGUGUGGUGUCCAUAACAUAAGCCACCCUUUCCGAUUGAAAGACAGUCCCGAAAACUGUGGUGACAAUAGGUACAUCUUAUCAUGUGAGGACAACGACCAAUUGAUUUUGUACUAUGGUUCAUUUGGAAAAUACUAUGUACAAUCGAUUAAUUACAACAACUUUACCAUACGAUUAUUGGAUUUCAAUAAUCUUGGUCACUCUAAUUAUUCCCUCCAACCUCAUCCACUAGGCUUGUAUAAUUUCACUUCAACGACCAUCAAUCCAAGAGUCUUGCCAUAUACAGUGUUUGAUGAUUACAAUAUAGAUUUGUUCAACUCUAUGUUAUAUGUGACAUGUCCUAAACAUGUCCAAUAUUCUUCAGGUAUUUACUUUGAUGCUGCUUGUAUGAACAUUAGUAAUUCUUAUGAGCAGCAGAAAGGGAACUAUAUUGUGUUUGGGGACAGAUCUCUUUUGGAAUUUGGUCUAGGAGAUGGAUGUCGUAUAGAGUUGAUGUUUCUUACAUCUUGGCCUUUUGAACAUGGUGGCAACAACAUUUUUUGCACGGAUAUUCGUCGUAUGAUGUUUUAUGGAUUUGAACUUUCAUGGCUCAAUAGCCUUUGUAAACAUGGUUGGUAUUCAGAAAUCCUCGAUUACAAUAACCAACGUCGUGGUUGUGCACGUUUAGGUAAUUUUCUCCAAACGACUUCCUCAACAGGCUGAUUCUAGUUCAAGAGCGAUUUUUAAAUCUUCUAGUGAUUGUUGUCUAAUUUGUUAGAUAAUAAGAUUGGGCUUAUGUUAUUGGACAUUUAUGUUUCUAAGAAGGGCCGACUAAGGCCAAGUACAAGCAGCCCUGCUGCACAGGGCCUCCAAAUAUUUAGGGUCCAAAAUAUAAUAAAAAAAGAAAAAAGAAAUAUUUAAGGAUCCAAAUAUUAUUUAAAUUUAAAAUUUUAAGUUUAAUUAUAUCAAUAAAUCUUAAAUUUUGAGCAUUAAGUCUAAAUUUCUGCAUAUACCAAUUUUUAGGGGUCCAAAUUUAUGCAUAUAUAGUCAACAAAUUCAUCAUAGUCAUGUUUCAAGUAGUUGAAAUGAGAUUCUGAAAGAUUGAGGUUGUUGAUAUGUUUGCAAAGACAACUUUGUGGAUCGGAUAGUUGAAUAGUUUGGUGUUUGUAGUCAAUGUUCUUAACAUUGAGUUUCACUUUGUAAGGAAGUUCAAUCAUAGUUUCAUUAUUUGAUGAACAAAAUAACUCAAAGCCAGGAUAGCCAUAUACAAAGAUGGAUUUGGAUUGUGAUUUUUGAUAUGAAAAGGGAAUUUGAUAACUUGAUUUCCACAUGUUAAAUCUUCUUGACAAUUAAUUACCGUGGCUGUUGUUGUUCCAACAACAAAGUAAACCAUCAACAACAACAAUCCCAAAACAUAAUAGCAAGUGUUCAUUAUCUUGAUUCUUAUGAAAUAGUAAUAUGAUUGUAUGAAUAUUUCAAACUCAUUUUGACUUCAGCUCCCUAAUAAUUUCUACUGUAACAUAAGAGCUUAGUCAAUUCACAUGUUUCUUUGACUACACAAGUCUUCUAGCUAGCUUCCGAGACACUGCAUUUAAGUCUUUACACAUGUUUCUUUUGUAAGGAAAAAAAAAAAUUCUUGACUAUGACGAUAUGGUGGUCCACUUUGAAUUAGUAGUACAUGAAAAAAAUAAUAUCGUCCGGAAUUUCAAAUGUUACUUAACGACUUUUUUUCGACUAGUCUUACGUCGACUUUAAGAAGUGACGUUCCUGGUACUAAUAUUCUCAGGAACACUUUCGACCCAAGGCAAACCCUUGAUAAAAGUCUUACAUCGACUUUAAGAAGUGACGUUCACGGUACACGACGCUUGACCACCAUUAUCAGGAAGAAUUUCGACCCAAGGAGUCUGGCAAACCCUUGUAGAACCAUCAACUCUGAUACUAAUAUUGGGCCCUUGAGGGGAGUUUAAGAGAUGAUCCACAUUGGAUCAAGAGCAAUCACACAAGAGAGUUGCACACCACAUUUUGACUAAAAACCUUAAACAUCUCAAACAAACGUCUUUUCAUCCACAAAUACGUAUACCACUAUUACCACAUUAUUUACAUGACAUGUUGCUUCAAACAAGGGUUGGCCCAAUGUUAUUAAAAGUAAGCGAGGCCUAGAGCAGUGUUGAAUAUACGAGGCCUUUUUUGUUCAAAUAUGAUGCCUUUUUAUUUGUAAAAUUUAAUGAAAACUAUUUUUUUGUGGGCCUAAUGGGAGGGCUUUAGUGGCCUAUCCUUGGGUCGGUCCUGCUUCAAACUAUUGGCCAGAUAUUUUCUCGUGAUGUAUAUGAACGCUCUUGAGUUUAUUGGUCAUAUCACUUAUAUAUUGCUCAACUCACUUUAUUGUUUUGAUAUUUAGUCACACAAACUAUUAUGUUCAAAUUGCUAGGUACUAUAGUAACGUAAUAAUAUUACGCAACUGAACUAAAGAUGAUACACUUUAAUGUUUUCUCUCUGUCUAUUUCUCUCUGUAUAUUUCUAUAACAUAAUUCUUCGUGUUCUAUUUUAUUCUCUACACUGCAUAUAUAUUCAUGUGUUUUAUAAAAAAUCACAAUAGUAAACAUUGGAAAUGUCUAUGACACAAGAGCUUACGUCAAAACUCCCAGCAACAUCUAUCAGAUUGACCUGAACACUUUAAAAUUUGAUGAAAAAGUCUUGGAGCUUGCAUCAAAAGUUUGGAAUCUUGGACUUUUAAAUUCAAUCAUGUUACUCCUAUAAACAAACAUCAAUCAGAAUAGUCUACUAAAGACUUCAAAAAGUCUUCCAUCUUGUUAAAUGCUAUCUUCCACGAUAAUGCCUUUAACUAAUUUGAUGUAAAAGUAUGAGUUUUUGCCACUUCUCAGAAAAUAAAAAAAUGUCAUUCUUUGCAACAUUGAAUCUUCUGGUGGUGUUGGUGAUGUUGCUUAUACUUCCAUACAACAACGUGCAUGGAGAUGAACAACAAGAUUCAUGCUCUACAAGGUGCGGUGACCAUAACAUAAGCCACCCUUUCCGAUUGAAAGACAGUCCCGAAAACUGUGGUGACAAAAGGUACAUCUUAUCAUGUGAGGACAACAACCAAUUGAUUUUGUACUAUGGUUCAUUUGGAAAAUACUAUGUACAAUCAAUUAAUUACAAUAACUUCACUAUACGUCUAUUGGAUUUCAAUAGUCAUGGUUACUCUAAUUAUUCCCUCCCACCUCAUCCACUAGGCUUCUAUAGUUUCGAUUCAAGGACCAUCAAUCCAAUAGCCUUGCCAUAUAGAGUGUUUGGGGAUCACUAUAUAGAUUUGUUCAAGUCUAUGUUAUAUGUGACAUGUCCCAAACAUGUCCAAUAUUCUUCAGGUAUUUACUUUGAUGCUGCUUGUAUGAACAUUAGUAAUUCUUAUGAACAGCAGAAAGGGAACUAUAUUGUGUUUGGGGACAAAUCUCUUUUGGAAUUGGCUCUGGGAGAUGAGUGUCGUAUAGAGUUGAUGUUUCUUACAUCUUGGGAUUUUAAGCAUGGUGGAAACAACAACAUUUCUUGUACGGAUAUUCAUCGUAUGAUGUUUUAUGGAUUUGAACUUUCAUGGCUCAAUAGUCUUUGUAAACAUGGUUGGUAUUCAGACAUCCUCGAUUACAAUAACCAACGUCGUGCACCUUCAGGUAAUUUUCUCCAAACGACUUCCUCAAAGUUUUUUUCUUCUUCUCUGUCUGUGAUUGUAGAUUAGACGAUGAGGCAGGGAGUAGAGGGAUAAUUGUUGACCAUUUAUACCAUGUUUAAAAGAAAAUGUAUGUAAGUUAUGAUGUCAUGUCAUUGUUGAUUAUUUAUACCAUCUCCAAAAUUGAUGUACUAUUUUUAUGAGGAUGGUCAACAUAGACCUUUGAUCAUCUAUUUUUUUAUUUACAGGAUUUCGAUUAUAUAAUCCGAAAUAGCACAAUUAAACUUCAUAUUAUAUAAUCUUAACCGGGGCAAUUUGAGAAUUUUUUAGGGCCCUUGAGAAGUUAGGAGGAUUGAAAAAUCUCUUUUAACAACUCUGUACUUAUUUUCAAAAUCAUAAUUGGUGUUUGCAUACAGUUCAAUAGUGCAAAAAACAGUAUCCAUACUAGACGAACUGGUAGUUUUGUGUUAAUCAUAUUACGUUUAUGUUAUUGCAGAAACUUGGAGUUUACAGGCUCUGGUAACCGUAUCUAUCUUGAUGUACAUAGGUAAGCUCUCGCAUUCCCUUAAUUAAGUAAGAGAUCUUUAGUUAGAAUGCAUGAGUAUUAUGCAUGAUCACUCCUUUCUUCUAAAUAAAUACUCCUCUCGGUAUUAAUUAUACGGCCAUUGACCCAAUGGGUUAGGAUUCUCAAUGCUAAAUGCAAACUCAAUAUAGUUUUGAUUGAGAAAGAAUAGAUCCAUUAUGAUCUCAUGCAAACAAUUCAAAAUAAUAAAAUAUUGAAGCUAUCUCAAUUUAAUAUUGAAAAUUGAGUAAACGAGAUCAGUGCAGUUCUUUUAAUUUAAAUAAGGAAGUUCCUAAAAUUUGUUUACAGGUAUAUUGCUUGGUUUUCUUUCCGGUGUUAAAUUUGUUCUUGGAGUACCUAUUGUAUUAUUAAUCUACAAAUGGCGACAAAAACAUUUAUCUGUGUAUGAUGGCAUCGAAGAUUUUCUACGCAGUGAUAAUAGCAUCAUGCCUAUAAGGUACUCUUACAAAGACAUAAAAAAGAUAACAGAACAAUUCAAGAUAAAACUAGGCAACGGAGGUUAUGGAACUGUUUUUAAAGGAAAACUUCGAAGUGAUCGUCUUGUAGCGGUCAAAUUAUUGGACAAAGCCAAGACCAACGGUCAAGAUUUUGUCAAUGAAGUUACUACCAUUGGUAGGAUUCACCAUGUCAAUGUGGUACAACUCAUUGGAUUUUGUGUGGAGGGUUCAAAACGUGCUCUUAUAUAUGAAUUCAUGCCAAAUGGAUCACUGGAAAAAUACAUAUUUUCUCUUAUUGAAGAGAGUAACUCUUUGAGUUGUAAAAAAUUGUAUGCCAUUUCUCUUGGUGUAGCUCGAGGUAUUGCAUACUUGCAUAAUGGAUGCAAUAUGAAAAUUCUACACUUUGAUAUAAAGCCUCAUAACAUCCUUCUUGAUGAAAAUUUCAAUCCAAAAGUUUCUGAUUUUGGAUUAGCUAGGGUUUCUCCUACAGACAAAAGCAUUGUGUCCUUAACUGCAGCAAGAGGAACCAUUGGAUACAUGGCCCCUGAACUAUUCUACAGAAAUGUCGGCACAAUAUCUCACAAAGCUGAUGUCUAUAGCUUUGGGAUGUUGUUGAUGGAGAUGGCAAGUAGAAGGAAGAACUUGAAUCCAUUGGCUGAGCAAUCUUGCCAAAUUUAUUUCCCUUUUUGGAUUUAUGGUCAGUUACAUGAUGGAAGUGAAGUAACAAUUGAGAAUGACACAGAUGAAGAAAUGAAAUUGGCAAAGAAAAUGAUGAUUGUGGCUUUAUGGUGUAUACAGACAAAACCAGGUGAUCGUCCUUCAAUGGAUAAAGUGAUUGAGAUGCUUGAAGAAGAAGAUGGGGAUUUGCAAAUGCCUAAUAAGCCUUACCUUUAUCCACAAGAUCUACCAGCUGAGGAUUUUAGAGAUGGUAAUACUAGAAGUUCUUGGUCUUCCUCUGAUACAUCAAUAAAUGAUUUCAUGGAACCAACCUGAUCUCGUGUUGGUUCUCGGAUGAGUUGCACAAAAAUUGAAGCAUAUUCACUGCCAACCAACUCUUUCAGAAGUAUUUCCCAACUUAUGCAAUUAAUUUUAAAUCUGUAUUGGUAUCACCAUGAUAGUCUUGCAAUAUGUAUUGGUCUCACCAUGUUGAGACAUCCAUUGUCACCACCAACGGUUUGUAGGUCAUUGAGCAGACACCAUAUAAGCAUCGAAAUUGUAUGCGUUAAUGGUUAUAGGCCUCUAAGUACAUGUGUGAAUACACGAUGAGGACGUUAGUGGUUGAUAUACAAAAUAAAAAACAUAAUAUCUAGCUUGAUCCAAUAAGCCUUUACAGAAAACUCGGUUUUUCUUUGUUGAUCCAAUGUGUUAGUGGUCUUUAUAAUCAUCAUUUUACCACACUUCAUUGUACUAAUUUGUUACAGUAUUUUACAUGUAUUCUUGCAAAUAUAUAUUAAGGUUUAUCUUCCACCUUCCACACUUUAUUUCUUUCUUGAAUUAAAGAGUGUUUUUUAAUAUUUAAAAGUAAAAAAAAAAAAAAAAAAUGCUCCUGAAAAAUGGAACUGUGUUUAGAGGGAGGAGAAAUACUAGGAACACUCUCUUAAUAUAUUAAAAUAAAUUUUAUAUUUUAACUUUAUUUUAACACGGAUCAUGAUAUCAUGGAGAAAAACGUUUCUGAAUUCGGUUUUGGCAGUUUUGUUUACAAUGCAAAUAUUGUUAUUAUUUACUACUUUGUUUAUAUCAAAGCUCAACUAAUGUAUUCCUCAAUUUCAUGGGGAAUAGAUUUUACAAAGAACACCUCUAAGGGAAAUAAAUAAUGGCCCCUCCAAGGGAAAUGUUUCCUAACUUGCAUACUAAGGAGAAUUGAGCAUCUAAGGAGGAACUUGCCCCUGCAAUUGCAUCAUAUGAGAAAGAUGCCACUUCCUCCUCGAGUUGAUUUGUUCAAGUUAAUCUGUCAUGGUGUUCUUGUUCAGACAAGUGGUGAAGCUGCUUGUGGAUGUGUCCUUUGCGAUCAUCAUGGAACAAUUUUAUUUGCUUUUGCAUCUUGAUUAGGUCGUUGUUAAUUUGAUAACACAAGCUAGGCUCUGGGAUAUUUUUCUUGACACUAAGUUGGUAAGGAGGCUUUAGACAAAUCCAAAUUGAGUCUGAUUCACUGGUGGGAAUAAGAUAUCUUUCGGAUGAGUGUUCCUCUACAGACCCUUGUGCACAACUUGUCGUUGGGAUCCUUGAUUUCCAAGCUAAAGGCAGUGUCUAUCGGUGGUCUCUUGUUUUACAGAAAGCUAAUCAGGUUGCUGACCGUAUGGCAAAGUUUGAUCUCUCUCUAGAUGACAAGAGUAAAGUUUUUGAUUUUGUUCCUACUUUCAUUUUGAACGUUGUUUUCGCUGAUUAUUUGGUUGUUGUCUUUCCUUGUAGUUUCUAGUGUUUAGGCUGAGAGCAACCUUGUUUGCGACUAAACACAAUAAUAUGGCUUUUUGUAAAUACUUUUUUUUUUGGAAAUCCAAAAACAACACAUAUAUAAGUUAGUGCCCCUACAUCUCCCCCUCUGACUCUGAGGAUUAAUAUUGGGAUAUAUAUUAAAAUUAAAGAAGCUAAUCAUACUCAAUAAACAUUAACCAUUAUCAGAAGCUAACUUCUGUACAGACCAAAAAGAGAAAAAAGCUAACUAUAUAUAGCACAUUUAAUUCCACAAGUCUAAAGAAAAAUAAGUUUUCAACGCAUCCUUAAAACAUAACAAGAUAUCACAAAAGCAAAUAGAGAAAAUAAUCCUUAAUCCAUAUCUAACUCUUUGUUGGUUUUAUCCAUGAAUAUGUGUUGGUACGUAUUAGUAAUAUUUAUAUAUUUAGAACAAAAAAGUUAGAUGCAAAUUUUUGUGACUCAUGUUAACCAAAACCAGAUCAAAUUGGUUCCUUGGAAUCAGUUACUAAUGUACCAGAGGAAUACAAUGAACUACCAGUUCUAUCAUCUCGUACGUCUUGUGCAUCAAGGUCAGGCUGAUUAGGCAUUUGCAAAUCUUCAUCUUCUUCUUCAAGCAUCUCCAACACUUUAUCCAUUGGAGGACGAUCACUAGGUUUCGCUUGAAUACACCACAAAGCCACUAUCAUCAUUUUCUUUGCCAAUUUCAUCUCAUGAUUUGUAGCAUUCUCAAUUGUUAUUUCUCUUCCAUCUUGUAACUGAUCAUAAACCCAAAAAGGGAAAUAAACCUGGCUAGAUUGACCAGCCAAUACAUCCAAGUUCUUCCUUCUAUUUGCCAUCUCCAUUAACAACAUCCCAAAACUAUAAACAUCAGCUUUGUAAGAUAUCGUGCCGACAUUUCGGUAGAAUAGUUCAGGGGCCAUGUAUCCAAUGGUUCCUCUUGCUGCAGUUAAUGACACAAUGCUUUUAUCUGUAGGACAAAGUCUAGCAAGUCCAAAAUCAGAAACUUUUGGAUUGAAAUUUUCAUCAAGAAGGAUGUUAUGAGGCUUUAUGUCAAAGUGUAGAAUUUUCAUAUUGCAUCCAUUGUGCAAGUACUCAAUGCCACGAGCCACUCCAAGUGAAAUUGAAUACAAUUGUUCGCAACUCAAGGAAUAAUUCUCUUCGGUAUGAGAAAAUAUGUAUUUUUCUAGUGAUCCAUUUGGCAUAAAUUCAUAUAUCAGAACACGUUUUGAACCUUCCACACAGAAACCAAUGAGUUGUACCACAUUAACAUGGUGAAUCCUACCAAUGGUAGCAACUUCAUUGACAAAAUCUCGAUCGUUGGACUUGGCACUGUCCAAUAAUUUGACUGCUACAAGACGACCACUUCGAAGUUGUCCUUUGAAAACAGAUCCAUAACCUCCAUUGCCUAGUUUUGUCAUGAAAUUUCCGGUUAUCUUUUUUAUCUCUUUGUAAGAGUACCUUAUAGGGAUGAUGCUAUUAUCACUACUUAGAAAAUCUUCGACGCCAUCAUACAUAGAUUGAUGUUUCUUUCGCCAUUUUUUGAUUAAUAAUACAAUGAUAAAUGGCAAUCCAAGAACAAAUUUAACACCGCUAAGCAAACCAACCAAUACACCUGUAAGGAAAUGGAAUUGAAAUAAAGAAAAUGAAAUUAUAAUUAACUUCCAUAUAUAAGUUUGUUUUUUUAAAAACAUAACAAAGUGAAAACCGAAAAAUUUGAUGUGAUGUAUUUCAAUCAAAGUUAUACUCAACUUUUUUAAAAAGAACAGAAUAUGGGUAACCUGAACGAAUAUUUGUAUUUGACGUGGGGAUGUCGGCAAAAACAAGGGCCUUCAAUCUAAAAAUAUUUCUUGUACUACAAAUUUGUUUUCUGAACUUUGUGUUACAUUGACUUAAGAGAAUGCGAGGGCUUGCUUACCUAAGCCGAAUGAUAAACGUGCAACUAUCCAAGCCGCGUUAUUCCAGUAAUCUGCAAGAGCAAACAUAAAGCAUAGUGACAUAUUGAGUGUUAUUUAGUAGCACUCACUCUAACAAAUGGAUGUGGAAGAUCCACGCGAUUGUAAAUAAUAGAAAAAUUAAGCAUCGAAAUUGAAAAAAAUAGAGUAUAUAAAUCGCACAACUGCAUAUAUAUACCAACCAUAUUUACAGUGAGGCUGGUUAUAUUGAUCGAGCACUGCAUACCGACCAUGUUUACACCGACUGUUGAGCCAAGAAAGUUCAAAUCCAUAAUACAUCCUACGACGAAUGUCUGUACAAGAAAUGUUGUUGAUGUUGCCAUCAUCUUCAACAUCCCAAGUGAGAUACAUAAACUCUAUAUGACACCCGUCUCCCAACCCAAAUUCCAACAGAGAUUUACCAUAGCCACCAACAUAGAAAGAAUUCACAUCCUGUGAAUAUGAAGUUCUAUUCAUACAAUUACCAAUGUAUGAAUAUUCCAUCCGAUUCGGACAGCUCACAUAUAACAUAGAUUUCGUCAACAUAUGAUUAGUGUAGUUUUUGUAUCGAUGAUAGGCUAGGUAGGGUGAGGUGAAGAAAUUAGAACUGAAAUUAUAAAGCCCUAAAGAAUAAUAAGAAGGGAUGGAAUUAUUAGAAGAAGCAAGAUUGAAAUCCAAUAGUCGUAUGGUGAAGUUGUUGUAAUUAAUUGAUUGUACAUAGUAUUUUCCAUGGUAUUCUUCAAAUUCAUAGUACAAAAUCAAUUGGUUAUUGUCCUCACAUGAUAGGAUGUACCUUUUGUCACCACACUUUUCAGGACUGUCUUUCAAUCGGAAAGGGUGGCUGAUGCUAUGAACACCGCACCUUCUUGAACAUGACUCUUGAUGUUCAACAUCACCAUCUACAUUGUACGAGAAUAUCAGUAUUAGUAACACCACAACAAGGGUUAAGGAUGGCAUUUUUGGUUUUCCGAUUAUAGCAAGUGAAAAAAACUAGCACAUUAAAUACGUGCGAAUUAAGCAUCCAUCCAUAUAAAUAAAAAAGUAUAUGUCACAUUUUACAUGACGCUUAAUUAUCGCAGUAUAGUGGAAGCUAGCUAGCAUUUGAUAGUGACUUUACAGAAGUUAGGCUCCACCACAUAAGAAGUGCUCAAUUAUGAAGAUGGCAAGACGCGAUGAGAAAUUUAGGCACACGUUAGUUUUGACGUAAGCUCUUAUGUCAUAGGAAGAAUGAAUCAUUGAGGAAUUUUAUUUUGUUAAAAACUUUAGAUAGGUGAUACACACCCUCAAUUAUGGAAUUACGGACUUUAUCAAUUCAAAUUGUGUAGGGUUCUUUGUUGGAUCAUUAAUCCAACGUUGACAUUAUAUAUGAAUAACUAUGUAUUGUUGAUUGUCACUUAAGCUCAGUUAAGUUUAGCUGAAGUGGGCAACCCUAAACUCUAAUAGGGUGUGAGUUUUUAAUGCGUAGAGACUAAAGUGCAUAUCUAUUUUUAUGAUAAGUUUUAAUAGAAAUAUCAAUAGUCAAUCAUAAUUUGAGUUAUAUACUAAAUAGGUGUGGCCCAAGUCACAAAGGUAACAUAGUUCCUUCCAUGAGUCAACGGACUCUCUAGGAACAUUCACACAUAUAUAGAUAAAAAUUGCAUACUUAUAAUAAUAAUGCUUGGUGACAACAAUAUGAUAUGUAAUUCAAACGAGAACCAAAAGAGAUCAGUUUGGUCCCUUGGAACCACUAACUGAUGUACCAUCGGAAGUCCAUGAGUUGCUACUGUAAACAUCCGCUAUUGGUGAAUCUUGUGGACAAAAGUAAGGCUUAUUAGGAAUCUGCAAGUCUCCAUCUUCUUCUUCAAGCAUCUCCAAAACUUUAUCCAUUGAAGGACGAUCAUCAGGUUUUGUCUGUAUACACCAUAACGCCACAAUCAUCAUUUUCUUUGCUAGCUUCAUUUCCUGAUCUGUGUCGUUCUCAAUUGUUACUUCACUUCCAUCAUGAAAUUUAUCAUAAAUCCAAAAAGGAAAAUAAAUUUGGCUGGAUUGCUCAGCCAAUGCAUUCAAGUUCUUCCUUCUACUUGCCAUCUCCAUCAACAACAUCCCAAAACUAUAUACAUCAGCUUUGUAAGAUAUUGUGCCAACAUUUCUGUAGAAUAGUUCAGGGGCCAUAUAUCCAAUGGUUCCUCUUGCUGCAGUUAAUGACACAAUGCUUUUAUCUGUAGGACAAAGUCUAGCUAGUCCAAAAUCAGAAACUUUUGGAUUGAAAUUUUCAUCAAGAAGAAUGUUAUGAGGCUUUAUAUCAAAGUGUAGAAUUUUCAUAUUGCAUCCAUGAUGCAAGUACUCAAUGCCACGAGCCACUCCAAGAGAAAUUGAAUACAAUUGUUCGCAACUUAAGGAAUAAUUCUCUUUUGUAUGAGAAAAUAUGUAUUUUUCAAGUGAUCCAUUUGGCAUGAAUUCAUAUAUAAGAACACGUUUUGAACCUUCCACACAAAAACCAAUGAGCUGCACCACAUUAACAUGGUGAAUCCUACCAAUGGUAGCAACUUCAUUGACAAAAUCUUGAUCACUGGACUUGGCUUUGUCCAAUAAUUUGACUGCUACAAGACGACCACUUCGAAGUUGUCCUUUGAAAACAGAUCCAUACCCUCCAUUGCCUAGUUUUGUCUUGAAUUGUUCGGUUAUCUUUUUUAUAUCUCUGUAAGAGUACCUUAUAGGGAUGAUGCUAUUGUCACUACUAAGAAAAUCUUCGACGCCGUCAUACAUAGAUAGAUGCUUCCGUCGCCAUUUGUAGAUUAAUAAUACAAUCAUACAUAGUGCUCCAAGAACAAAUUUAAAAAGGCUGAACAAAACAAUCAACUCACCUAUAAAGAAAUGGAAAUUAGAUAAAGAAAUGAAGUUACAAUAAACUUCAUUAUUCAACAAAAUUGUCUUUAUUGCUUUUCAAAAAGACACAAAUUGUCUGUUUAGAACAUAACGAAGUGAAAAUUGAAAAGACAAAUGUUUUUCAUACACAAGUUUGACAUCAAAAAUACAUACAUAAAUGAACUGUUCACCCUAUUUAUAUAGAAGUGAUAUAUGUACAACCAUUUGUGAUAACUUUCAUUUUUUCUCUUCUCAUUUGUCCAAAACAAUAGAGAGAGAGAGAGAGAGAAUAAGAAUAUAAUGUGUGGUGUUGUCAAUUUAGAGGUCCUUGAGAAUUUAGGGCCUAACUCAUACGUCAAGGGGGCUUAAAAUACAUAAAGAUAAGAAUUUUGCUCUUCCCCAGCAAGUUUCGCUCCCACCCAGCUGAAUUGUCGAAAAUACCCAUGCCGCCAUGCGUGAGUUAAGUCGCACACCACUGGCCUGGGCGUGAGUUAACUCACGCACGUUGGCCGGUGGUAUGAGCUCAUGAACAAACGUUUUUUGGACGGUGGUCAAGUUUUCAACUUUCAAUCCACACGUUCUUUUACAACCUUUACACGUUUUUUUUUACCACAUUUAUGGUGGUUAUAACCUACACUACCAUUCCCACCUAUAAAUACCCUUUCAUACUUCCCUAUUUCCUCACACCAUAUCACUUUCUCUCCCUUCUCACUCUCUCCCUCUAUUUCUCUUCUUUCGUUUUUUUCCAAUAGUCUCUUUGGGGGCAAAAGUGAUCAGACUUUUUCAGAGAAAAAUAGUGAAUUGCCGACUUGGGCAAGUGAUCCAUUGGGAUAAAAUUAAAUUCUCUUCUUUUUACCCCAAAAACUUUCUACAUUGGAUAAAAAGAAUCUUCUUGGGGUAUAAAAAAAACCAGAUUUAAAUUUAGUCCAAGGGUUGAUGAUGUAUUUUCCCCAAGAAGGUUGCUCACUAUUUUGCCCCAAGAAGGCUGGUCACAUUUUACCCCAAGAGGGUAAAAAGAAAAUAAGUAGAUUAUUUAGUGAAUUCGAAUAAAUGUAUCAAUGUAUCAAUUAUUGUGUGAAGUUGAUUAAUAAAAUGAGAUGUUGUUAUAUGUAUUAAUUUUGUUCAUUUUUUUAUUUAUAUUUGCUUUUAUUUUCUAAUUUUGUAUUUAAUGAAUAAAUCUGAAUAAAUAUUUAUUAAUUUCAUUUCUUUUUAUUUAUAUUUGUAUUUAUUUAAUAAAUAAAUUCGAAUAAAUAUUUAUUUUAAAUGCAUAAAUAAAUUAGAAUAAAGUAAAUAAAUAAACCUGGCAGGAAUAAAAUGUUCUCAUGGACCAAAACUCAAGUGAUUAAUAUUUGCAGUUUAAAAUUGGAAGGAUUAGCAAAUACAGGGAUCAAAAUUGAAACGACCCCAUUUGCAAGGACUAACUAUAUAAAUAAGCUUAUAUUUUUUGCAUAUUUUACCAUCACCAUAUUUAGAAAAAAAAUAUGGACGAAGUCUGAAAAUAACCAUGUAAAGAGUUGAAAUACUUUGGCAAAAAAAUGGUUAAAAUAUGAUGAAUUCAAAAUUAAAUACACAAGCUUGGGUGAAAUCUAUGUUUUUUGUUACAAGGAUUAUUGUCAAAACCUCGCCCAAAUUUACGGGGUUUGUUUGAGAUACCAACCCUUUAAAUUACAAAUGUUAAAUACUUUGAUCUCUUAAAUAUGUUUUUUAAUGAGAACUUAUUUUUUAAAACUUCUUAACAUGUGCAAAUUUACAUACGAUAGAAAAACUUUUUUUUUUUAAAUAAAAAAAGUACAAUCCACCUUUACGCUAGUGUUAGCUGGUAAUUUCAUCAGCCUCAUUUAAUGUGGUCAACAUUAGCUUACUUUUACUCUUGCAGGAAUCGAAGUCUUUUCUUCAACUUAAGGAGUUUCGACGAGAUGUUGGACUUAGCAUGAAAGGAUGUAAAAGCCUUAAGGUUCGAUAAGACACGAGUCAGGAAUGCAAAGUCGUCGAAGUCAAGCAACUUCCAUUGAGGCAAGAAGAUUCGAAUUUCAAAGAGAAACGGUUUCCUCAAUGGAGAACGUGGGAGACAAGUGGUUGUCUACAUGGAAGAAGUGCUGAUCGUGGGAUUGUACUUUUUCCAGUUAUUUUUCUAUGUAUAUAUAGGAGUUUUCCAUAGGUAAAAUGGGUUGCAAAUCACCUAUACAAAAUUUUAAAACACUCGAAAUACCAGCUUGAGAGAAAAGAGUCAUAAAGAAUAUAUGUAAAGGAUUUGUCGAGCCACCUUUAUUUUUAAUGCAUUGUACUUUAUUUUUCCUUUAAGUUUCAGGAAUUUUAAACUUAAUGCCUUUACUUUGCUUUUAAAAACCCUUUUUCUAUUGAAAGAUAUCAUACGGUCUCGUCCUGUUCGUAAAACAACCUAUGAACUCGAUGAACGCUUGAAAAAUAAAUGCACAUGUACUAGGAUUUCUAAAUUGAUCCUGCUUGUAAUAACAAAAAAAAACCCUCGUAGUUUGCCAAACACAUCGGUAAACAACUAAUACUAAAAAAAUAACUCACAUUUUGUCCUCGUGAGUUUAGCUCAGUUGGUAGAGACAGUGCAUAAUAUAUGCAAGAUUCGGGAUUCAAACCCUUACCACAAAAAAAAAAAAAACUAAUAAAAUAACACUCUUACUAGUUUUUUUUUAAGGAACUCUCAUACCGGUUAAAAGAUUCGGUUUAAAAUUCUAUUACUGAAAAAAAUAAUUUCUUAAACUUUGAUUUGAAUCUCUCACCUCUAAGGUGCAUUUGUUUCAAGUUAUAUAUGUAGAUUCCUGGGAAUAAAAUGAUAGAAAUAUACAUGUCUAUGUUUGUUACAAGUUUAAUAAAUUAUAUUCACGGAUAUAAAAUGUUUCUGGGAAUAGAAAAAAAUUUCAAAAGAAAAGGGUGGAAAUAAAGUUCUCAUGAAGAUGAGAAUAAAUUCAUAUGUAACUACAUAUUUUUAUGGUUUCUAAGAAUAUUAAAAGGUUAACCAACAUCUUUUAUUGAAGAGCACUGCUAUGUAGUGGGAAGAUAUUUUUCGUGAAAAAUAUGUGUGAAACGGUGGUAGGAUAUAAGUUUUGGAAUUGGUGAAAUAAAAGAGGUAGUUGUGGUUAUAGAUUUGGUCAAAGUAGUGAAAAAGGAAUCUGGUGAACUUAUUGUUUAUUCCUAAAAAUAAAUUUGAUAAAUUUAAAACAAACACAUCCUAUGCAUUAAAUUGGGUUAAGAGUUAAGAGAAUGUGAGAGCUUACCUAUGUAAAUCAAGGUAACUUUGCCCCUCGCAACCCAUAAUUUCCGUUCUGUCAAAAAGAGAAAAAAGAACAUAAUUUAUGGGAUAUUGCAAGAACAUACACAUAACAUAACAUGGUUAACUUAACAAUAUAUAUAUAUAUGAGCUGCUAAUUUACAUCCACUUAAAAACACCAAGGUACAAGUUAACAAACUACAUCAAAUAGUUAUUUACCAAAAACCCCAUUUGCCAUUAUUUAAACCAAUUAUAAUUAGAAGGGUAAUUUUGUAAGUUACUUGUUCUUUACCAUGUUUCUUUUUUGUUCCGUGUUUCCUUUUUUAUGUUUCUGUUUUUUGGUAUUUCGUUUUUUCGUAAGUUAAAAUAAGUUUAGUAAUUAUGCUACUAGGUUAAGAUGAUAUUUUUCUACGUCGCCGUGAGUUUAGCUCAGUUGAUAAAGACAAUGUAUAUAUAAUAUAUACAAAUUCCAGGGUUAAAAAAUGGCUUACUAAGAAAAAGUCCAUUUUUUGUUUCAUUUAACAAAAAAAAUCCAGCAAGUUUAAUAUGAAUUUAUUAUGUAUAAUCACCAAAAAAAAAUGAAUUUAUUAUGUAUAAGUAAAUGAUAAUUGAAUGGCGUACUAUAAAAAAAAAGUUAAUUUUAAUGGUUUUCUCCAACAAAUCUAAAUUUCUAACUACGUUACUCGAAAAGAAAAAAGAAAAAAAAAACUUUGUUUAACAUGUCUGAUGUCGUACAUUGACUUUUCAAGAAUGUGUAGGCCUACCUAGGUAAUACGUCUUGAUAGGUCCAACUCUUACGGCCUCAAAAUACCGGUCAUCACCUGCAAGAACAUAACACAAAACAUGGUAAACAAACAUACACUAUGGUCUGGCUAAUGAGUUUUAUGGGACACUCUUUAAAAAUUAAAAAAAAAAAUUAUUUUAUAUAAAAAUUAAAUAUUUUAAUUUUCAAUCUAUUUAUUACAGAUAUUUUUAUAAAAAUUUACUAUUUAAAGAUCUUAAGAGUGCCUCCAGAGUGUCUAGGGCACUCGUUAACCUUUCCCAACUAAUUAUCAAUAUUCAUCUGUAUGCAUAGACUCAUAGUUAGAUUCAUUGACACAUGUCCAAUUUAACAUACAACUAAAGUACAUUAGAUGUCUUUUAAGUUACUCUAGUGGCGGAGCACCACUUGGGCCAAGGUGGGUCAUGGCCCACCCCCCAAUUUUUUAUUUAUUUUUAUUUUUAUUUGUUUAAGUAUAAAUAUACCACUAAAUUUAAAUACAAACAUUAAGCUGAUUCACUCAAUUAUUUUCACCUACAUGUGUAUGCUCUGUGAUUUGUUUACUUUAAGAACAAAUAUACUUUUGGAUCUCAUCAAAUGAUUGAUAUUUCAUUUAUUUGAGAAGUGUAUAAUACGUUAAUUUUGAGACAUUAAUUCUAAAUAUAACAUGACAAUUUAUACUGGAAGAGAAGUUAUUGUAUGUAGUAGUUUUGAUUCAAUUUUAUAUGAUUUCAAGUAUUUUGGAAUCCAUAGAUAAUUAUUUUAAAUUUUUAAUAUAUGUUGUUUAAUUUUUUGAUUUUCAACUUUAUGUUUAAUGCACACUACAACAUAAAAUUUGUUUUAUAUAUAAUAUUUCAUUUCGGUGGCCCACCGGAAAUUUUUUUUAGCUCCAUCACUGAGUUCCUCCCUCGGGUCAUAUUUAUAAGCAAAAAAACAACUUUUAGGUUUAUUAAAUAACAAAGGUAUCUGGUCUAUAUAAUGAUCAUAUACAUUAGUUAUUCAAUAAACCUAAAAAGUUGAUUUUUGUUUAUAAAUGUGAUCGGGGGAGUAAUUAAUUAUAAUAAAGUUGUCUUUAAGUUUUUUUCGUACCACUUACGUCUUUAAGUUAUUUAAUUGCAACAAAUUAGUCUUUUAGGUAUUUUUUGUAAUAUUAUAUUUUUAAGUUAUUUAGUUGUAAGGUUUAGGCCCUAAUUUAACUUACAUUUUUAAGAUUUUAAAUCUCUCAAAUUGUUACGGUUAAAUAGUUUAAAGGACCUAAUUGGAACGAAAAACAACUUAAAGAUCAACUUGUUACAAUUAAAUAACUUAAAACACCUAAGUGAUAUGCAAAAAAAAUAAGAAGAUUAAUUUAUUAUAAUUAAAUAACUUAAAGGACAUAUAGUGUAAUUUAACCUUAACUUACUUAUAUCUAUGAUAAUUUUGUGCAGAAUACAAAUUUUAUAAAUUUAAUGGUUGGAUCAUAUUGUAUUAUCUUGAUAUAUAAUCAUACAUUUAAACAUUUAUAUAAUUUGAAUAUCUCUUGUUAUGUCAUUUAGUAGUUCACAUUUGUUCAUAUUUUAUUGAAUAUCUCUUGUUAUGUCAUUUACUAAUACACAUUUAUUUAUAUUUUAAAUAUUAUAUCUAUUAUAAUUUAUUAAAUCAGAUCUAAACUAUUUUGCUGGCAUCUCAUCAAUUUUUUGUCAAGUAAUACUAUUUGUGCAAAGUCAUUCAUUUUUCCUAUGUGACACUUUUUAUAUUGCACUCUUAUUCCUAUUUCCUACCACUUCACAAUCCCCUACCAAACUUUUAGGCUUUUUCUGGGAGUUUGGAGGGGAGGGGAGGGAAGGAUUUUGGAAAAAAGGAAGGAGCAAGUGGAAGAAAUAUAUGACAUUGAGAGAAAAGGGCUUUGGAGGUUAAUAUUUUACUCAUAAUAAAAAUUCCCUCUCAUUUUGGGGAACUCAAAAAUUGUAUUAGGGGAGGGUUUUGGGGUUAUGAAGGGUUUAUAUGAAUUUUUCAAAUUCAAUUUAUAUAUGUUGUUAUAAUAUUCUUAAAAUUAAAAGUAUAUUAAUCAUAAGUAUUAGUUUAUCAUUCUCUAAAAAACUGUUCUUUCAAAAAAUGUGAAUUUUUUGUCUAUUUUUCUAUAUAUUUCCAACCCCCCAAAACCCUCCCCUCCUUUCCCCUACGAAUUCCCAAACAAAUCCUUCAUAACUUGUUAUACAUUACAAUAAAGUAAUCAGAUUGAGUGUCAAAUGAUAUUAGCUUUUUUAUGAAAUUUUAUAGGUUCAUGUUAAUUUGGGCACAUGUUAAGGAACCUAAAAUGAGCAACUUUGCAUUGGAAAACAUGAUAAUUUAACUUUUAAGAAGUUGACUGCACGACUUUUAAUACGUAUAUUUCUAUAAUAAGUUCCUUAACAUGUGCCCUUGAGAGCACAAGUUAACAUUUGCCAAUUUUAUAUAUUUGAUUUACUUAGUAAAACUAUUAAAUGUGUAAUUAUGUUAGAUUUUAUAUAUUGUAUCAAAGAAUCUUAACUCAUUUAUUGAGUAAAGUUAAUAUGAGUCUCACCAUUUUAUAUGGAACGUAUUUUUAAUGAAGGGACAUAUAUAAAUUUCACCUAAUAUGAUAAUGAGUAUUAGAAAAAUAGUAUUAUAGAAAAAUGGAUCGUCAACCUCAAAAAUCUAUAAUGUCGUAUCUACUGCAAUAAGCCACUCUCAACUCAAUCCAUGUACCUUUCCUAAAAGGCUUAAUUGCACUUUUGGACCCCUAUCUUUCCAAAAGUUGCGGUUAUGGACCCCUAACUAAUUUAAAUACAAAACAGCCCCCUAUGUUUUGAUUCUUUGGCAGUUUUGGCCCCCCAAGGCAAAAUAAAAAUAAAAAAUUUGACACGUGGCACCUCACUUAGGUUGCCACGUCAGCGUUGACCGAGUCAACACUGGACUAGGGGUUCAAAACUGCCAAAGAAUCAAAACAUAGGGAGCUGUUUUGUAUUUAAAUUAGUUAGGGGUCCAUAACCGCAACUUUUGAAAAGAUAGGGGUCCAAAAGUGCAAUUAAGCCUUCCUAAAUCUCAUUAACCAUUGCCACCGUCUUACCAAAAGGAAAGCUUGUCUUUCAUCUACCGAAAAGCAAUAGAUCUAUUCUCACUCGCAUAUUUUACUCGGAGAAAAAUCCAACAACGAUUGAUUAUUAUUGGGAAAAAUUCAAGUCCCACAUCAGAUAACUAAGACUCUUGAGAAGAGUUUAUAAAGAGGAGACAAUCUUCCCCUCACAAAUCGAUUUUGUAAGGAUGAGUUAGACCUCAAAUUUCAACAUAACAUAUUCACGCACCGAACUAGACAUAUAACUCAAUUUAUAUUCAACUCAAUUUUAACCAAAAUCAAUUUAGUCAUCAUUAAUUUCAUAGUUUGUCUAAAUAUUGAGUGAAGUUGUUUGUAGCAAAUUACCUGGACGACGACAAUGAAGGUGGUUAUUUUGAUCAAACUCUGCAUGCCAAUCAUCUUUACAAAGACUAUUGAGCCAAGAGACUUCAAAUCCAUAAGACAUCAUACGGUUGAUGUCCGUGCAAGAAAUGUUAUUGUUGUUGCCAUCUUGAGGAGACCAAGAUGUGAGAAACAUAAGCUCUAUACGACAUCCAUCUCUCAACCCCAACUCCGAAAGAGUUUUGAAGUAGCCAUCAACAUAGAAAGAAUUCUCGUACCGUGAAUACAAACUACUAUUCCUACAGUUAUCUCUGUAUAUGUAACCAGCCUGGUUCGGACAGCUCACAUGCAACAUAAGUUUCGUCAAUCUAUUGCUCAACGAAUUGUUUUUUUCUAGAUAAGGUACGUAGAUAUUUGAGGUGAAAAAAGGACUGAAAUCACUAGGAGGGAUGGAGUUAUUAGAAAGAAUAUUGAAAUACGAUAGUUGGAUGGUAAAGUUGUUGUAAUUAAUUGAUUGUACAUAGUAUUUUCCAAAUGAACCAUGGUACAAAAUCAAUUGAUUGUUGUCCUCACAUGAUAGGUUGUACCUAUUGUCACCACAUUUUUUGGGACUGUCUUUCAAUCGGAAAGGGUGGCUGAUGUUAUGAACACCGCACCUUCUUGAACAUGACUCUUGUUGUUCAUCACCAUCUGCAAUAUUGUACGAGAAUAUCAGUAUUAGUAACACCACAACAAAGGUUAAGGAUUGCAUUUUUUGUUUUCCGAUAUAAUAACAAGUAUCCAUUCAUAUAGGGACGGUGUCAGGAAUUGAACUUAUAGAGGGACCGGCAUUAAAAGUGUAAUUUAGUAAAAAAUAAAUUAAUUUUCAAAUGCAUAACUUAUAUAAAAAACUAGUAAACUAUAUGUGAUAUAUUCGAAGCUAUUAUUAUCAAAUAAAUAUAAAAAGAACUAACAUUUUUUUCUUAUAAAUUAAUCUUCAUGUUUGUUUUAUAUUUUGCUUAGUUGAAAGACUUUUGUUAGACAUUUACCAAGGUCUUUUGAUAGGCAAACAACAUGAAUUUUAUUAAAGUCAUUGUACAAAUGGAUUAUCUCUUUGCCAUUAAAAUCAUUGAAGAUGGUGAGAGUGUUUUACUUAUUUUUCAUCAUUUGUUAUCUCAGGUUAAGGUGUUAUGUCAUAUGUUAUCUGAUUUUCGCUGUCAAUAUGUUUCUCAUUGAUUUAAUCAAAUGGCUGGCUUUGCCAAAUAUGAUCUUAGUCGGCUUGUUCCUUUAAAGAUUUUUAAUUAAGUUUCGGAUUUCCUACCUUUGCUCAUCUUGGAAUGAUAAAGCUAAUUGUAUAAUUCUUUUCCUAAAGGUUUUUAAUUUGAUUUGAACAUUUAGCUCCUUUUUUUUUUUUUUAAAUAAAGUAGUAGAAAACUAAGUGUUUAAAACUCAAUAUAUUUAGUAAAAAAGGCAAAGUAUAACAUAUCUUAUAAUGUUCACAGAAAAUAAUAUACAGACUAAAAAAAGUAAUAGCACACUACUAUAAAAAGAAAAAAAUUAAAAAUCUUAGGAAAACCAUGGUCUCUCCUUAUCAUCCUUCUAACUCCAUCUCUGCAUCCAUAUAAAUAAAAUAUAAAUAUGAGUUUUGUUAACGAAUAUUCUUGAAAACACAAUUUAAAAAUUUUUAAAUUAAACAAUUAUAUUUAUAAAAAUGAAAUAUUUUAAUUUUUAAUAUAUUGAAUACAUAAAUUUUUAAAAAUUUAUUAUUUAAAAUGUUUAAAGAAUGUUGUGGAACAAUGUUAACAUUUCUCAUAAAAACAUAUUGGUCACAUUUUACAUCACGAUUAAUUAUUGGAGUAUCAUGAUGGAAGCUAGCAUUUGACAGGAGUAGAUUAAUCAUUUAGUAACUUUAUAGGAGUUAAGCACCACCAUAUAUAGUGGAAUGUGACCAAACUAGUGUCUGUACAAUUUGGUUUUCACGUAAGCUCAUAUGUCAUAGGAAAAGGGAACCAUUGAUAAACUUUAUUUGUUAAAAACUUUAGAUAGGUGAUGAUAGUACACAUCUUAGGCCAUUUUCGAUAAUUUGGAGAUUCGGUUACAAACUUGACAAUAUUUAUUUAAAAAAAUUAAAAAAAAAUCCAAUACUAUUUAUGGUGACAGACGAUUAAAUUGUAGUUAAAUAUGUGAGUAAUGAUUCAAACAAGAUUUUUACCUACAGAUGAAUAGAUAUUUACUUAUGUAUAAUUGACAGUAAAAUUUAUGCCUUUUAGACCUUUACCUAUGAAAAAUUGAUAUUUAAUGACGGAUUUUGUGUAGAUACAAUUUUUUUUUUUUUUUUUCAAAUUUAGAAUCCCCCCUAAAGGUAAGGCCCUAUGCCAAGGGCCUUGUUGCACUUGGCCAGGACAAGCCCUGUACACACCCUCAAUUAUGAAAUUAUUUAGGGUUCUUUCAUAGAUCAUUAAUCCAAUGUCGACUUUAUAUAUGAAGGGAGCUGCUAUAUCGCACGAGGACUCAACACACGAAAAGCCGCACGACAUGUUCAAUAGCACCCUAUUUACUUUAUUAAUGGAUUUGUUUUUUAGUUUAUGGGAUGCUUUUGAAUGUAUAUAGUAUAUAUACAGUAAAAAAAACAAUGCUACCAAAGCAAUAAUAGCAUACAUGAUCCACGUUCCACAAGGGUGAUAAGACACAUACAAAAGUUGAUUUGGAGAACCAUCAUUGAAUGAGGUGUUUUUUUUGUGAUUUCUCAUGAGAAAGAUCCAGCAGAGGCAAGAUUUGUCAUUUUGUGCAAAAUAAAAAUUAGGAAAAAUAACCAAAUGACAUUUAUAAAGCCGUUCGUGCAAAUUUGACGACAAUGUUUGUCGUGCUUUUCAGCAUUUUCCAUAUAUGAAUAACCAUGUAUUGUAAACUAUCAUUUAAGUUAAGCUCUAAUAAAUUUAAACUAAAUUGAACUUAUGAGUAUUUAAUAUGGUGUGAGUCUUUAAUGUUUAGAGAUCGCAAGAGGUGUGUCUAGACCCUUAUCGGUAUACAUAAUAGAUACAUGACCAUUCCAAUAAAAUUGGAGGCUCGGCUCUAAUAUUAAAAAUGGCCUCUAAUAAAAAUAAUUAAUGAUAAUUUAAACAAUUGCAAAUUAACCAUAAACAUUAUUUUGAUUUUAACUUGUUUUGUUGAAAUUUUUGUUGUUGAUAAAUGUGUGGGUUUGGUCUAACUUGUCCAUUUACUCUUUAUUUUUACCAAAUAAUGAGUGUUUGAUUUAGACCUACAUAAUAAAAGAAGAUGUUAUCCUAUAUCCCAACAAUUAUACUCAUACCCCUAUAAAUAAUUGAGACCCCCAUAAAUUGGAGGCUCGGCUCCGUAGAGCUCCUUACGCAUGGCAAGGAACGACCCUGAAUAGAUAGACAGAUAUAUUGUUUUGAUGAAAAUAUCAAUAUUACUCAUAUUGCAUAUUUUUAGUUCAAAAAAUAUUUAAAAUAGUAUUCAAUUUUUUUCUAAAAGAUAGUGAGGGCCCUUGCCCACAUUAUUAAUAACAUAGGUUUGUCCAUGACAUUAAUGAUAGAGAAAUUCUUUUAUAGUCACAAACAUAAAUGCACAGUGUUUUAGUCACAAUUUUUUUUUAAGAAUGAAAAAGAAAUUGAUAAUAAAAUGAUUUAGUAUUUCAAAAAAUGACAUUUUUAGAUGUAUAUGACCAAACACUAUUUAUUAUUUGUGUCUAUGGAAGAAUGACUCUUAGGCUGUGUUUGGUUUUAUAGAAAGAUUGCAAGUGAGAAAGAAAGUGAGUUGAUGGAUUCACUUUCUAUAGUUUGGUACCACUUAAAAAGGAGAGGAAAGAAUCUUUCAGCUGGGACCCACAGCCAAAAGCUUUCCGCAGCAAUAAGAGCAGAAAGGUUGGGAAAAACAACUUUUGUUUGAAAAGUCUAAAACGCCGCUAGUUUUAUUGUUUUUGAUUUGUUAGCAUUCUUUGUUGUUUCUCUCUUUUAUAUUUCAAUUUACCGUUCCAUAUAUUUUUUCCUAUCCUAAUCAAAAUCGUGUACAAAUUGAACCCUGUCACACUUUCUUUUUCCACGACACGUAAUUAUAUAUAUAUAUAUAUAUAUAUAUCUAAAGGUGUGUGUGUAUAUAAGGGUAUUUAUGCCAAUUACAAAAAAUUGAUAUUUCUUUCAUUCUAAUUAACUAAUUAGAAUAAAAAAAUAGAUUAUCGACAACUUGAACCAAUAAUUAACUAAUUGACUAAAUGUGUGUUUGGUAUGGCGGUGGUGAAAAUUGAUUUUGAUAGAAUUGAGUUUGAGAGAAUUGAUUUUGGUUAAAAGUGAGUUUUAGGUGAAUUGAUUAUGUUUGGAUACAUUCAAUUAAAAGUAAUUUUUACGAGUUGAUAUUGUUUGGGUAGUUUGAAUCAAAAUUGAUUUUAAAUGGGUAAUGACCAACUUACCCUUUUAAUUGUAUUUUUUUAGAACAUCUUUUUUAAUUGUAUUUAAAACUAAAUAUCUCAUCUUUAUUUUAGAUAAUUAUUUCAACUUUUCAUAAAUGGAUUUUUAUUUCAUUUCAAAAUAAUAUUAAUUAAUAAGAGUUAUAACUAAUAAAUUCCCUAAUAAAACUAAUAUAUAAAUUUCAACUCUUUUGUUUGAAAUUAGGCUUUUUAAGAAAAAAUGAAUAAAAAGGAUUGAGCCUUUAUCCAUUCAUUACCUGUUCCUUUGUCUUCUCAAAUCAAAAGAAAAGCUUUACUCAUUGCAUAAACGAAACGACUCAAUAAAGCAUCGAGUAAAGCUUUGCUCACAAAUAAAAUCAAACAACUUUGAUUUAUUUUCUUUGUUUCAAGUUUAAUUUUUCAUGUUUUUCCCUUCUUCUCUCUAUUUCUCCUGCAAAUCUGAAAAAUUAUGACAGAUCUGCAGUCCUGGCGUUAUGGGUAUUUUGGUGAAGUAUAUGCCACUCAGCCAAAACCACAUUUUAUCUGCCGUAGAAGCUAGGAAUACCAGCUUCAGUGGAACCAGCGUUUUGAGCCUUAAACUGCGUUUCCUGAACUCAGUUUUCAUUCAUCCAAACAAGAAUUUUUUUGCAGAAACCGCAUUUGAAAAAGUAAAAGCACGUUUGGCUGGAAAAAACGUGUGGCCAAACACACACUAAAGCAAAAAGGAAAACGUUAAAAAGUGAUGUCGGUACUUUUAAAUAUAAAAGAAGUGUGUUGGAAAGUGAUGUACACUACUUUUUGAUGUUUGAAUAUUGUUAACAUACCCAACAAAUAAUUCCAUCUGAUCUUAUGAGAGGAAAUUAUUUGAAAGCUGUUAUAGUCACAGUGAUCUAUAGUUAAGAGUCUGAGACAGAUUACUAUUGCUCAAGAUUUAAGAAUCAAUAUCAUGAACACUUAUUCUCAUGUUAUGGGAUGGUUGUUGUUCGUGUUUUACCUUAAUAUGUUCGUGCAUGGAACAACAACAUGUCCAGAAGAUUUAACAUGUGGAAAUCAAGUUAUCAAGUUCCCUUUCCGAAUCAAAAACCGUCAAUCACCCAUGUGUGGCUAUUCAGGAUUUGAGUUAUUUUGUACAUCAAAUAAUGAAACUAUCAUUGAACUUCCACACAAAGUGAAACUCAAUGUCAAGAACAUUGACUACAAACACCAAACUAUUCAACUAUCCGAUCCACAAAGUUGUCUUUACAAACAUAUCCACAACCUUAAUCUUUCAGAAUCUCAUUUCAACUACUUGAAACAUGACUAUGAUGAUUUUGUCGACUAUCACUUUAUCAAUUGUUCACUUUUGAUUAGAGACGACAUAGAUUCUUAUUUGGUUCCAUGUCUAAGUACCUCAACCUCUCAGACAUAUGCUAUAUCUUCUUUUACCGUUAUUGACAGCUUUCCUCUUUCGCUUUGCACCAAAAUGUUUAACGUUUCAACAAAUGUUAUUGAUUUUCUAGACAAAAACUCUCUUCGUUUGAUGUGGUCUGAGCCUAGUUGUAAACAUUGUGAAUCAAAAGGAAAAAUAUGUGGUUGGAAGAAUACUGUUGGUAAUAGUACCAACAAGGAAGUAGAUUGUUUCCCCAAAAAGAAGAAAGGUAACUCUAUUCUUCGUUCAAUUCAAUAAUAUAUGCAAAGGAUUAUAUCUUUUUUCGAUAGAUUAAUCUAAUGAUCAAUAGUAUUAUAUCUUUUUUCGAUAAAUGAUAUUUAGGUCGAAAGAUUAAUCCUAUGACGAAGUUUAGUUGAGUAAUGCAAAGGAUUUGGAAUAAUUUUAAGAAUAGUCCAAAAUAUUAUUUUCUUCUACAUCUUGAAAAACUUAUCUAACCAGAUGAGGAUCGAUAAAGUGUGUUUGAAUGGAUGUUUAGAUUGCCAAAAUCACGGGUACCUUGGUUUUGUAAAGCUCUAAAAUGUAGUUUUUGCCAAAAUUAUAGUGACUCAUCAUGAUUAUGCUCUCACAACCAAUCAAAACAAGCAUAAAGACGAUCAUUAUAUUGUAAUUAGAAAGUACUCUCUCUGAUUCUAUUUAUAAAAGACCUUUGGAUCAACAAAAGAUGAUGUAUCAAAUUCAAAAAAAUUUGAUUAUGGAUGAACAAAAAGGACAGAAUAGGGUGUAUUUCAAGCAUCAAUUAAGACAAAUACUUGGGAUAUUAAUAUCCUUUACAAUCAAUCAAUGACAUAAGCUAAGGCUAGCUAGUAUGAUUUUGCAGGUUCAUCAAAGGCUCUAGUGAACACAGGUCAGCUUUUAAGUUCAAAUUUGCUUCGUUUUUAUUCUUAACCUGUAAGAUAAUUAUCAUUUUUCUUAAGUUAGCUUUCAUAAAUGCAGGAUCAAUUUUAGGAUCAUUGUUUUUUAUCUUGUUGAUUGGUGGAAUCUACCAUAUUUAUGACUCUUACAUACUAAAGAAAGAAAAACAAGCAAUUGUAGAAAAGUUUUUAGAAGACUAUAGAGUUCUUAAGCCCACCAGAUACUCUUAUGUAGAAAUCAAGAGAAUCACAAAUAAUUUCGGGGAUAUGUUAGGACAAGGAGCCUAUGGAACUGUUUAUAAAGGAAGCAUUUCAAAAGAAUUUAGUGUUGCUGUGAAGAUACUAAAUGUUUCUCAGGGAAAUGGCCAAGACUUCCUAAAUGAAGUUGGUACAAUGAGUAGAAUCCACCAUGUUAAUAUUGUCCGAUUGGUCGGUUUCUGUGCUGAUGGAUUUAAAAGAGCUCUUAUUUAUGAAUAUUUACCAAAUGGUUCUCUGCAAAAGUUCAUAAAUUCACCGGACAACAAGAAAAACUUCCUUGGCUGGAAAAAGUUGCACGAAAUUGCUUUAGGAAUAGCUAAAGGAAUUGAAUAUCUUCAUCAAGGUUGUGAUCAACGCAUCCUCCAUUUCGAUAUCAAGCCACAAAAUGUGUUACUUGACCAUAACUUUAUUCCAAAAAUAUCUGACUUUGGUCUAGCUAAAUUAUGUUCAAGGGAUCAGAGCAUAGUAUCAAUGACUGCAGCUAGAGGAACAUUGGGGUACAUUGCUCCAGAAGUUUUUUCAAGGAACUUCGGAAAUGUGUCUUACAAAUCAGAUGUUUACAGUUAUGGAAUGAUGUUGCUUGAAACAAUAGGAGGAAGGAAGAUCACAGAGGACUUAGAGGAAAACAGUAGUCAUGUUUACUAUCCGGAAUGGAUUUAUAAUCUUAUAGAUGAUGAAGAGGAAAUGAAAAUUCAUAUUGAUGAUGAAGGGGAUGAAAAAAUUGCAAGAAAAAUGGCCAUUGUGGGACUAUGGUGCAUUCAGUGGCAUGCUAUGGAUCGACCAUCAAUGCAAAUGGUGGUUCAGAUGUUGGAGGAAAAUAUAGACAAAACUCCAAUACCUCCCAAUCCUUUUGAUUCCCAAUCUAGACAACCUAGGAGGACUGAUGCAACUGCAACUACUAGACAAGUAACCCACAAUUUAGAUGUAAUUCAAGAGAUAGAUUGACUUACAAUUGUGAAAUAUAUUUUACUUUAUCUUUACUUUUUUUUUUGUUCUUUUUAUCAAUCAAAUUGACAUUAGAAUAGCACCAAAUUAAGUAAAUGCUAAAGUGGAGGAGCUUAUCAUAUAGAUCUUGGGGUUUUUUUACUCAUAGAUUUUAAGUUAAUUUUCUUGAUGUUGACAUUUUGUACUGCAAAGGUUUACCAUUUUAAUUUUUUUUAAACAGGUGAACAGCCACAGAUCACCAGCUUACACCUUCCAACUUCACAAUCCAAAAUAUACAAAUGGAACCAAAUUUUGUAACACCAUAUACUGUUCCAACAAUUCAUUAUAAUUAUAUCACAUAUCAAAACACUUAAAUUAUACUAUAGCUUCUCUCCAUGUGAAAAAAUCACCCUGCUUCCUCUCAUGCACACAUAUAUAAAAACUGGAACCAAACCUUAUAUAUAAAAAAUUAACCCUAGUAAAAUAUCAGUUGAGAUCAUUUUGUUGUUCUAGACAUUCUUGGUAAAGUAAUUACAUUCACUGGUAUCAUCAAUAAAACAAUAGAGUACCAAUGUAAAAGAAUAACAAAUGUGAGAGAAUCCUGCAAUUACACAGUUUUUACUCUGUUCUCAACUUGCAUCAUGUGAAAAAACGAUGCCACUUCCUUGAAAUCCACAAUAAAUAUUCAGACCUACGAGACCUCCAACAAAAUCUUGUUAACCUCCAAAUCUCAGGUUCUGUGCCUUCUCAUCAGAUGGAAAAGGAAAAAAUGAAAGAGUCGUGUCAGUAAAACACAAACUCCCAUAAAACUCUCUCAGUAGAUCAAGUCAUUCAUUAAGUGGAAUAUAUUGAUUAGAAAUAUAUCGCAUCAUAUUUUUCAAUUUUCACUUCGUUAUGUUCUAAACAAAAAAUAAUAAAUAAUCAAGUUUAUAAUAAUUUCAUUUUCCUGAGAAAAAAAUAAUUUCCUUUCUCUCAUUUCCAUUUCUUAAUAGCUAGGUUUGUUCAUUAUUUCCUUCAAAAAAGGUUUGUUCGUCAUUGUUAAUUUUUCUUGACGCAGUUAUAUUCGUUCUUGGUGCAUCAUUUAUUGGAUUUUUAAUUUACAAAACUCGACCAAAACAUUUAUCAAUGUACAACGGCAUCGAAAGUUUUCUACGCCGUGACAAUAGCAUCAUGCCAAUAAGGUACUUCUUCAAAGACAUAAAUAAGAUAACAAAACUAGGAAGUGGAGGUUAUGGGUCUGUUUUCAAAGGACAACUUCGAAAUGGCUGACUUGUAGCAGUAAAAUUAUUGGACAAAACCAAGUCCGACGGUCUAUCAAUGAAAUUGCUACCAUUGGUAGGAUUCACCAUCUUAAUGUGGUACAACUCAUUGGUUUUUAUGUGGAGGGUUCAAAACAUGCUCUUAUAUAUGAAUUUAUGCCAAAUGGAUUACUCGAAAAAUAUAUAUUUUCUCAUAUUGAAGAGAGUAAUUAUUUGGGUUGCGAAAAAUUGCAUGCUAUUUCUCUUGGAGUUGCUUGAGGCAUUGAGUACUUGCAUAAUGGAUGUAAUAUGAAAAUUCUACACUUUGAUAUAAAGCCUCAUAACAUCCUUCUUGAUGAGAAUUUUAAUCCAAAAGUUUCUGAUUUCGGACUAGCUAGACUUUGUCCUACAGGUAAUAGCAUUGUGUCAUUAACUGCAGCAAGAAGAACCAUUGGAUACAUGGCCCCUGAACUAUUCUAUAGAAAUGUUGGCACAAUAUCUUACAAAGCUGAUGUCUAUAGCUUUGGGAUGUUGUUAAUGGAGAUUGCGAAUAGAAGGAAGAAUUAGAAUGCAUUGGCUGAACAAUCUAGCCAAAUUUAUUUCCCUUUCUGGAUUUAUGAUCGAUUACAUGAUGGAAGGGAAGUAUAUCUAUUGAAAAUGACACAGAUCAGGAAAUGAAAUUGGCAAAGAAAAUGAUGACUGCGGCUUUGUGGUGUAUACAAACAAAACCAGAGGAUCGUCCUUCAAUGGAUAAAGUUUUGGAGAUGCUUGAAGAAGAAGAUGGAGACUUGCAAAUUCCUAAUAAGCCUUACUUUUGUCCGCAAGAUCCACUAGUAGAGGAUGUUGGAGUCGAUAAUAGUAGCAACUCAUGGACUUCCUAUGGUACAUCAGUUAGCGAUCCCAAGUGACCAAUCAGUUAGCUUUGUGGUUGUAUUACAUAUCAUAUUGUUGGUACCAAGCAUUAAUAUAAGUAUGCAGUUUUUAUCUAUGUGUUUGUGUGAUUAUCAAGGGAUGGUAACAUAUAUUAUGGUAUCAGAUCUAUGGGUAUCGUUGUUGUGACAUAUUAUUAUGUAUCAAGAAUGCAUCUGAUAUUUGGUGGAAAGUGAAAACUCAUUUGUUCAAAAAUAUAUGGUAUAACUAGACAUAGAAAAUCAAUAAGUAGAAUUUUGUCUUGAUCUACCAAUUCUCCAUUGAUCUUAAAGCUAGAUUGGACCUACACCCGUUUAUGGCAAAAAAAUGUGUUGGAUAACGCUUUUAAAGUGUUGUGUAUUCCAUCAAUGUUAAAGCAUAAGGCAUCAUUUUUUACAUUAGUUGAUAGAAUUCAAAGUUAGUUUUGGUUGUUAGUUGAAUAACUAACCGUUUGUUAGGUAACUUGAGUUGCAAGUUAUGAGUUGGUUUUAACUGUUUGUUAAUUCUCAUGUUGUAUAAUUAGUCUCUAUUUUCAAAGAACCUGUGUCAGUGCUUGCAAUAGUUGAGGCACAAGUCACUAUGCAUCAAGACUUACAGAAGAAAGAUGGGAAACCAGUGUUCUUGCAUCAUUGCAUAAAUGGUAACAUAUUUGAGAAGAUAAUGCAUUGUGAAAAUGCAAAAGAUAAGCUUGGUAUACAGUGGAGAAAGUGUAUGCUGGAGAUGACAAAUUGUAGAAGGUGAGAUUACAAGCAUUGAGGAGGCAGUAUGAACUUCUAGCAAUGACUGAUAAAGAAUCAGAGUCAAAACAUUGGUCGAUUGAUCAACUUGAUAAACCAAUUAUGAGAAGGAAUGGUGAGACUGUAACUAACUUGAUGAAGAUUGAAAAGGUGUUAAGAACACUAACAUCAAGUUUUGAUUAUACUCCCUUUGUCCCAAAUAAGUGAUUAUUUUCUUAACUACAAAUCACUGCUCUUUCCAUCCAAAAUUACAAGUCAUUUUGGGAAGAAAAAAAAAUCUCCCAAAUUAUAAGUCGUUUUACAAUACGUAUGAAAAAUUAAUGUUACUUUUCUUAUUAUACCCUUGACUAUUUAUUAUUCUCUCUUCUUUCAAUUUUUUAAUUUAUCUUUCACAUACCAUUUAUUAGAGACAAUUUUAUAAUACAACUCAUAAUAUUUUUUUCCCAUACAUAAUUAAUUAAACUUCUUAUACAUUUGAAAUGUAACGUCUUAUGAGUUUGCUUUAAAUAUAAGAAGUGUUCCUCACUCAAUUAGUAGAACUCUAAAUAUAAGAAGUGUUUCUCACUCAAAUAGCUGGGUAUGUUUGAGUUCUACUAGUAGAACUGUGUUCAUAAUUCACCAUCUUUUAUCAAUCAAAAUGAUUCCUUUUGAGCUUUUACCUCAUGAUUAUUCAUAUGCUGUCUUUCUCUCUCUUAUGAGUAUGAUUUAUAACCCUCUCAAGUCUCAUCCCAUGAUUCUUCACAUGUUAAUUAUCAGAUUGAUACCCAAGGAAUGAACAUGAUGCUUCUGAUGAAAAUUUCAGUUCUGAUUCUGCCACGGAUCAUGAUAUCAUGGAGAAAAGCGAUUCUGAAGUCUUUGGCAGUUUUGUUUAUAAUAAUAAUAUUGUUAUUAUUUUCUUUUUUUUAUAGCAAAGUUCAAUUAAUGUAUUCCUCAAUUUCUUUGGCGAAUAGAUUUUACAAAGAACACCUCCAUCUAUUUGGCAUCUGGGAAAAAUAAAAUACUGAGAAAAUAAACAACGGCCCCUCUAAGGGGAAAUGUUUCCUAACUUGAAUACUUUAUAGAUGGAAAAUUCUCAAGCACCAAUUGCAGAGCAUGAUGUCACACAGUGAUUCCAAGGGAGUUGAGCUCAAAAGGCAUAAUGACUCCAUAUAUAUCUUUCCAUACCCAGAUUGCAUGUGCCAUGCAAAUGGAAUUUAUGAUUCUGGAUCUUCAUUAGUAGCAUGAUCCACUCAGUGUUUCUGUUUCUGAUAAGUACAUUUGUUAUUUAAUAAGAAACUUCCUUGGGCACGAUAUUUAGGCAUAAUCUGGUAAUGGCUACUGACAGAAAAUUGUAGCAUGAUGUGUAAAUAGUGACACGGUAUUCGGAUAAGGUAGUAGUAUUGUACUAUGUACGAGUUUUAUCAUGACACGAUUUUGACAGGUUUUGGGCACUAUAUAAGCAUUCUAUGUUCAAUUUUUUGAGCGAGCUUUAAGAGAGAGAAACUUGAGAAAUCAAAAGAGGUUCUCUUGGGUUGGGAAACAUUUGUAAACACCGUGGGUAGUGAGUUCAUUAUUGGAAGGAUCAAAAAGCUUCCUUUAGUGUUUUUCUCUUAGGAUACAUUGUGAGUGUGAAUGACUUGAAAAAUGGGUGGCAUUUAACAUGGGAAAGGGGAAUAGUUUCCCACCAUGGGAAAGUUAAAUUUGACCAUUAGAUUAAGUAAUGGACACAUCCUUAUUAUAGACUCUUAACACUAUAUCCAGAAUUCAUCUUCUUCCUCCUUGCUUCCACCACCUCAUUGGACCUUCUCUAUCCUCCUCUAUCAACAUAUCUAACCAAUCAACCAUUAAGCUGAUUAAUAAAAUGGCAGUACCGUCGUUUUGUUUCCAUUAUCUUCAACAUCCAUAACCUGUUAUGAACAUCAUAGUCAUGCCACCAGAUUUGAACCUGCCUUUUUUCUUUUUUACCAUUUUUACAUAGAAAUUAUCAAAACUCAUAAAGCUUACAAUCAACAACUUAAAUAAAUCCAUAUUCCAAUUUUAUUUAGAAUUAAAAUCGAUUGAAUCACAAUACCAAGUUUCUUUUGCUUCUUCUUUAGCUUGAAAAGUAAUGUAAUACACCAUAUCAGCAGUACCACCAGCAUGAGUACACUUGACAACUUUAUGAACCACAAAAGUUGGAAGAUCAGAAAAUUAUAGUAAAAACUGAAUCAACAAAGGCAUGGUAGUGGGAGAGCAUAAUAACCAUGAUUCAAGUAUGGGUAAUGAUGUUUAGUUGUAAUGAAGUUGAGCUUCUUCGGUUGCUGAUGGUUGUAAGUGAACGGGUUGGAGGCAUGGAGAAGAGUGAAGAGUGGUGGAAAAGAGGGUGGGUGGUUAGAUAUGGUGUUGAGAGUCCAUGAUAAGAAUGUGUUCAUUACUUAAUCUAAUGGUCAAAUUCAACUUUCCCAUGGUGGGAAACUAUUCCCCUUUCCCAUGUUAAAUGCCACCUGAAAAAUGGGUAGAAAUUAUGUUUUGUUCUUUGUGAGUUUUUAAUCUAAUUUCUUGUAACCUCUUUAUAUCACUAUUAUCAUAGUGGAUCAGAUAGUUGCUCUAUCCUCCGAAGUAGGUCCUUUUUGGACGAACUACGUAAACAAUAUUGGUGUAUUGUUUUCUUCCUUUUCUUACUUACUUCCUCAAUUUCAUGGGGAAUAGAUUUUACAAAGAACACCUCUAAGGAAAAUAAAUAAUGGCCCCUCUAAGGGAAAUUGCAUACUUCCCCCUCUGUUAAGGUAUAAAGAAGUGCUCUUUAUAAAAAGAAAGAAGAUUCUAUCUUAUCAUUUGUAAAAAUAAUCUAACUCUAAUUUGAUUACUUUAUACAUGGAAAAGUAUCAACACAUCCUUAAAACAUAACAAGAUAUAAAAAAAAGCAAGUAGAGAAAAUAAUCACUUUUAUCCAAGAAUAUGUGUGGGUACAUAUGAGUAAUAUUUAUAUAUCUAUAAAUACAUAUUCAUUGCUUGGAACAAAAAAGUUAGAUGCAAAUGAUGUGUGACUCACAUAUGUUGACCAAAUGAGAUCAAAUUGGUUACUUGGUAUCAGUUACUGAUGUACCAGAGGAAUACCAUGAACUACCAGUUCUAUCAUCUCUAGUAUCCUCAUCUUGUACAUAAUAGUCAGGCUUAUUAGGCAUUUGCAAAUCUUCAUCUUCUUCUUCAAGCAUCUCCAACACUUUAUCCAUUGGAGGACGAUCACUAGGUUUCGCCUGAAUACACCACAAAGCCACUAUCAUCAUUUUCUUUGCCAAUUUCAUUUCAUGAUUUGUAUCAUUCAGAAUUGUCAUUUCCCUUCCAUCUUGUAACUGAUCAUAAACCCAAAAAGGGAAAUAAAUCUGGCUUGAUUGAUCA
Molecule: long non-coding RNA, 131824 nt
Filed under: Medicago truncatula (barrel medic)
Lineage: Eukaryota; Viridiplantae; Streptophyta; Magnoliopsida; Fabales; Fabaceae
Description: long non-coding RNA (MTRU_LNC000613)
Rfam family: MIR2630 microRNA precursor family (bases 12515-12743)
Source: RNAcentral